ACUCCAGGUUAGAAAAUGCUUUUAUUCAAUUCUCGCUUGCACCUAUUCCCAGGUAAAUUACGCUCUCGUUGGUCUGGCCCAUUUAUUGUACAUACUAUUUUUCCACAUGGGGCAAUUGAAAUUAAGGACCCAAAGAACGGUGUCAUGUUUAAAGUUAAUGGUCAAAGAUUAAAGCCAUAUCUAGAAUACCAACCAUAUGGAGAAGACAUCGAAAUAAAUUUGAGUGACCCACCAAAUUUGAAUUGAUUUUUUUUUCUUCGGUGAUUUGAUUUUUUCUUUCUUUCUUUCUUUAUAUUAUUCUUUUCCUAAUUGAAAUUAUUUUUGCAUAAGUGUGUUUGUUUAACUAUUAAGUUUUCUCUUAUCAUUUUUAAUCAUGAGUACCUUACUUAGACCGUUCCUCCUAAACAUUCUUAAACCACUUCAACGUGUCAAAACUCAUCUCAAAAGGCAGAUUCAAUUUUGUAAAACACAUCGCAUUUGGGCUCUACAACCACCAGAGUUAGUCUCCUAUGUUGAGGGUCUAGAAAGCCAACUCAGAGAUAUUGAGAGAAGUGUUUACGAUAUCCAGUUGGAGCUUGAGGUGAAUUCAAUAAGAGGACGAUUUUAAUUUUCUUUGUGUGUUUUAAUUUGUUUUUCUGUUUGUGUGCUUUAGUUUGUUACCCCGGUGAAGUGGCGGAUAACGGUACUCCGUGACAAUCAAGUCGGUUAUUUCAGUUUCCCAUAAUAACUGAUAUUCUGAGGCGAAGGUAUGGACAGAAACGAGAUUCUAGCGAAGCUUCACAAGCGAUUCCCUUCACUUCCUCAGAAUGCCCUCCUUACGAUCUAUAAAGCUCGGUUCGAACGCAUGCGAUUACUCAUGAGGAAUAACAUACCUGCUGACAUCCGUUGGUUAAGCGAGGCUAAAGUACGAUCGGCAGGUGAGUUACCUCCAAAAUUUAUUGCAUACAUGCCUGGUUGUGGUAAAGGAAAUUAUGCAAGAAAACGACGAGCUCGAAGAAUUUCGGUUGCUUGUCAUAAGUGUGCCAGAAUGAGUUGCAAUAAAAACCCAUGUUCUUUAGGAAUGGUGUCUGAUAACAGGGAAGAUAAGAUUCAAUUCAUUAGGGAUGGCUUGAAUAAGGAGUCAUUGGAUGAUAUCCUUUUGUCUCUUGAAACGCAUCCCAGUGGAUAUGUGCAAGGAGCGAUUCUCCAGUUAUGGCCAUUAUUCCAAAAAGAGCAUGCACGAUAUAGUCUCGGGAAUCUGACUAUAAAUGACCCUAUUUGCCAAUUUAUAAGAAAACUGGAUGGGAAUCCUAUCCUCGACCCAUAGAGGGCGUUCAAGCCGUUUCUGGACGUAAAACCAGAGGAAGAUGUGAGCCACAGUCGUAACUACUUGUAAAUAUCCUUUCACUUGACUGUUAUUUUAUUUCACUAUUGUUUUAUUGUGUGCAUUAUUGUCUUUAAUAAUUUUAUUACUGUUUGCUUUUUCCUUUUUACUGUUUUCUUUUUUACUCGCGAGCCACGUGCUUUACGCGUUAUUUGACACUGACAUGUUACCUCAUACACAACUAUGAUCCACUGUCACCAAGAUUCUUAAAUGUGAUUUCUUUUUUGCCAAGCACUCACAAAUUAUUUUUGAGAAGUAUCACAAUGACAGCUACUCCAAAUAGACAAUUCAAGAACAUUUGUAUGCUUUCUAGAUUUACAUAUGGCAAACAUAAAAAGUUCGUUGAGGCAGCCAUCGAUCUUGGUCAAAGUAUAGCAGAGAGAAAAUUACACUUGGUGUAUGGAGGAGGUAACCGAGGGUUAUCAAAAAUGGUCUCAGAAGCAGCUUUUAUCAAAGGCAGCCAAAUGUUAGGCAUCAUCCCAAGAGUUCUAAAACCAUUGGGCAGUUCGUCUGACUCAUCAACUGGAGAAGGUUAGUCGUCUCAGGUAUGCAAGAAAGAAUAACUGAAAUGCUUAAUCAUGCUGAUGCUUUUAUUUUCCUUCCAGGAGAUCUUGCAACACUAGAGGCACUUAUCACGCUAGCAUCUUGGGCCCAUCUGCACAUCCACCAGAAACUCAUCGGUUUGUCAAAUGUCAAUAACUUUUAUGAUGGCUUUAUCGCAUUUCUUAACCAUGCAAUAAAAAACUAUUUCAUUCCUUCUAAUGUGAAAAGACUUUUUAUUUGUGCUCACACUGCUAAUGAGCUACUUGAUCUGUUACAAGCUUAUAAACCGGAGCCAGACCCCUGGACCUUUGUGUUGGAGCGCCCAAAUAAUGAUGGUAACAGUAGCCACAGUAAGAAGUACAAAUUAGAUUUAACUCUUCGCUUGUAAAUAUUUUCUUUUGUGUUGCACCACCCAGGCGAUGUCUUCUAAACUCUACUUCUUUCCUUUCAAACAUUGAGGACAAUGUUUCGUUCUGGUUGGGGGGAGGGAAUAGUCGACAAUUGUAGAAUUUUGGUUAAGUUUUUACUAAUUUUUUUGUUGUAGAAACUAACUGUUGCUAACUUUUUGUGUUGAAAAUGGCUGAAUAUGGAGGGUAGUGACUCUAGAAACGCAUCUUCAUCGUUUUAAAAAAAAAAUUAAAAAAAAAAUUAUUUUUCUUUAUUAAGUUUUGAUGUUCAUUUUUCUUCUUCUUUUUAAUUUCUCCUCUAUAAAUAUACAUUUUCCAACUUUUGAGUCGAAGAUAGCUGAAUAUGGAGUGUAGUUCCUCUAGAAACACAUCUUUUUUUUAAAAAAAAAAAACCAUUUUCGUUUUCUAUCAUUUUAUGUGUAACUUUUCUAAUUAGUUUUUAUGCAUCAUUUUCACAUUUUUGCAUACAUAUUUUCCUUUCAUGCUUAGAAUAGAUUGGGGGGUAAAAUGUUGUUUAAAAAUAAAAAAUUUGUGUGAUUUGUUUUAAUAUUGGAUGACAUGAUUAAUUUCAAAUUUUAGUAUUUGUAUUAUCUUUGGUCUUAAGUGAUGUUACGUUAUGUUUGCUACUCUACAUGUUGAUGUCGGAGACAAAUGUGAGUUGCUUGAAGGAAUGAACAUGUCAUAAUAAGUACCAAGUGAGUUUUUGAGCCUAUUAUUUUUCUUGGAGAAUAACCAUUUUGCCCACUCUUUAUACAGCUUAGCAUUUUAUUAUUUUACACACGAUCUCUAAAUUGCUUUUGNNNNNNNNNNNNNNNNNNNNNNNNNNNNNNNNNNNNNNNNNNNNNNNNNNNNNNNNNNNNNNNNNNNNNNNNNNNNNNNNNNNNNNNNNNNNNNNNNNNNCACUUCUUUAUUAUUUUCUCUCUCAAUUACUAUUCAUUCGAGUGACUAUUUUUAUUGGUUUUAAUUUCUUUGUGAGAGUGUCACUACUUCCAGUGAGAUUUUGGGGUUUGACAUGUCAUUAUUGAAAGUAGCUAUAACAAGGUCUACUGGGCUGAUUCAUGUGGAUGGUUGAUGUGGGUGUGAUGUUGCUUUAGACUGGAGAUAAUGCUUAUACUUUUAUUUGAUUGCUAUCAUUAAUCUGAUUGAAUAAACACGAGUGUUUCUAAAUUAAAAAAAAAAUCAUUUUGAAUUUGAAUUUUGUUUUCGCUUCAUUUGCUAGGGACUAGCAAUAAGCUGGGUGGGGGGUGUGUUGAGUGUUAGAAAAUGCAUAUUUAUAAAGGAGAAAACCGUCAUUUUACAUUUCAAGUCUUACUAACACCUUACUUUUAUGAAUUUAACCUUCUUUUGAUUUAAUUCCGUUUGUUUUAUCUUAAUUAAGUAUUUUAUGUAUUUUAGGGGCAUCAUAGUCAUUUCACAAUAAACGAGAGAUCAGAUAGCAAAACGGACAUCACUUUUGAACUCAAGACGGUCGAAAACCUUAGGAGGAGCAUAAAAGGAAAAAUAGCACUGUUCACAUGUACGGUACUAUUCACGUGUACGGUACUGUAUACGUUACUGUUCACGACACUGUUCACAUAGACGGAUGAUGACGUGGCAUUGACCGAUGAUGUGGCAUUGACUGAUGAGGUGUCAUGAUCCUAUUGGGCUAAAAUUCUUAUGUACUGUUGAUGGUGACGUGGCAGCAUAUCAGUGGACAAAAAAUCUCGUGUACGGUACAUGCAUCACACAGGAUUAUUUUCAACCAAACCGUGUUACUAUUCAUCCGGGUCAAACCGUGUUACUAUUCAUCCACGUGGUCAAACCGUGUACUGUUGACUGAUGACGUGGCGCAAUCCUGAGUGUCCAAACUGUUUUUAAUCCGAUGGCCAUGAUUUACUCCAUGUAUCUAUAAAAAGGGGGCCUCUCCCCCCUAAUUUGAUAUCUCUGAAUCCAUUUUUGGGAUCCAUUUUCUGUAAUUCCUUCUCCAUCUUGUAUUUUCUUCGUAUUUAAAUAAAUUCCCAUUUUGCCCCUAGUUCAAUUAUGAGUGGCUAAUUUUCUUUCAAGCUUGGGUUGAAGGUGAAGUCUCAACAUGUGUCAUGGGCUUAAUUUGGUAAAUUUAUUUUCUCUUCCCCUCUAGUUUUUGUGGAUGUUUUGACUUCUCGUCGACAAAUAAUAAUAAUCUUGUCUAGAUACUGCCUUGGUUACACCGGCUCUCUAGUAUAAGGUUAUUAUUAUUUGGCACGAUAAGCCCUUAGCACCAUAUUGAUUAGAGCGUGGUUCAUGAGGGGGGGAUUCCCCCCUCAGGAUUAAAUGGGCAUUAAUACGGAUUAUUUAGCCCAUGAUGCAUGUUGAAACGGAUCCAGAUACCCAAGUACAACAUUUCAAGGGAUUUCGCUUCAAUUAAUUCUCGCCAUUGCAAUUCCAAUUUUAGAAUUUAUUAUCGCCAUCUCAAUUCCAAUUUUAGGAUAAUUUAAAUCACUUCCACCACAAUUUCAACCACCCAUUUACAAAAUUAAUUCUACACAAUUAAAAUCCACCUCCUCGUGGGAUCAACACUCGUCACCAUUGAUCUAUACUACAAUAGAUUCGUGCGCUUGCGAGUACAUUAAAAUUUGCACAACACCUUGCACUAGGGAGACGGUUAUACCAGUGCAAUAUCUAGACAACAUUAUUACUAUCUGUUGACGAAAAGUUAAAACAUCCACAUAAAUAAGAGGGGAAAAGAAAGUAAAUUUACCAAAUUAAGCCCAUGGAAUAUGUUGAGACUUCACAUUCAACCCAAGCUUGAAAGAAAAUUAGCUACUCAACGCCACAUCAACAUUUUAGUCCAAUAGGAUUGUGACACAUCAUCGAUCAACGCCACAUAAGCAGUCAAUGCCACGUCAUUCGUCCAAUCGAAUACUGCCACAUCAUCGGAUCGUAUAUGUGAACAGUACCGUGAACAGUACUUACAUUUGAACAGUUUUGUUUAUCUUUUUAUGCUCCUCCAAAGGUUUUUGACUGUUUUGAGUUCAAAAUUGCUAUCCAUUUUGCUAUCUGAUCUCUUAUUCAUUGUUAAAUGACCAUGAUGCCCCCUAAAAUACAUAACAUACUUAAUUAUAUUAAAACACACAUAAUUGAAUCACAAGGGACUUAAAUACAUAAAAUUAUGGAUUGACUUUUAGUGAGACUGGGAGUGUAAAAUGACAAUUUUCUCCUUCAUAAAUGUACACUUUCUAGCACUCAACACAUCCCCCAACUAGCAAAUUCAGCGAAAACAAAAUUCAAACCCAAAAUGUUUUUUCUUAAACAGUCGUGUUUAUUCAAUUAGACUAAUGAUAGCAAUCAAAUAAAAGUAAAAGCAUUAUCUCCAGCCUAAAGAAAUAUCACCCCCACAUCAACCAUCCACAUAAAUUAGUCUAGUAGACUUUGUCACAGCUACAGUAAUCAAGCCACUUUCAAGAAUGACAUGUCAAACCCCAAAAUCUCACCGAUAGUAGUGAUACUCUCACAAGAAAAUUAAACCCAAUAAAAGUAGUCACUCCAAUGAAUGGUAAAUUGACAGAAAAUAAUAAAGAAGUAAUAUCACACACUCUCACCAAGAUGAAAGAAAUAUGCCCACAACUUAAAAAUAAUACGAUCUUAAGUCAAACAACAUACUAGUCAAACCAAUGUAUUCAUUUUUUUUAAUGCACCAUUACAUCUUUUUAGCCCAUAUAACUAGUUUAUACUUUAGACUAUAGUUCCCUAUAAUUAAGAACAACUUUUAUUAGGACAUAACAUAGGCUAGAGACAUUGCUAACAAAUGAAGGGAAAUAGAAAAAACUAAAUAUAUGUUUGAGAAAAAGUAGAGGUCUUUUGAAGAUUACAAGGUACAUUUCACUUAUUUAUUAUUAGUAAUUUUUUGUAUGGCACAACUUUACUGAACAAAAUAAUUUUUUUAUUUCUUCUUAAACAUGACUAGGUGAUGGAACUUGUAAGACAUCAGGUAAUAUUCCAAAUCGGAGUGGGUCAAGAUGAUAAGUUGACAAAGAAAAGUAUUUUUUUUAUAUAAAAUCAAUUUGACAAAGAAAAGUAUUUUAUAGAAUUGGUUAGUUUUCAAGUUCAUAGUCAAAUUGAAAAAGUUUUAAAACUACGAAAAUAGAUUGAUUUGUAAAGUUUUAUGACGAUUUGGGCCAUAGUAUAAUUAUAGAUAAUUUUGGGGAAAAAAUAUAAUUUUAAAAAAUAGUUUCACUGUAGUUGUCACUGUAGCAAACUGCUAACCAUUUGUGAAAAAUAGCAAACCAAUAAUUUCCAGCAAGCAUGUUCUACAAAGGAUUGUUAAAAUGAUGAUUCUGGGAAAUAAUAGUGAACCGUUUAUGGAAAUCAGUGAACCGAUAAAUUUCAGAUUGCUAACCUUGAACCGUUUAGUGAGAACGGUUAAGCCAAAUUUGUUUUGCAGGUCUCUGGAAAUUAACGGUGAACCGAUAGUGACAAACGGUCAACCGUUUAUUUGAAAUUCAGCUCAACGGUAACUUUGACUAGAAUAAACGGUUAACCAUUUAUAGUUAACGACGAUCCGUUUACAAGCAGACAGUUAAUAACGGCUAGUUUUCAGCUCCAACUAUAAAUAAACUCAAUCAAGUUCAAAUAAGGGUGGAUCACAACAUUAUCAUUGAGCUUGUAAUCGAGAAUACAAUAUUUAUUGAGCUUUAAAUUCGUUCUUGAUUCAUUUAUUAACACAUUGAGUAUAGAUUUGUAAUCAUAUAUUUUGUGUGAGGGAAAAACACAUUUGUCAUAUUUGUUUUGAGUGAUUGUAAGUGUUGUGAUACACUUGGGUUAAGAGAUUGGGGAUAAUCUCUUAGUGUAAAGGUUGAUUGACACAUUAGAAGUCAAUUGUAAGCAUUUGAAGCCUUGGGAGGCUUGGAUAGUGAAAUCCUCAAGCCGGGUGAGCUUGGAGGCGUGGACGUAGGCGAGGAUUGCCGAACCACAUAAAAAUCAUUGUGCUUGUUUUCUCUUCCCUUACUCUAUUAUUAUUGUGCUUUAUUGAAUUUAUUGUUUUUGAUUCUAUUAGGGCAUUAGAUUAAAUUGUUGUAUGGUUUACUUAGUUUAAUUUUUAAAAUCCCAAUUCACCCCCCUCUUGGGUUGCCUAGUUAGUAUUUCACUAUAUUCAAUAUGUAUUUACAAAGUGUGAAAGAAAAAUUGAAAGGAUAAGAGUAAAAUGGGAUGAUCUCCAAAAAAUGGCAUAAGCUAGCCUAUUAACCUAGAAAAUUCAUAAAAUGUCACCUAAAAUAUCUUAAGGCUACCACAUGUUGAUCGAGGACUAUUAUAAUAAUAAUGGCCCCUCCACCAAAAUUGCUACAUGUCAAAAUGAUAUGGUCCCCAUAGGGAUCUUGUCAAUCUAUGUCCCCAACAAUCACAUGCACUAAGAGUGAGACAGAAAAUCAACUCAACUGUCAUAUGACAUACCAACAGAGGAAUCAGCUACUCCAAAAGAUCGUCUCAUUUGAAAUAAGCUAAUCAGAGAUUAAGACAUACUGUUAUUCAUGAUAGUCUCACAGCUGACACAUUUCCAAUUAUAAAGAGGCUAAAAGGUUGAAUUUGAAUAGUCAAAUUACCCAAAAAUAUCUACCUGAAGAGGGAAAUGACUUAUUGCAACUUGUCACGUGUCCAAACAGACACUAAGAUGCCCUUAGGGGUACUUCUUAUAUAAUGUCAAGUUAGUCUUAGCAAAACAAGUUCAACUUCUUCCCUGCAACUCUUAAUUUUUCAUUGAUAUUAGGGUUUCUAAAAAACCCAGCACCCACUCUCACACUUUCUGACUUGACCGUCAAAUGUUAUUGCCGAUCACUGUUGUUGUCGCCUCUUAAUGGUCGUUUUCUCUCAUUUUUCAGGACCAUCUCUUAGUUUUGUUCAUCCUUAAAAAAUUGUUUACAAAGUGAAGCAGCCUUAAUUAUUCACAAAGUCUACCUACAAAAGUAAGCUCUCAUAAUAUUUUUAGGCUAAACUAAAAUCAAACCAAAAUACAUAUGCACCAAAGAUGGGAUAAAAACGAGCAUCCUAUAAAAAAACAAUGAAGUUAGAAAUGCUAUCUUUUAAUGGAAAGUAAAUUUUUCCCUAUAGGUUUUUAGUAUUAUUAUAUAUAAAUUAAUAUAAUAAUAAAUUAUUAUGUUUAUUAUAAAUAUAUAAUAAACUUUAUGUUUAAGUUUAAAUUAUUUAUAUUAAUUAUACAUAAAUUAUUAUUUAUUACCUAUUUAUACAUAUAAUAAAUUAUGUUAUAAUUUAUUAAUAAUAAAUAAUAAUUAUAUUUAUUUAUUAUAUAUGUAUACAGUUUAUUUAUUAUAUAUGUAUACAUAUAAUAAACACUUGCCCCCAUACAGUCUUAUCCUAUUAUACAAUAGUGAGCCUUAGCAAAUUUCAACAUUGAACAUGUGCCAACGAGAUUGAACAUGAAGGUAGAUGCAUAGUAAUAUUUGACAAAUUUAGCCUAAAAACAUGCUUUUUAGGCCUUUCAGUGAAUGUUAAUCCCUUAAUCAAAAUCAUUUUUUUUUAUUUUACAAGUGCAAUUAGAAAAAACUAUCCUUAUUGCAACAAAAUUUUCAUUUAAUCUCUUAACCCUUCUAGUAGAAAAUCGUGUUUGCAAAACUUAGUCUUUUACUUUGUCAUGCGUAUAAGUCUAAAGUCGCUAUCAAUGCAAGUCUUCAUCUUGCUUUAACGUUUACAAGAUUUUGUAUCGCAGGAUACUAAUGUUAAACAUCAAUUAAAGGCAUAAAGGACAAUAAAAAAUUUAGGAGUCCAAAAGAUAUAAAAAUUGAAGAUGUGGACUGGUUAAAACUCACGACAUAAAUAUCUCACUCUAUUGAUGGAGGUUAAGAUUGAAGGAGCAAUAGCUAGCUCAAUAUUUUUGUGACUUAAAAAGUCAUUGUGUUAUUAAAAAAAUUGUAGGUAUUAAAAAAAAUUGUAGGUAUGAAAAAAAAUUGUUAGUGGAGAAAUAUGAUUUUUACAUAAUUUUGACAAAAAAUAAAUUAUUAUAGGUUUUUUUAUCAUACAAAAUAAAAUCAACUUAACCUUGAAACGACGAUAGGAAGAAUGAAGUAUUUACCAAACCACAAUACCAAGUAGGCCUGGGCAAAUCGAAUUCAGAUUAACCCAAUCGGGUUUGGUUGGUCGGGUUGGACAAAAAUUUAUUUGAACCCAAUCAUAACCUGUAACCCAAUCAGAUCCGAUCUGAAACAUAUUCUGAUCAGAUCAAGAGAAAAAGUCAGGGAGAGUUCGGUUUGGAUCGAGUUUGGAUUAAAAAUGAUUCGGAUCGGGUCUAGUAAAUCCAAGUUAAUUCGGGUCAAUUUGGUUAAUUCAUGUCGGGUUAAAUUGGAUUAAAUAUGGUUCAAAUCAAUUUGGGUCAAAUAGGGUCGAAUCGAGGUUCAUGCAAUUUUAAGCUAUUUUUUUCUUAUUUUGAGCUUUUUAGAUUGCUUUGAGCUAUUUUUCUUAGUUGUAGUCCCUUUUUACCAACUUUCAACCAAACAAAAAAAAAAAGAAAAAAAGAAAACUACUAUGAAAUCAAAUGAAUAAAAAUUAGAGUUAACACAAAGUCCAAACUUAAAAAAAAAAGCACAAAGUCCAAAAUUAAUAGUCUCCAUCCAAAGCACAAUGUCCAAAUAUUAGUCUUUAAAACGUAAGGUCACAAAGUUUAAACAUAAUCAAAUAGUUUCUAAAACACAAAUCACAAAGUCUAAAACACAACAAAGUUUAAAUAUAAGUACUAAAUAACCUUCCUCCAUCGCUCCAUGCAACCACUUUGACAAGUUCUAAAUUUAGCUUCUUGUACUCCAAGUUGAAACAUCGAUCCCCCAGAGCAAAAUUGAAGAAAUAAUGUGCAAUAACUACUUUCUUUAAAUCGCACUACAAAUAAAGGUACAUAAAACACAAACACAAAUAAAUAAACCCAAUUCAUAUCUCUAAUUUAACAGACCAUAACUACCAUUUGAAUUCCAAUUCAAUGGCUAAUAGUAAAGUUUAAUAUUUGAGUAAAUAAAGAGCACCAUUAGCUGAAAAUCAAAAGGGCUGUUACAAUCUUUCUAAUUUCUAUUAUAUCAUUAGCAUAUAACAUGCUUAGCAAAUUCUUCAAACAAAAAAAAAAUUUGAUUGGAUAUAAACAUAUAAGUCAAUCAUGGCUUAUUUUAUGGCAUUCAUUACCAGGUCAAGUUAGUAAUAAUCUUAGGCAAUACGAUUCUACCAACUUCAAUUUGCCUAACUAAAACAAUCAUAAUGUUAAAACUUAAAAUGUAAAAUUAUAACAAGUAUAAUUAUAGUUUAAAUUAUAACCUAAAAUUAUAAUAUGAAAUUAUGAAUAAUAAUAUCUAUUAAGAUUUUUCUUUCAAAUAUCCAUAACACCAUGUUAGCGCUCACUGUUUCCACCGUUGAAGCUUAUGAUCUUACAAACUUUUUAAAAUGCAAAAAAAAACGUUAGCAAGUACCUUAAGUACUUGUAGAUGUUAUUCAUAAAGUUAUAAUACAUUUUAAAUAUAUUAUGUAUUUAAUGUAUGAGAGAAAUGUUACCUUCUUAUAGCUCUAUAUGAAACAUUUGGUCUUUAACUCUUCCUAAAGGUUAUAGACAAGAUUGGCAAAAAGUUUAGAUUGCAACUAAUUUCAAUACAUAUCAAUGCCUCAAUCAAAGAAAGGGCCAAACAACUCCUAUACUCAUCAAUAGCACGAAGCCCAAUGCUAAAGGUAAACUCAGACGUCACUGUGGAAACAGGAAUAGCAAGGACAUUUCCUACAAUUUUCUUUAAUAUUAGAUAAUUUGAUCAUUCACCUUGUACCAAAGCAAAAUAUUGAGUUUAAUACUACUACGAUCUUCAACUGAGUCAAUUAAGUAUCUUUCCACCUUAGAUGCUACUUUCUUGCCCUCAUUCUAAACAAAAACCUUUUUAGCAUAUCUAAGGAAAGGGCAAGCAAAUCAAAAAGUGUCAUCAUCUGUACCAUCAACGAUCUCCACCAAACUAAACUUAAUUGUAAUGUAUGGUGUUGAGUGUAUAUUUAUAUAGAAGAAAAUCGUCAUUUUACACUUCAAGUUUCACUAACAUUCUUAUUUUCAUGUAUUUAAGUCUCUUGUGAUUUAAUUAUGUGUGUUGUAUUAUAAUUAAGUAUUUUAUGUAUUUUAAGGGCAUCAUACUCAUUUUACAAUGAAUGAGAGAUUAGGCAGCAAAACAGACAUCAUUUUUGAACUCAGGACAGUCGAAAAUCUUAGGAGGAGCAUAAACACAAAAAUGGCACUGUUCACAUGUACGGUAUUGUCCAUGUAAUUGUUCACUACACUAUUCUCAUAAACAGAACGAUGACAUGGCAUUGACCGAUGAUGUGGCAUUGACCGAUGAUGUGGCAUUGACUGAUGAGGUGACACGAUCCUAUUGGACUAAAAUUCUUAUGUACUGUUGAUUGGGACGUGACAACUUGUUAGUGGACCAAAAAUUAUGCGUACGGUACAUGCACAUACACAUAAUUAUUUACAACCAAACCGCGUGGUCAAACCGUAUCACUAUUUAAACCACGUGGUCAAACCAUAUUACUAUUCAAACCACGUGGUCAAACCGUGUACUAUUGACACGUGGCGCAAUCCUGAGCGUCCAAAAUAUUUUUAAUCUGAUGGCCAUGAUUUACUCAAUGUAUCUAUAAAAAGGGGGCUUCCCCCUAAUUUGGCAUCCCUGAAUUCAUUUUUGAGUUCCAUUUUCCGUAAUUCCUUCUCCAUCUUGCAUUUUCUAUGUAUUUUAAUAAAUCCCCAUUUUGCCCCUAGUUCAAUUAUGAGUAGCUAAUUUUCUUUCAAGCUUGGGUUGAAGGUGAAGUCUCAACAUAUGCCAUGGGCUUUAUUUGGUAAAUUUACUUUCUCUUUCCCUCUAAUUAUUGUGGAUGUUUUGACGUUUCGUUGACAAAUAGUAAUAAUCUUAUCCAGAUACUGCACUGGUUUAACCAGCUCCCUAGUACAAGGUUAUUAUUAUUUGGCACGAUAAGCCCUUACCACCAUAUUAAUUAUAGUGUGGUUCAUGAGGAGUGGAAACCCCCCUCAUGAUUUAAUUGGCAUUAAUAAGGAAUAUUUAGCCCAUGAUGCAUGUUGAUGCAGAUCCAGAUACCCAAGUGCUUCAAUUUCAAUAGAUUUCACUUUAAUUUAUUAUCGCCGUUUUAAUUUAAAUUUUAGAAUAAUCUAAGUUACUUUCACCACAAAUCUAACCACCCACUUAAAAAAAAUUAAUUCUACGCAUAAUUAAAGUCCACCUCCUCGUGAGAUCGACACUCGUCACCAUUAAUCUAUUCUACAAUAGAUUCGUGCACUUGCGAGUUCAAUAAAAUUUGCACAACAUAUGGAGAAGAAGCUAUACCAUCGUAACUGCCACUAGGAGCACUCUUAGUAUAUGUUAAUGAUGUAGAGCACAAUGGACUAUAUGCAUUAUAAAGCUUAUUCAACAAUUUUUUUGGUGCUUUGGUCAUUUCUUCAAUCUUCAAGAUAUUAGUGCAAAAAAUGAUCUCAAAGAUAUAUUUAGCAAAGUCCAUUUUCGCCCGUGGAUCAAGAAUGAAGGCAUGAAUCAACAUAUUGUUUAUCUUCCCCAUGGACUUGCAAUAUUUAUCAAAUUUAUCCCUCAUACUAUAAGCCAUAAAAGCUACACUCAAAGUUGUAAAAAACAACAAUGUGGCAUCAUAAAAUACGUUCAAGAAGCUAUACCAUCGUAACUGCCACUAGGAGCACUCUCAGUAUACGUUAAUGAUGUAGAGCACAAUGGACUAUAUGCAUUAUAAAGCUUAUUCAACAAUGUUUUUGGUGCUUUAGUCAUUUCUUCAAUCUUCAAGAUAUUAGUGCCAAAAAUGAUCUUAAAGAUAUAUUUAGCAAAGUCCAUUUUCGCCCGUGGAUCAAGAAUGGAGGCAUGAAAAUAUAUUGUUUAUCUUCCCCAUGGACUCACAAUAUUAAUCAAAUUUAUCCCUCAUACUAUAAACCAUAAAAGCUAUACUCAAAGUUGUAAAAAACAAUAAUGUGGCAUCAUAAAAUACCUUCAAGAAACUUUAUAAUUUGUUCAACACUCUUUUAAUCCUUGAGUCUAGCAGCCCUAACCUUUUAUUUUUUCUUCUUAAGAAAGUAUACCUUAUAAGAUUUAUCCACUUCUAUCAUUCUAUCAAAUGUUGCUUGAAAAUUUAACACAAUCAUCAACAUUAAAUAGGUAGAAUUCUGCCUAGUAGGACAAUUGAAAAUAAUAGCUUCGUUAGGGACCUUUCACCUACUCAACACAUUAUUUAAAUGUCUACAACCUCAUAGUGGAGGAUCUCAUAUACUUUACAACAUUCUAAAGAGCAGCAACACUAGUAUAUAACUCAUUUAACCCUAAAAGAACAAUCAAAUUAAAAACAUGUGCACAACAAUAUACUAUCCUACCAACACAAAUGCAUCAUCAUUCCUCCAAGCAAGCAAUUGCAUAUUGACAUAACUAAUAGCAACACUACUAGAAAAAUGGCCUUUACUGACUUUAAAAUAAUGUCAGAAAUUACUUUUACUGACACUUGUUAAUUGUGUCAGUAAUCUGGGAGUCAGAAAAAUAGUGACACUUGUAAGUGGUGUCAGUAAUUACUAUUACUAUAGUAUCACUAAAAUAAUAACACCAUGGUAUCAAAAUAUUACAAUACUAUAUUAGUAUUUGUGAUUACUGUUACUAUAGUAUCAUUACUUUAUUUAUUAUUUAAAAAAAUAAUUAUAUAAAAUGACAUGUUGCCCAUUGAUUUGUUGAUAGAAUUAAAAAGUUGUGAGAAAUAAGAACAAAAAUCAAUUUAUAUAUCAAAACCUUUCAUAACAUUUAAAUAUUAUCAAUAUAUAUUACACAAUCCAAAUACUUCAAUACACAAAGACGUCUUAUUACAAGACAUCUUAUUCUUAUAAUUGAAUAAUCUUAACUGCUAUUAUCCAAUCAAAUACCUUCUACUUGUAGCUGAAUUUAAGGGCUAAAUUUACCAAAUCUAAAAGCUAAAUUUAGAAGGAUUAUUAUUUUUCUCUCCAUGAACAUAAGUACUGCGAUCAUGCAUUAUCACGGACAGCUUCUUCAUUCGAUGAAUUUGAUCAAACAAGCAAGUACUUCUCUGAUCUUUGAAAAAAAAAAACUUUUGAUUAUUUCAGCAAACACCAUAGUCCAUAAUCCCCCAAAAAAAAAACCAAAGCGAAUGACAAUAUAUUAUUAUUUAUUUCUAUUUUUCCUUCCUAUAUAUUAAUAAAAUAUGAACUGACCUUAUAAAAAGUUUACAACUUGUUGAGUCACCCGAAUGGCGUCCUCUGUGUGUGGAAUUGCUUUUGGCCCCCAUUCAAAAGCAUUUUUCUGCAGCAUAUUUGGUCAGUCUUUUCCUCUAAACAGAAUCAGUUGCAUUACUAAGAAAUUUGUUUAGGAAAUACCUGACUUGGAGAAACAGGAUGAAUACAAAAAAAUAUUUUCUCAUAGACCACACAGAAAUAGAGCUUGACCAGAAAGAUGUAACACAUGACAUGAAUACCAAAAACAAAUUGUAGCUUGGCUUGAAAUCAAAUCAUCUUGAGAGAAAUAAAUAGUGUUGCCAGACAGCUUGUCCACAACAUCACACACAUCUAGAGUUUAGCACACAAAUGUCGCUCAAAAGGUUUGAUUAACCAGAUUAGUCUGCCAUAUUAAACUUAUCAAUUUUGUAAAUGGGGUGAGCUAAAAUCAUUGUUAAGAGCAUUGAAGUUAAUACCUCUGGAUGCCAUUGGAAGGCGGUCACAUGAUAGUUAUAAGCUUGCACUGUCGAGACAUAGACCUGAUAAUGAUUAAUAACAGAAGUUAGAAUUGAUAACACUGGAUAAAUUGCCAUUAAAAUAUCAAGCAUUCAGGCAUAUAUCCUGAGUUUGUGUUUAUAUAUAAAAUAAAUUCAACAAAGGAAUAUUUACUUUUGUACCUUAUUAUAUUCAUCCACGCUUGUUGUCAAGAUCUUAAAAAACUUAGCUAGCUCCUGGUUUGCUUGCAUUCUUUCAGGUGAAAUGCCAUACUGUUGUAAUGGUACAACAUAUAAAAUUUCAGAUCAACCAAAUUAUUUACUCAAUCAUCCAUAAUAAUUUAAUAAAUCUAAACAUUUUUAGAGUCCAUUGUCUCCCAAAAUUGAAGUGCACUAAUCUAAGGAAUCAAUUGUACAAGAAGUCCAUAUAAAUGGAAUUCUUCCAUGAAUCAAAGAGGCUCACGACAAAGCAGGAUUUCCAAAAAAGCUCGCUUAUUAGACCCAACACUUUCAUAGAGCUAGAUAUUCAUGAGUGACUAGCAUUAUUACAGAAGAUGAAGGAAAUUAAAACAGAGAAUUGAAUCUAACAAUAAAUGCCACGCUGACUGUCAUUUAUUGCAUAAAAUAUAAAUGCCACGCUAACUGCCAUUUAUUGCAUAAAAUAUAAAUGCCACGCUAACUUGACUAAUUUUACAAAUUUGGUGAUGAUGCAUUUAAGAUUAUGGUUUAAAAGAAUAAUUCAAAGAUAGCAGUUUCAAUUGCCAGAUUAACAAUUCUUUUAUUUCUAUUAAACAUAAAAAAAAAGAAAGAAAAAGAAUGCAAAGAAGUAAGGGAGAUAGAGGAAUACGGGAACUGAGGUCUACCACACAAACAUCUUGAAGCAUUUCAGGAUCACUUUACUUGAGCUCAGUUUCUCCACGUAUCAUAUCCUUUUCAGCAAGGGCUGCCCUUUCAAGUAGUGUUUUGCUCUCUUUCUUCAUUAGCUCACCAGAAAGGUUCAGCUUAUUUACAUUUUUCUCGGCUCUAACAAACAUUGCCUGUGUAUAUAUUCGAACAAUUACUGAAUCACACAAAAUUUUGAACCUGAGAGUUUACCUCAGUUGAAAUGAACAUGUUAAAAAAGAAUUUUAUGCAACUGUUACUUCUAUUAGUAGGUUGAUAGGGUAAAAAUAGCAUCUAUAAAUUAAAAGAGGUACAUGCCUCCUCACUUCGAAGUCGAUCAAAGGUAUGACGAAACAAAAACCUUCUAGGCCCUGCAGUGAAAUCCUCGAGGAAUCAAAUCUUAUAGGAUUUUGGAAUGGCACAUACCGAUACAUUUAAUGCAGCCAAGAAGUAUAAAAUGCAAGAAAAAAGUGUGCAAAGAUGGCCAGGGCAGAGCACGUCCAAGGGAUUCCAUAUUCAAAAAUAUGCUAGAGAGGCUUAUUUAAAUGGUUGAAACCUAAGAGUGGAUAUAUCUCACUACCAGCACUAGUGACGGGAAAGCUGAACAUAUUCAUCUUUGGACUUCAACACUGGACAGCAUAAACAAAUAAGGAAACAGUCAUACAAUAUGGUUGAAAUUAUCAAAUUAAACUGAAGUCAAGAGUAACAACCUGCGGCCCAUUGAUGACCAACAUUAAGCAUGCUUAACAUUCUGUUAGACUAAUCAGCAGCAGUAGUGUUCAAGAUCACAGCAACAGUGACAACAAAAAGUGUCAAAGUACUAGCAGCAGUAGCAGCAGCAGCCGUGGUUACAAAAGUUCAAUUAUGAUCUUGUUAUUGCUGUAGGAAAAUAGAAAGAAAGAAUAAAAGAAAUGCUGAGAAAUUAAAAAAUUUAUCAGCUUAUCCACUCUCACUCCAGUCCCCUCAUCCUUGCCAUUUUCUUUCUUCUCUCAAUAGUACCACUGCCGAUGAUGACAAGACCGUCGAUGACGACACGGUCAUCGCCAAGUUAUUUAUUUCAUGAUUUCUCUCUUACGCACUCAUACAUAGUUUCCAUGUACUAUGAAAGAAAGACACGUAAAACAUUAGAUUAUCAUUUUCUACUUGUGCUAAUUGACAUCACUGAUCUCAGGUUUUCUUCUAAAACAAAAUCAAAGCAAAAGUAUCUCAUCACAAAGAGUAAGUACACAACAAAAGUAAGAAUUUUUAUUCAUAAAAGCUUAAGCCUUUUUCCGUUUAAUGUAUAUAAUAAAAACAGAGGUACUUCGUUCUCAAAACAACGAGUCAAUCAAAAGCUAACAAACUUUUCCCCCUAGUGAACCAGUUGCUUAUCUCCUCCAAUAACAUUUUGUUCAUCCAUUCGAAAGAGUAGAUAAGCAAGAUCAUAAAAGAAACACAAAACCCACAAAAAUAGAAAUCUUGUACACAUUAAUAUAGAACAAUGACAUAUCUACAAAAAAUAAUGAGGAGAGUGUAAAUAGAGGGAGAAGAAAUGUAGGGAAUUACCCUGAAGAGAAGGGGCAAGAUUAAGAGGAAAAACUUGAGUUGGAUCGAGAGCAGGCUCAACCGCAAGGGAGAGGAAGCAAAACCUGUAUUGUUGAGCUGAGCCAGCGAGAUGAUGGAAUGCAAUGGGAUGGAUGGUAGAGGACUGCUUGCGCCCAAAAGCGAUGAUUCACUGCGGUUCCCUCCAGUCCGUUCCGUUCCCGGGUUGGGUUAGGGGAACAUUCAAACGAUUACCUUCGCGGAUCCAAACGCGCUCGUCGGUACGCUUUCCGGCUCGCAACGACUCAAAUGGGCGAGUCUUCCUCGUUUUCCUUUCUCCUUCGGGUAGUUGAAGAGAGACAAGAUUGAGAGGGAAAAAUUGAGUUAGAUAGUAAAAGAUUGUGUUGGAUUGUAAGAGAAAGAUAAGAGAGGAGUGGCUGAGAGAAGAGUCGGGGUUGAUAAGACGACGCAGUAAGAUUAGAGUUUUGUGAAUUUGGUGAAGUCGGGGUUUUUUAGAUUUGGGGAGUUUAGGAGGGACGAGAUAGAUUAAAAAUUUUGUCUAAAUUAAAAGUUAAAAAAAUAAUGUUUGGUUUAGAAGUUAGUUUUCUAAACUAGAAAAUUUGAGAUUUGGACGUCCUGGUCUUUUGUUCGGAACUUAAACGCUUGAGUACUAGAGGUUCUCGGUUCGAGUUUUAUUUGGAACUUAAUUAGAAUUAUUUUAUUUUUAUUACUGAUACCUUAAUGUCAGAAAUCUCUGAUGCCUAAGUUACAGACACUAUAGUAUCACUAAUUUGUGAUAUUUUUAUGUUAAACACGAAAAAUGGUCCAUAUGUGUGAACAUACUGAUACUUUUUAAAAAAUUGUCACAAACCAAGUGUCAGUAAAGACCUUUUUUCUAGUAGUGCAACAUCAUUUGUAGUGAAAUUAUCAACAGUUAUCGCAAACAACCUCUCUAUCCUCUAAUCCUGUAAACAAGCUAUAAUAUUAUUGCCAAUCAUUUUCCCUCUAUUAUCUGCAAUAAAGCUAAUAAUCCUCUAAUUGAAAUGCUAGUCACUAUCAAUAAGCCAUGUAACUCAUCUUUUGAAUAGAAGUCUAUAUACCAGUUGUAAAAGACACUAACUAUUUGUUGUCACAAAUCAAACUCUUCAGCAUUGUUGUUUUCUCAAAAAAUAAAUCCAUAACAUCUCUACCAAUGACUCUUCAAGGUGCAUAAUGAACUAUGGAAUAACUACACAAUAGAAAUGCCUAACCCUUUGUUAUCUACAAAAAUAAGUGGCAACUCUUACAAGCGUCUUGACUCCAUCCUUCAACCAAAACAAUAUAACUUGCAUUUCCUUCGCCACCCUUAGCGGUCAAGUUCUGUUGACUGCCAUCUUAUUGUUCUCGGAAUGUCUUGUAUGCACCACAAACCUUUAUAUGAUUUCUUAUAGUUGUAAUCCCAUCAAGCCUUUAAUGAUGUUGAUAUUGUCUACCACAAUAGUUGCACUUGCAUUUGUUUAGAUUGUCCUCAAGUAAAGUGCAAUGAUUCUAUGUCUCAUCUUUUCUUCAUUGGUGGUCUUUUUUGUUUUGCCUUUUCCUUUCCCUUUUGGGUUCCUUCCAUUUGUAUGCUUUGUUCUUCAUCAUCACUUAUCAAAUUUGAACUUGCGUAUCGAGUCAUCUGAACAUACAAAACAAUAAUUAGUAGCCAUUAAUUCAAAAAUCAAAACAUAAAAAUAUUAUUAACAUAAUCUAAUUAGUAUUACAAAUCAUUUUAAAUAUUUGUUAAUUGAAUUAUAUGGUAAUUGUUUAAUUUGGCUUUUCCAUUGUAAUAUUUCUAUAUGAUUAGGUGUAUAACUGUAUAUAUAUAAAAAUUUAAAAUUGUUCAUACUCCCUAAAGGAAAAGCAAGAAUUAAUGAUUAAUUAAUUUAUAAUAUCCACUUAUCCAUUGCCCAUAAUAAUCGAAUAAUAUUUGCAUAUCCGUUUUCAUGCCCACAUUACAUGUACUUACUACUUAACGACUUAACAUCUACUUAACAUACAAUUAAUUGAAUUAGUCAAUUUUUGUUGAGGUUGAAGCUACUGCACAUAUCAUAUCUAACAGAAUAUUUAGUUUUAAUAUUUUUGAUCUACCUAAUCUAUUCAUACAAAAAAAAAAAGAUCAAUUAUUAACAAUUAACUAUUAACCAAAAAAAACUAAUACAUGAAUUUUCUUGACUUUAUUAUUAAAAUUUAAUAAUACAUACUAUUAACAAACCAAUUAACAAUUUACCGUAUAAUAUAUUAUACAUUACUACUAUAUACCAUCAAAGCUUCGAAAGGGAAAAUUCAAGUUGUCGCCUUGCUGUUGUUGGGUUCAAAUGGAGCUUGGAAGAACUUGGUGGGCAUAGCAGCAGAUCCUAUUGGCGUUGGCAGUGAUUGCCGGCAAAAUCAGGUUGCUAUGUCUGCAUUUGCGAAGUGCGGGCUGUACUGCGUUGGUGGCUGGCUGCUGCUUGCUUUUCUGAUGUGUGUGUUUGAAACCAUGAAGAGUGGUGAGUGUUUCUUGAUCUUAAGAACUUGAGGCCAUGAGGUUGAGGGAGGCUGUCGAGUGUCAGCUUGUGUGCUUCUGAAUUCUGAGGGAGUAUGUACGUGUAUCGUGUGUCUGUCACUCACUUUAUUGGCUCUCUAGUUUUAAUUUCCAUUAAUUAAUUUAUUUUAUUUUAAAGCCAAUCCGACGAGGUUUUUUUCAUCCGAUCCAACGAGUUAAAAAUGCAUACGAUCGAACAUUGUUAACAAUCUAAUUUGUUCCAAGCCCAAUAUUUUUUGGACCCGAUCGGGUUGAAUUGAAUUGGAUAUGAUAUUUUACCCAGCCCUAAUACCAACAAGACCUAAUUCACUUAAAUUGGUGGCUUUUGUGGUGACAUGCUAACCAUAGAAGCUAAAAAUCAACUUUUUAACCCCCGAUAUCUCUCAAAAUUUAAAUUUAAAUGGGUAAUCAAAUAAAGUUGCUUGAAAAUUAUUGACCCCGAGCCCAAGGAAGCCUCGUUUUUAGCUAGAUCUACAUGUGCUGAGAAUAUUACGCGGUGACAUGGAGUUUGUUGAGGCGUAAACCAGAUUGUUGGGAUUCAGUUGAGUAUUGAUGCGGGCUUACUUUCACUUAUGUUGAUCCAGCUUGUUCCAAUGAAGUGAAUCUCAUCUUGGUCAAGCUUUUCACUUUUAAGUAGAAGUGAAAUUCAUUCACCUCAUUUUCCCCAAAUUCAUUUUCAUGCUAGUGCUUUAUUAGUUGAUCAUGUAUAUAAGUUGCCCACAAAUGGACGAAGGUCCCUCUUUUUGCUCCAAUUGAGUCAGCAUGGCUGAAAUCCCAGCUGAGAGUCUUCACUUGCUGCAGGAUUCUUCUUUUGUUAAUGAAGCUAUGCUGUAUUAAAAAAAUAAAUAAAUAAAGUCCCACCUUGCAAACGCUGUCGGUCUUCUCAUUUUAUUUAUAAAAGGAAUCUGAAUCAAUUUAUUUUUGCAUGUCAUUCAAGUGGACUGGUCACUCGUGCCUUUCCAACUUAUAAAGAGAGAUUUUGUUCAUUCUAAUAGAAUAGAGUUCACUAGCACAAUCCUUUGUUUAGAUUUGACUCGUAGAAUGUGUCAACUAUUUAAGUUGCCUAUUAUUUUUUAAAAUGAAGUAUUAAAACAAUGAUGCUAUUCCACAAAUAUACAUUUUGCACCUUACAUUUUUUUCCAUUAAGCAAUUGAUAUGUGCAUAUUUUCUCCAUAUUCUCUAUAUUUUACUAUUAAUUUCUCCAACAUUUUUUUGUUUUAGUCUUAAAUACAUUAAUUAUUUUAGUUAAUUUUUAAUUUAGUUAUUUUAUUAAAUUAUAUUUUAUUAUGUUAAUUUUUGUCUUAAUUUUUAUAUUUUAUUAUUGUAGAUUUUAUCCUUAAUUUAAUAUUUACUAGUUAAUUAUAUUAUUUUAUUUCGUAAGGAAUUAAUUACAUAUUAUAGAUAAAAAAGAUAUGAAGAAGUUUAAAUUUAGAAAGUAAUCUAAAUUAAAUUGGAAAUCAAUUAAAAGACAAGAAAAAUAAGGAAAAGAAUUAAUGAAACCGGUAGUCAACAAGAAAACUAAGACCAAAAUUAAAGACAAUUUCCUUAAGCAGUUAAGAUGAUGAUGCAUGCGAUCAAUUGAGGUGGCAAACAAGUAAGCAUUUAGUGGACAUGCAUUUGGAAAUAAAGAAUUGGAAUUGGCAAUUGCACAUGCAUGGCACUAUAUAUUAUGGAAAGCAACUUGGAAAAAAGGAAAUGGCCAUAUUUAAGCAUGCACGUGAAUUGCCUAAGCUAAAGUCAGUGGGUGCAUGGCUUUAAAUUGUAAUUAAUUGCUUUAAAUUGGAAUUAGAAUCCAAAUUGGAUUCGGCCAGUCUUGGGCAUUAUAAAAUGCCAAUAUUUGGGUUUUGAAGAAACACACACAAUCGGCAACCAAGAGGAGAAUUGGAGAUUGCAGCCGCAAGAAGAGAAGAUAAAAAAAAUAAAAAAAAAUAAAAAAAAGGAGGCAGCUGCUUGGAUUAAUCUACAUGAUUGGUUUUAUCAACUCUCUUAUUCCUAAUUCAAUUAUGUUAGGUUAAAUUUUCUAUUUGGUUGAGGGUGAGUUCAAAACCCUAAAUAUGUCAUAUGAUUAACAUUUAAUUUCUAUCAUUCAAUUUAUUUAAUUGAGAUUGUUUGUAUUCUUCUAUAAUUAAUAGUUAUGAUUUUAUUCUUAUCUUAUUUGAGUGCUCAAUUAGAUAGGACUUGAAUAAAUUCUAUUACUAGAUUAAAAUUCUUGAUUUAUAAUUGUCUUGAUAUUUUAAUCAUUAGUAGUAGGUUGGAAACAAUAAUUUCAAUUGGAGAACAUAACCUAGGUUAAAUAAUCUGAGCUUGUUUGUUUAUUGCCUAGAUCAACCUAAAUCUUUCUCUACUUAAUGAUUUCAUUAUCUUAAAUUUAAAGAGUUUCUUUUAAAUUAUUUAACAGUUAGAGACUAGGUGAAGAGUUUGUUUUGCCUAACAACACAUUAAGGAAAGAUAGAGAUUAACAGAGCUUAUUGUUAUUUUCGAUUAAUAGUUUGAAUAGAAAUUGACGAUGGAAUUGAUAUAAUAUGUGCAUGUUUGGUGGCGGCGAAUGAUCCUUUAACCAAAGUUCUCAUCAUUAUUAUUUCUUUAUCUUUUGGCUAGAGUUUUUAUUAAAUUAUUGUUUUUGCAGUUUUACUUUCUUUACUUGGUAUUUCGUUAAAAAUUCAUAAAACCCCCCUUUAUUUAUGUUGGAUUUUCCUUUAGUUAGAUUAAUUCAUAUUAUUAUUAUUAUUAUUAUUAUUAUUAUUAUUAUUAUUAUUAUUAUUAUUAUCAUCUUAUUAUUAUUAUUAUUAUUAUUAUUAUUAUUAUUAUUAUUAUUAUUAUUAUUAUUAUUAUUAUUGUUUUAGUCUUUGUUUUAGCGUUAAUAAUAAAUACAACUAGCAUAAUUUUCGUGAAGAUCGAUUCUUACUCGCUCUAUAAUAGUUGUUUAUAUCAUUAAUAAGAUUUUAAAUUUGGUGUACCCUAACGACACUACCAACAAUUAUUCCUCAUUGAUGUUUUUUUUUUUUUUUUUUGUAUAGGUUAUUUUGUUGUUGUUGUUGUUGAUGAUGUUGUUGUUGUUAUUAUUAUGAUUAUUAUUGUUAUUACUAUUAUUAUUUUUUUUAUUUUAUGAUUUGGGAGUUUUAUGCAUAGAAGAUCAUGCGCUUAGUUUUCUUAUAUGUGCAUACUUUCAAAGGUGAGUUCAACCAGAGCCAAUUACUAUCACGGUGACUAAAGGAUAAAAAGUCCAAUAAUUUCUUGAGACUAUAAGGUUGUUUUGUAAGAGAGAAAAUUAGGGAUGGCAGAAAUUUCCCUAUUAGGAAUGGUAGAAAUCCUCAGAGGGAUGGGGGUUUUGUGGUCAACUGCAACUAAUAUAUACACAAAUUCAAAAGACGAUGGAAACGGACCCAUGAAAUCAAUUCCCCAAUAGUCAAAUAUUUCAAUCUCAAGUAUGAGAUUUAAAUGUAUCAUGUUUCUUUUAGUUAUUGAUCCCAAUUUUUGACAUUUUUCACAAGUUUUGCAAAAUUCAUAUGUGUCUUUGAAUAUGGUAGGCCAAUAAAAUCCACACUGUAAAGUUUUAGCAGUAGUUUUUCUUGAAGAAAAGUGUCCACCACAUGCUUCAGAAUGACAAAAAUUAAUGACACUACUUACCUCAUUAUCCGGAAUACAUUGCCGAAAAGUUUGAUCUGGGCAAUAUUUGAAUAAGUAAGGACCAUCCCAAUAAAAUUUAUUUACUUCAACAAAAAAUUUCUUCUUCUCUUGAGCAUUCCAUUGCAAAAGCAUUUUAUCUGUAACAAGGAAAUUAACAAUGUUAGCAUACCAUGACAUUGAAGUAACAGAAAAUAAAAAUUCAUCAGGGAAAGAAUCAUGGAUGGGUGUUAUAUCAGUGUAGAAUUCAAAUGUGAGUUUUGAUAGAUGAUCAGCAACGACAUUUUUAGCACCCUUUUUAUCUUUGAUGGUAAGGUCAAAUUCUUGAAAUAACAAAAUCCAACGAAUCAAUCUCGGUUUGGCAUCUUGUUUACUCAUCAAAUAUCUCACAACAGCAUAGCCAGUAAACACAACUGAUUUAGAGCCAAGCAAAUAUGAACGAAAUUGUUUAAUUCAAAUAUCACAGCAAGUAAUUCUUUUUCAGUUGUAGAAUAAUUCAUUUGAGCACUAUCCAAAGUCUUACUCGGGUAAUAAAUCACAAAGGGCUUACCAUCCCUUCUUUGUCCUAAAACCGCACCAACAUCAAAAUCACUUGCAUCACACAUUAAUUCAAAGGGUAAAGACCAAUCAGGAGAUUGUAUAAUAGGUGUAGAUGUUAAAAGACAAAUUAUUUUCUCAAAAGAUUUUUGGCAAUUAUCGGUCCAUUCAAAAGGUGCAUCUUUUAAUAAUAGGUUACAAAGUGGUUUAGAUAUGGCACUAAAGUUUUUUAUAAACCUCCUAUAAAUUAUGCAUGUCUUAAAAAGGAUCGCACAUCUCUAACUAUUUUUGGUUGUGGCAAUUUGGAUAUGACUUUUAUUUUGAUUUGUCAACUUCAAUUCCUUUAACAGAUACAAUAUGACCCAAAAUAAUUCCAGAAGUAACCAUGUAGUGACAUUUUUCUCAAUUCAACACGAGUUCUUUUUUAACACAUCUUUUUAAUGCUUCUCCAAAUUAUCAAGGCAAUCAUCAAAAGAAUUCCCAAACAACUGUCAAAUCAUCUAUAAAGACCUCUAAACAAUGUUCAACCAUAUCACAAAAAAUUCUUAACAUACAUCUUUGAAAUGUUGCAAGAGCAUUACAAAGCCCAAAUGACAUUCUUUUAAAUGCAAAUGUUCCAAAGGGACAUGUAAAUGUGGUCUUUUCUUGGUCCUCAAGUGCUAUAGGAAUUUGAUAAUAACCUGAAUAUCCAUCUAAAAAGUAUUAGUAGGGAUGUCCAACAACUCUUUCUAAGAUUUGGUCAAGGAAUGGUAAUGGAAAAUGAUCUUUUCUAGUGGUUUCAUUUAACUUUCUAUAAUCAAUGCACAUGCGCCAACUAGAUGUAAUUCAUGUUGGAAUUAAUUCAAAUUUUUCAUUUUUAACAACAACGAUUCUAGAUUUUUUAGGCAGUACUUGUGUAUGACUUACCCACUUACUAUCAGAAAUAGGGUAGAUAAUUCUCACAUCAAGCAAUUUAAGGACUUUUGUUUUGACUACCUCUUUCAUGUGUGGGUUUAAUCUUCUUUGAGGUUGUUGACAUGUUUUAGCAUUUUCUUUCAAAUUAAUUCUAUGUGUGCAGAUUAAGGGAUCAAUGCCUUUAAUAUCUUUUUAAGUCCAUCCAAUUGCAUUUUUAUGCCUUUUGAGAAUAGUUAGUAACUUACCUUCUUGGUCGCUUGUUAAAGUAGAAGAAAUUACAACAGGAAAAAUUUGUUCUUCUCCAAGAAAAGCAUACUUCAAUCCUUCAGGCAAAAGUUUCAAUUUCAAUUUAGGUGCUUCUUGUUGUUCUGUCUUUUCAAUAAUUCCAAACUCCUUAAAUUUUGGUUCGUCAUCAUAAUUUUGUGAAGUUUGCACAAAAUCAAGCAACAAAUUUAUAUUAGAAAUAUCAAAUUCAAGUUGCUUAUUUGACUCAAUUGAAUUAACUAAACAAACAUCAGAGAGUUCAGAAAAAUCCCAUUUUUGAAUAUUUUCCUCUAUACAAGAUGACACGACUCAAAAGUGUAUUACUCUCAAGUAUAAAAGUGUCUAGUUAUAAUAUAACCGGUGAGACCGGGGUCGAACCACAAAGAGUUUUAAAUCUAGUAAAACUAAGAAAAUUAAUUGUGGGGAAAAGAAAUUAUUUGAAAUCAAUUUAAAAAUAAACUAAGGUUUAGGAUCUACUCUCUGUAUUCAAACUAUAAUUUUAAUACUCUCUCAUUUAUAUUUUGCUUCACUUUUACCAAUUAAUUAUUAUAUCAUUUAAUUCUAUGUGUAUGGAUAAAUAUAGAAUAAAGUACCUAAUGUGCCAUACUAUAUUAAUGUGUCGACAUUAUGUCAAAAUACCAUAAAGUCCAGUGAGAUUUAUAAAUUAGCAUGAUAUAAAAAUAAUUAGAAAAGAAUUAAAUAAACUUAAAAAUUCAUUUGAGAAAAUAAUAAUAAUUAAUAGUUUAAAACAUUGAGCUUCACCCUUCACCUCAGCUUAAUAAAAUUAGCUACUCAUAUUGAAAGAAAACACAAUACUCUUUUUAUUUGAUAAACUUUUUGAAAUAUAUUACAAAGAAAAUUGAUACAAAUGGAAACAAGAAAAGAAAAGAAAAGAAACAAAGAAAGAAAGAAAUUCUUCAGCUGCACUCUAUUCUCUCUCAGCUUAAGCUCUCAAAAUAGCUCUCCCUCUUCUUAGGCGUCUCCCCAUCGCUUGCCACCCCUUUGCCUCUUAUAGGCAAAGUAAAUCAUCUUCUUUUCUUUUCUUUUAUUAAUAUUAAUAUUUUAUUUUAUUUUUAUAUUAUAUUAUAUAUAUAUAUAUUGAAUUGUGUGAUGGUCAGGAGGCGUGAUGGCCUCCUGACCAUCACCAACAUACUUUUGUUCUUUUUUUAUUUUUUUAUUUUUUAUUAUAUAUUAUUACAUCUCUUCAAUUGUGUUCCAGUAGUUCUUCUUUGUUCCCGGUUUCAAUUUCAAUUCCAUCUUUAUUCCUAAAAAAUAUUUACAAGAUAAAAAUUAACAAAUUACGAAUUAAUUUAACAUAAAAUAUAUUUGGGGAGUAUUAAAAUAAUUUAGAAAUAAUGAACGCAUUAAUCGACACAAUAAGUAAAAAACUAAUAAUUUUAUCCUUAUUAAAUAUACACUUUUUAGUGUCAAUCACACGCCCCAACCAGCUUAUUGCUAGGCCCUAGCAAUUUAAGCGAUAAAAAUUUAAAGAAAUUUCAAAACCAAAUUGAAAAUCUUUUUUUUUUUUGAAAAAUUGUGAUUACUUCCUUUGUCAGAUUAAUGACAACAAUCAAAUAAAAGUAUAAGCAUUAUCUUCAACCUAAAGAAAAUCACACCCGCUCAAAACAGUUCAGUAAAAUCCUGUAAAAUGAUCAAUCAUCAGAGCUACAUUAAUCAAGCCACUUUUAAGAAUGAUACAUCAAACCCCAAAAUUUCACGAUUAAGAGUGACUCUCUCAAAAGAAGAUAUACCCUAAAUUAAUUUGUCAUUCUUAAAAAAAAAGAUAAAUUUGAGAGAAUAAUAAAACAAUAUCACACGCUCUCACCAAGAUGAAAAAAUAAUGCCCACAACUUAGAAAUAAAAUGAUCUCAAGUCCAAUGAAUUACUAGCAAAAUUUAUUUUUAUUUUUAUGCAUCACCACAUCGUUUAGUCCAAUUACCAGCUUUUACUUCAGACUAUAGUUCUCAAAUAUCGAGAAUGACUUUUAUUAGGACGGAACGUAGGUUAGGGUCAUGGCUAACAAAAAAGAUAAUAGGGAAAACAAAAUAUAUGUUUGAAAAAUAGGGAACUUUUUGGAGAUUACAAGGUGCUUUUUUUUUUUUGCUUGGAUUUUUUUCUUUUUCUUUUUUCUUUUUUUUCUUCUUCUUUUUUUUUUCUUAUAUACAUAUCAUCCCUUUUUUUUUGGUAUAGCACCAUUAUUAGGAAUACAUAAUCAUCCCUAUUUUCAAACAUAAUUGGGUGGUGGAAAACAUAAAAUAUAAGGUGAUACUCCACAUUGGAGUGGGAUAAGAUAAUAGGUUAUCAAAGAAUUUUUUUUAAAAGGCUUAAAGGGGUUAACUAUGGAUUCUUUAUAGUAGGGUUGGCUAGAAAGGCUCAAACGGAUCAAUGAUGGCCUAUAUAAUCUUUCAUGUCCACUAGUUCAAUGGACUUUUAGAUGCGGCUGCACAAACCUUGUUUUUUUUAAAGAAAAUAUUGAGAUUUUGUACAAUAAAUUGUGAAGCUGUAUAGGCAAAUAAGGUUACUCUCCAAGGAUAAUAGGAUCAAAAACUCGCUUAGUCUUUUCAUAACAUGUACAUUCCUCCAAAUGGCUCAAUCAAUUUCACUCAUCCAAUUUCUCAACUUGUGUUUCAACAUGCAAAAGGAAAAACAUAGUGUAACAUAACUCAAGGCCAAAGAUAAUACAAAUACCAAAAUUUGAAAAUCGUCAUGUUAUCCAAUGUUAAAAGUUCACACCGAAAAAGAAAAUUUUUUUUUCUUUUUUUUUUAAAGAAAACACAAAAAGAAAUUGGGACUGAUUGCAGAAACUUAAGGGAGAUGAUUAAGAGAAAAAGACCAAAAACAAAAAGUUAGAAACUUUUUUUUUUUUGGAAGAAAACACAAAAAUUAAGAAGAUGCGUUUCUAGAGACACUACAUUCUAUAUUCUGCCAUCUUCGACUCAAAGUUUUAUCCAAAGUUAGUUUUUACAACAAAAAUUAGUAAAAACAUCACUAGGAUUGAGACAUUCCACAAUUAUCAACUAUUCCCUCCCCCCAACCUGAAGGAGACAUUGUCCUCAAUGUUUAAAGAAAGGAGUAGAGUUUAGAAGAUAUCACCUGGCCACUACUGGAAAUAUUUACAGACGGAGAGUUAAAUCUAAUUUACACUUUUUACAAGAGUUACUGCCAUCAUCAUCAAUUGCCCAAUCCAACACUAAAGUCAUGGGAUCUGGCCCUAGUUUGUAAGCUUGCAAAAGAUCAAGUAACUCAUUAGCAGUAGGAGUACAAAUGAAGAGUUUUUUCACUAAGGAUGGAAUAAAAUAAUUUUUUAUUGCAUGAUUAAGAAAUGUUAUUAAGCCAUCAUAAAAGUUAUUAACAUUUAACAAACCGAUGAGUUUUUUAUGGAUAUUCAAAUGGGCCCAAGAAGCAAAUGUAAUUAGUGCCUCCAAAGUUGCAAGAUCUCCUGGAGAGAAAAUAAAAGCGUCAGCAUGAUUCAACAUUUCAGAUAUUCUUUCUUGCAUACCUGAGACAGCUAACUCUUCUCCAGUUGGUGAGUCUGGUAGACAUCCUAAAGGUUUUAAGGCUUUUGGAAUGAUGCCUAGCACUUGGCUUCCUCGAACGAAAGCAGCUUCAGAGACAAGCUUUGAUAACCCUCGGUCACCUCCUCCAUAUACAAGAUGUAGUUUCCUCUCUGCUAUAGCACGACCAAGAUCUAUGGCUGCCUGAACGAACUCCUUAUACUUUCCAUAACGAAAUCCAGAAAGCACACAGAUGUUUUUAAGUUGACUGCUUGAAGUUGCUGCCAUUAGAACAAUUCUAAAAAGAAACAAUUUGUGAGUGCUUGAAAAGAAGUUCUUAUUUAAGGAUCUUGGUGACGGAUGUUGUGCAAAUUUUAAUGUACUCGCAAGCGCACGAAUCUAUUGUAGUAUAGACUAAUGGUGACGAGUGUCGAUCCCACGACGAGGUGGAUUUUAAUUAUAUAUAGAAUUAAUUUUGUAAAUGGGUGGUUGGAAUUGUGGUGGAAGUGAUUUAAAUUAUCCUAAAAUUGGAAUUGAAAUGGCGAUAAUAAAUUCUAAAAUUGGACUUGCAAUGGCGAGAAUAAAUUGAAGAGAAAUCUAUUAAAUUGACGUACUUGGGUAUCUAGAUCCGUAUCAACAUACAUCAUGGGCUAAAUAAUCCGUAUUAAGGCCAAUGAAAUCAUGAGGGGGGAAUCCACACCUCAUGAACCACGCUCUAAUCAAUAUGGUGCUAAGGGCUUAUCGUGCCAAAUAAUAAUAACCUUAUACUAGAGAGCCGGUGUAACCAAGGCGGUAUCUAGACAAGAUUAUGAUUAUUUAUCGACGAGAAGUCAAAACAUCCACAAAAACUAGAGGGGAAGAGAAAAUAAAUUUACCAAAUUAAGCCCAUGACACAUGUUGAGACUUCACCUUCAACCCAAGCUUGAAAGAAAAUUAGCCACUCAUAAUUGAACUAGGGGCAAAAUGGGAAUUUAUUAAAAUAUGAAGAAAAUACAAGAUGGAGAAAGAAUUACAGAAAAUGGAUCCCAAAAAUGGAUUCAGAGAUAUCAAAUUAGGGGGGAGAGGCCCCCUUUUUAUAGAUACAUGGAGUAAAUCAUGGCCAUCGGAUUAAAAACAGUUUGGACGCUCAGGAUUGUGCCACGUCAUCAGUCAACAGUCCACGGUUUGACCACGCGGAUGAACAGUAACACGGUUUGACCCGACUUUGAACAGUAACGCGGUUUGACCCGGAUGAACAGUAACGCGGUUUGGUUGAAAAUAAUCCUGUGUGAUGCAUGCACCGUAUGCGAGAUUUUUCGUCCACUGAUAUGCUGCCACGUCACCAUCAACAGUAUAUAAGAAUUUUAGUCCAACAGGAUCGUGAUACCUCAUCAGUCAAUGCCACGUCAUCGGUCCGUCUAUGUGAACAGUGUCGUGAACAGUAACGUAUACAGUACCGUACACGUGAAUAGUACCGUACAUGUGAACAGUGCCAUUUUUCCUUUUAUGCUCCUCCUAAGGUUUUCGACCGUCAUGAGUUCAAAAGUGAUGUCCGUUUUGCCAUCUGAUUUCUCGUUUAUUGUGAAAUGACUAUAAUGCCCCUAAAAUACAUAAAAUACUUAAUUAAAAUAAAACACAUGUAAUUAAAUCACAAGUAGGUUAAAUACAUAAAAGUAAGGGUUGUUAGUAAGACUUGAAAUGUAAAAUGACGGUUUUCUCCUUUAUAAAUAUGCAUUUUCUAACACUCAACACACCCCCCAACCAGCUUAUUGCUAGUCCCUAGCAAAUGAAGCAAAAAUAAAAUUCAAAUUCAAAAUGAUUUUUUUUUUAAAUUUAGAAACACUCGUGUUUAUUCAAUCAGAUUAAUGAUAGCAAUCAAAUAAAAGUAUAAGCAUUAUCUCCAGUCUAAAGUAACAUCACACCCACAUCAACCAUCCACAUGAAUCAGCCCAGUAGACUUUGUUAUAGCUACUUUCAAGAAUGACAUGUCAAACCCCAAAAUCUCACUGGAAGUAGUGACACUCUCACAAAGAAAUUAAACCCAAUAAAAAUAGUCACUCCAAUGAAUGGUAAUUGAGAGAAAAUAAUGAAGAAGUGAUAUCACAUGCUCUCACCAAAAUGAAAUAAAUAUGCCCUCAGCUUAAAAAUAAUACGAUCUCAAGUCAAAUAAAAACUGUUAGUCAACCCAAUUUAUUUAUUUAUUUAUUUUAUAUGCACCACUACAUCUUUUUAGCCCAUAUAACUAGCUUCUACUUCAGAUUAUAGUACCCUAAAAUCAGGAAGGACUUUUAUUAGGAUGUAAUGUAGGCUAGGGACAUGGUUAACAAAGAAAGGAAAUAAGGAAAACAAAGUGUAUGUUUGAGAAAAAUGCAGAGAAUUUUUUUUUUUUCAGAAGUUGCAAGGUGGAUUUCACCUAUUAUUGUUAUUUUUAUUCUUUUGAAACAACAACUUUUGUUUUGUUGUUGUUCUUUUUUUUUUUUUGGUAUAACUUCACUGAACAACAUAAUUAUUUACAUUUUCUCAAACAUAAAUAGGUGAUGGAACUUAUAAGAUAUCGGGUAAUACUCCAAAUCGGAGUGGGUCAAGAUGAUAAGUUGACAAAGAAAAUAUUUUUUUUUUUAAGGCUCAAAAAGGUUAACUAUGGAUAUUUAAUAAAAUGGAUGGCUAGAAAGGCUCAAACGGAUCAAAGAUGGCCUUUCCAUCGUCUUUUAGGGCUCUAAAUAAACUUCCAUAUCUACUAGUUAGAUGGGCCUCCAAAUGUAGCAACACACUUUUUUUUUUCUUUUUUUUUUAUUAAGGGUUAACUCAAAAGAAAUCUAGAGAUCGUGUAUACAAUAAUAAACUGUUAAGCUAUAUAAAGAAUGGGCAAAAGGGUUACUCUCCAAGAAAAAUGAUAGGCUCAAAAACUCACUUGGUACUUAUUAUGACAUGUUCAUUCCUUCAAGCAACUCAUAUAUGUCUCCGACAUCAACAUGUAGAGUAGCAAACAUAAUGUAACAUCACUUAAGACCAAAGAUAAUACAAAUACUAAAAUUUAAAAUUAAUCAUGUCACCCAAUGUUAAAACAAAUCACACAAUUUUUUUUUUUUAAACAACAUUCUACCCCCCAACCUAUUCUAAACAUGAAAGGAAAAUAUGCAUGCAGAAAUGUGAAAAUGAUGCAAAAAAAAAAAACAAAUUAGAAAAAGUACACUUAAAAUAAUAGAAAAAGAAAAUGGAUUUUUUUUUUUUACUAAGAAGAUGCGUUUCUAGAGGCACUACACUCCAUAUUCAGCCAUCUUCGACUCAAAAGUUAGAAAAUGUAUAUUCAUAGAGGAGAAAUUAAAAAGAAGAAAAAUAAACAUCAAAACUUAAUAAAGAAAAAGAAAAUGUCUAAUUUUUUUUUUGAAUUUUUUUUUUCCAAACAAUGAAGAUGCGUUUCUAGAGUAACUACACUCCAUAUUCAGCCAUCUUCAACACAAAAAGUUAGCAACAGUUAGUUUCUACAACAAAAAUUAGUAAAAACUUAACCAAAAUUCCACAAUUGUCGACUAUUCCCUCCCCCCAACCAGAACGAAACAUUGUCAUCAAUGUUUGAAAGGAAAGAAGUAGAGUUUAGAAGACAUCACCUGGGUGGUGCAACACAGAAAACAAUAUUUACAAGCGGAGAGUUAAAUCUAAUUUGUACUUCUUACUGCGGCUACUGUUACCAUCAUUAUUUGGGCGCUCCAAACAAAGGUCCAGGGGUCUGGCUCCGGUCUAUAAGCUUGUAACAGAUCAAGUAGCUCAUUAGUAGUGUGAGCACAAAUAAAGAGUUUUUUCACAUUAGCGGGAAUGAAAUAGUUUUUUAUUGCAUGAUUAUGAAAUGCGAUAAAGCCAUCAUAAAAGUUAUUGACAUUUAACAAACCGAUGGGUUUUUGGUGGAUGUGCAGAUGGGCCCAAGAUGCUAGCGUGAUAAGUGCCUCUAGUGUUGCAAGAUCUCCUGGAAGGAAAAUAAAAGCAUCAGCAUGAUUAAGCAUUUCAGUUAUUCUUUCUUGCAUAGCUGAGACGACUAACUCUUCUCCAGUUGAUGAGUCAGACGAACUGCCCAAUGGUUUUAAGACUCUUGGGAUGAUGCCUAACACUUGACUUCCUCUGAUAAAAGCUGCUUCUGAGACCAUUUUUGAUAACCCUCGAUUACCUCCUCCAUACACCAAGUGUAAUUUUCUCGCUGCUAUGCUUCGACCAAGAUCUAUGGCUGCCUCAACGAACUCUUUAUGUUUGCUAUAGGUAAAUCCAGAAAGCACACAAAUGUUCUUGAAUUGUCUAUUGGGAGUAGCUGCCAUUGUGAUACUUCUCGAAAAUAAUUUGUGAGUGCUUGACAAAAAAGAAAUCACAUUUAAGAGUCUUGGUGAUAGUGGGUCAUGGUUGUGUAUGAGGUAAUAUGUCAGUGUCAAAUAACGCGUAAAGCACGUGGCUCGCAAGUCAAAAAGAAAACAGUAAAAAGGAAAAAGCAAACAGUAAUAAAAUUAUUAAAGACAAUAAUGCAAACAAUAAGACAAUAGUGAAAUAAAAUAACAAUAAAGUAAAAGGAUAUUUACAGGUAGUUGCGACUGUGGCUCACAUCUUCCUCUGGUUUUACGUCCAGAAACGGCUUGAACGCCCUCUAUGGGUCGAGGAUAGGCUUCCUAUCCAGCUUUCUUAUAAACUGGCAAACAGGGUCGUUUAUAGUCAGAUUCCCGAGACUAUAUCGUGCAUGCUCUUUCUGGAAUAAUGACCAUAACUGGAGAAUCGCUCCUUGCACAUAUCCACUGGGAUGCGUUUCAAGAGAUAAAAGGAUAUCAUCCAAUGACUCCUUAUUCAAGCCAUCCCUAAUGAAUUGAAUCUUAUCUUCCCUGUUAUCAGACAUCAUUCCUAAAGAACAUGGGUUUUUAUUGCAACUCAUUCUGGCACACUUAUGACAAGCAACAGAAAUUCUUCGAGCUCGUCGUUUUCUUGCAUAAUUUCCUUUACCACAACCAGGCAUGUAUGCAAUAAAUUUUGGAGGUAACUCACCUGCCGAUCGUACUUUAGCCUCGAUUAACCAACGGAUGUCAGCAGGUAUGUUAUUCCUCAUGAGUAAUCGCAUGCGUUCGGACCGAGCUUUAUAGAUCGUAAGGAGGGCAUUCUGAGGAAGUGAAGGGAAUCGCUUGUGAAGUUUCGCUAGAAUCUCGUUUCUGUCCAUACCUUCGCCUCAAAAUAUCAGUUAUUAUGGGAAACUGAAGUAACCGACUUGAUUGUCACGGAGUACCGUUAUCCGCCACUUCACCGGGGUAACAAACUAAAGCACACAAACAGAAAAACAAAUUAAAACACACAAUUAAAAUCGUCCUCUUAUUGAAUUUACCUCAAGCUCCAACUGGAUGUCGUAAACACUUCUCUCAAUGUCUCUGAGUUGGCUUUCUAAACCCUCAACAUAGGCUACUAACUCUGGUGGUUGUAGAGCCCAAAUGCGAUGUGUUUUACAAAAUUGAAUCUGCCUUUUGAGAUGAGUUUUGACACGUUGAAGUGGUUUAAGAAUGUUCAGGAGGAACGGUCUAAGUAAGGUACUCAUGAUUAAAAACGAUAAAAGAAAACUUAAUAGUUAAACAAACACACUUAUGCAAAAAUAAUUUCAAUUAGCAGAAGAAUAAUAAAAAGAAAGAAGAAAAAAAAUCAAAUCAACGAAAGGAAAAAAAAAUCAAUUCAAAUCUGGUGGGUUACUCAAAUUUAUUUCGGUGUCUUCUCCGUGUGGUUGGUAUUCUAGAUAUGACUUUAAUCUUUGACCAUUAACUUUAAACGUGACACCGUUCUUUGGGUCCUUAAUUUCAAUUGCCCCAUGUGGAAAAACAGUAUGAACAAUAAAUGGGCCAGAUCAACGAGAGCGUAACUUACCUGGGAAUAGGUGCAAGCGAGAAUUGAAUAAAAGCACUUUCUGACCUGGAGUGAACGAUUUUCUCAUAAUUUGCUUAUCAUGGAAGACUUUCAUUCGUUGCUUGUAAAUCUUGGCAUUUUCGUAUGCAUCAUUGCGAAUUUCUUCAAGUUCUGCCAUCUGUAAUCUUCUUUCUGAGCUGGCUUGCUGCAUGUCAAAAUUGAAUUUCUUGAUGGCCCAAUAUGCACGAUGCUCGAGUUCCACAGGUAGGUGGCAAGCUUUUCCAUACACUAGCCUGUAGGGUGACAUCCCAAUCGGGGUCUUGAAAGCCGUUCUAUAUGCCCAUAAGGCAUCAUCAAGUCUUAAUGACCAAUCUUUUCUGUCUGGCCUCACCGUCUUUUCUAAUAUGUGCUUUAUUUCUCGAUUGGAGAUCUCAACUUGGCCACUGGUUUGCGGAUGAUACGGGGUCGCCACUUUGUGUGUGAUUGAAUACUUUGUCAAAAGAGCUUUGAAUGCUUUGUUACAAAAGUGGGCACCACCAUCACUGAUUAUUGCUCGAGGGAAUCCAAAGCGUGAAACAAUGUUGCUUUUCAAAAAUGCUAUCACCACUUUGUGAUCAUUAGUUCUGCAUGAAAUUGCUUCUACCCAUUUGGAUACGUAGUCAACAGCAACCAAUAUGUAUUGAUGGCCAAAAGACGGGGGAAAGGGUCCCAUGAAGUCGAUACCCCAUACGUCAAAAAUCUCAACCACUAAAAUUGGAUUUAGUGGCAUCAUGUUCCUUCGUGUAAUGCUCCCCAUUCGUUGACACCUAUCACAUGAAGAACAGAAAGUGUAAGCGUCUCGAAAUAUAGAUGGCCAAUAGAAACCACAUUGUAAAACUUUAGUCGCUGUUUUCUUAGCACUGAAAUGGCCUCCACAAGCUUGUUCAUGGCAGAAUGAAAGGAUAUUCUGAAUUUCACUUUCUGGGACACAUCGUCUAACAAUUUGGUCUGCACAAUACUUGAAUAAAUAUGGGUCAUCCUAAAAGAAAUUCUUUAUUUCUGCAAAAAAUUUAGCCUUGUCUUGCUUGGUCCAAUGCUCUGGAAGUUUACCUGUAACAAGAUAAUUAACUAUAUCAGCAUACCAAGGUAAUAAUUCCACACUCAUUAAUUGUUCAUCUGGAAAUGACUCAUUCAAUAUUAAUGGCUCUGUAAUUGAGUCAAAAUGGAGACGAGAGAGGUGGUCCGCCACAACAUUUUCUGUCCCUUUCUUAUCUUUGAAUUCCAAGUCAAAUUCCUGCAAAAGUAACACCCAACGAAUUAGCCUAGCUUUUGCAUCUUUCUUUGUGAGAAGAUAUUUAAGAGCAGCAUGAUCUGUGAACACGAUUAUUUUACAACCAAUGAGAUAAGAUCGAAAUUUCUCUAAUGCAAACACUACUGCUAGCAUUUCUUUUUCAGUAGUUGAAUAGUUCAACUGUGCAUCAUUCAAUGUCAUACUAGCAUAGUAAAUAACGUGGGGAAUUCGAUCAACUCUUUGUCCUAAUACUGCUCCUACUGCAUAAUCAGAUGCAUCACACAUGAGUUCAAAUGGUAAGCUCCAGUUCGGGGGCUGAAUGAUGGGUGAUGAUGUCAACAAAUGCUUUAAUUUUUCAAACGCAACAAGACAUGAAUCAUCAAAGACAAAAGGUACAUCCUUAGCAAGUAAAUUGCAUAAGGGUCUAGAAACUUUGCUAAAAUCUUUAAUGAAACGUCUAUAGAACCCAGCAUGCCCAAGGAAAAAUCUUACUUCUCUGACUGUUUUGGGUGGAGGAAGAUUAGAAAUGAGAUCCACCUUGGCUUUGUCAACCUCAAUACCUUUGCUCGAAAUGAUGUGACCGAGAACAAUACCUUGUUUUACCAUAAAAUGGCAUUUCUCCCAAUUUAAGACCAAGUUCUUCUCGAUACAUCUCUGCAGAACUAGUGUUAGAUGAUGUAAACAUUGAUCAAACGAGCCACCAAAGACAGAAAAGUCAUCCAUAAAGACUUCAAGGAAUCGUUCCACCAUAUCAGAAAAAAUGCUCAACAUGCAUCGUUGAAAUGUAGCAGGUGCAUUACAUAAUCCAAAUGGCAUUCUCCUAUAUGCAAAUGUGCCAAAAGGGCAAGUAAAAGUGGUCUUCUCUUGAUCUUUUGGUGCUAUGGGGAUCUGAUUAUAUCUUGAGUAGCCAUCUAAAAAGCAAUAAAAUUCAUGUCCUGCUAAUCUAUCAAGCAUUUGAUCAAUAAAUGGUAAAGGAAAAUGGUCUUUACGUGUGACAGAAUUCAACUUCCUAUAAUCAAUGCAUACACGCCAUCCUGUAGUCACUCUAGUAGGUAUCAAUUCAUUAUCGGCAUUGGUAACUACAGUGACUCCUGACUUUUUGGGGACAACUUGCACAGGACUGACCCAUGAACUAUCAGAAAUUGGGUAAAUGAUACCUGCAUCUAAUAGCUUAAGGACUUCUGUUCUAACAACUUCUUUCAUAUUAGGAUUUAACCGACGUUGCAUCUCCCUAGUAGUUUUAGCAUUUUCAUUAAGGUGAAUGUAAUGCAUGCAGUCUACUGGGUUUAUACCUUUUAUGUCUGCUAUGGUCCAUCCUAAUGCUCCUUUGUGCUCUUUUAAAACAUCCAACAACUUACCUUUUUGUUCGUCAUUUAGGGAUGAUGAGAUGAUUACCGGUAGAGUACUUUCUUCUCCCAAAAAUGCAUAUUCCAGAGUGUUGGUUAAUGGUUUGAGCUCGAGUUUCGGUGGUGAUUCUGAUGAUGGGAUGAGUUUCUUCUCUGAUGGUGCUAGUUGCUCAACUCUUGACUUCCAUUUAUUAGUGUCCAUAGAUGGUGCUGAGUCAAGCAGGGCAUUGACCUCAUCGACCGAUCUGUCAAUAUCAAAAUCAAAACCAAAGUGAGUCAAACAUGUCUGUAAAGGAUCAUCACUAAGGUUUGAAAUAAAAGUGUCAUCAAUUAAUGUUUCUAUUAAAUCCACAUCAACAAUUUCAUCAUCUGCAUUGUGAGGUUGUUUGGCAAUGUUGAAAAUGUUUAGCUCCAUAGUCAUGUUGCCGAAGGACAACUGCAUAUUUCCAGUCCUGCAUUGAAUGUGAGCAUCCGCAAUUGCCAAGAAUGGUCGGCCUAGAAUAAUGGGGAUCUGCUUCCUUGACUCCUGUAUUGGUUGAGUGUCAAUUACAAUUAAAUCAACAGGAAAAUAAAACUUGUCUACCUGGAUAAGCACGUCCUCCACAAUACCACGAGGUAUUUUCGUGGACCGAUCUGCAAGCUGUAACACCACUGGAGUUGGGUGUAAUUCUCCCAGUCCAAGUUUCACAAAUACUGAAUAAGGCAACAAAUUUACACUAGCUCCUAAAUCCAACAAAGCAUUCUCAAUUGUGUGGUUCCCUAUACUACAUGAGAUAGUGGGGGAGCCUGGGUCUUUGCAUUUUAAAGGAAUUUUAUGUUGGAGUAUAGAACUAACGUUUUCUGUUAAAAAUGCCUUCUUUUGAACAUGCAUAUUUCUCUUUUUAGUACAAAGGUCUUUAAGAAACUUGGCAUAAGAUGGAACUUGUUUAAUAGCAUCAAGCAAAAGGAUGUUAACACUUACCUGUUUGAAGAUUUCGAGAAUCUCACCUAUGGAUUUUCCCUUUUUGCCUUUAGCUAACCUCUGGGGGAAUGGAGCUUUGGGAACGUAUUCUCGUGGGUUGGUUUCUUCUUUCUCCUCCGGUGAUGAGUCAUCAACACUCACAGGUACAAUUUGAUUUUCUUUUGUUACCGGCAUCUCCACUUUGUUGUCGACUUCUUUUCCUUUUCGCAAGGUCAUUACUGCUUUGACUUCUCCAUGCUGCUGUGGUGAAUUGGUACUUGCGUCAUGCACUCCUUUAGGGUUAGGCACUGGUUGACUUGGAAACUUACCUUUCUCAACGGUCAUUGCCAAGGUCUGAACUGAAGAAGCAAGUUGUCCCACCAUCUUCUCGAGGCUUGAAACUGAUUGAGCUUGUGAGUUGAAGCCUGCUCUCAACUCAUUUCGUAGUCCAUCAAUGGUGCGGUUCUGUUGCUCAAUCGUGGAGUGAGUAAGAUUCUUAAGAUUCUGGAAUGAAUCCUCCCAUGGUCUGGGCUGAGAGUAAUUCUGGUUCUGAUUGUAUGGUCUAAAUGGUGGCUGAGAGGCUUGAGGAUUUUGUGGAAUUGGUGGAGCUGGAGCUGCUGGUCCAUUCUGUUGGAAUCCUUAAGACCAUGAAAAAUUGGGGUGGUCUCUCCAUCCAGGGUUAUAUGUGUUGGAGUAUGGGUUGUAAUUCGAUGGUUUUCUUAUUACACCUAUGGCAUUGGCUUGAUCUGAGUAUGAGUCAUGGUCAUGUGGCUCUGUUGAUUUAGCAGUCGAUAAUGAUGCUAUUUGUCGAGAGAGACCUUCAAUUAUCGCUUUGACUUCUUUAAUUUCUGAACUUGACUCGCCAAUGUGAACCUCAUUUGCUCCCUUAAUUCUUCUAGUAUUCCUGAGUGAUCGACUCCGUUGUUGGGAAUUAUCCGCUUGUCGCUGGAAGAAUUCCCAAAUCUCUGAUGCACUUUUUGACAUUAGCUCUCCUCCACUUGUUGCCAUUAGCCAUUCUUGCACAUUCGGCAGUAAUCCCUCCAAAAAGUAUUGGCAUUGGUGCCAUUUCUCGUACCCAUGAUGUGGACACUUCAAGAGUAGCCCAUUGAAUCGCUCCCAUAUUUCGAAAAAUUGCUCGUCCUCUCUCUGUGUAAACUCUGAAAUUUCCCUGCGAAUAGCAUUGGUUUUAUGCACUGGGAAAUAUUUAUUCAAAAAUUUAGUUACCAUUUGUUCCCAUGAUGAAAUGCUAUUGGCAGGCAAUGUAUUAAGCCAUGAACGAGCUCUAUCCUUUAAAGAAAAUGGGAAUAAUCUGAGUUUAACAUCAUCGUCUGAAAAAUUUUCAUAUUUAAAAGUUUGACAAAUGGCAUGAAAAUCAUUCAGAUGAUUAUAUGGGUCCUCAUUUUCUAAGCCAUAGAAUGUGGGGAGACAAUUUAGCACACUAGGUUUUAGUUCAAAACUUCUAGCAGCUACAUUUGGGUAUCUUAUUCAUGAUGUGCUCAAAUUAGCUAAGGGACUAAAAUAGUCCUUAAAUGGCCUCUCUUGUGGUGCUUGUAAAUCCAUUCCAAAUUUAUUUUUAAUGUGCUUUUGUGUGCGAAGUGUUUUUUCUAAUUCAAGGUCUAUAGGUUCAAGAUUAGGUAAUAAUGACCUACGACCAUGCAUGCAAAACAAAUAAAAUAAAAAUAAAGAUGGGAACAAAACAAUUAAAAAUAAAGAAGAGGGAGAAAUUACGAUACUAACCUUAUUGCGCUAUUACAACCUUUCUAUAAAAAUAAACAAAAAUAAAUACGUGAAAGAAAUUAACUAAAAAUUAAAUUAAUUAAAAUAAAAUAAAAAUAAAAAAAAUUACAAAGAAAAAUAAAUUGAAAAUUAAAUUGCAGAAUUUUAAAGAAGAGAAAAAGAAAAAAAAUACUAACCUUUAAAUGUAGAUUCACUUUUUUUUUUAAUAAUAAAAAAAUACAAGAAAACAAAUAAAAGAAAUUAUUCACAAAAAAUUAAUUUUACGAAUUAAAAUUACUUACCUCCCCGGCAACGGCGCCAAAAACUUGUUGUGCAAAUUUUAAUGUACUCGCAAGCGCACGAAUCUAUUGUAGUAUAGACUAAUGGUGACGAGUGUCGAUCCCACUAGGAGGUGGAUUUUAAUUAUAUAUAGAAUUAAUUUUGUAAAUGGGUGGUUGGAAUUGUGGUGGAAGUGAUUUAAAUUAUCCUAAAAUUGGAAUUGAAAUGGCGAUAAUAAAUUCUAAAAUUGGACUUGCAAUGGCGAGAAUAAAUUGAAGAGAAAUCUAUUAAAUUGACGUACUUGGGUAUCUAGAUCCGUAUCAACAUACAUCAUGGGCUAAAUAAUCCGUAUUAAGGCCAAUGAAAUCAUGAGGGGGGAAUCCACACCUCAUGAACCACGCUCUAAUCAAUAUGGUGCUAAGGGCUUAUCGUGCCAAAUAAUAAUAACCUUAUACUAGAGAGCCGGUGUAACCAAGGCGGUAUCUAGACAAGAUUAUUAUUAUUUGUCGACGAGAAGUCAAAACAUCCACAAAAACUAGAGGGGAAGAGAAAAUAAAUUUACCAAAUUAAGCCCAUGACACAUGUUGAGACUUCACCUUCAACCCAAGCUUGAAAGAAAAUUAGCCACUCAUAAUUGAACUAGGGGCAAAAUGGAAAUUUAUUAAAAUAUGAAGAAAAUACAAGAUGGAGAAAGAAUUACAGAAAAUGGAUCCCAAAAAUGGAUUCAGAGAUAUCAAAUUAGGGGGGAGAGGCCCCCUUUUUAUAGAUACAUGGAGUAAAUCAUGGCCAUCGGAUUAAAAACAGUUUGGACGCUCAGGAUUGUGCCACGUCAUCAGUCAACAGUCCACGGUUUGACCACGCGGAUGAACAGUAACACGGUUUGACCUGGAUGAACAGUAACGCGGUUUGGUUGAAAAUAAUCCUGUGUGAUGCAUGCACCGUAUACGAGAUUUUUCGUCCACUGAUAUGCUGCCACGUCACCAUCAACAGUAUAUAAGAAUUUUAGUCCAACAGGAUCGUGAUACCUCAUCAGUCAAUGCCACGUCAUCGGUCCGUCUAUGUGAACAGUGUCGUGAACAGUAACGUAUACAGUACCGUACACGUGAAUAGUACCGUACAUGUGAACAGUGCCAUUUUUCCUUUUAUGCUCCUCCUAAGGUUUUCGACCGUCAUGAGUUCAAAAGUGAUGUCCGUUUUGCCAUCUGAUUUCUCGUUUAUUGUGAAAUGACUAUAAUGCCCCUAAAAUACAUAAAAUACUUAAUUAAAAUAAAACACAUGUAAUUAAAUCACAAGUAGGUUAAAUACAUAAAAGUAAGGGUUGUUAGUAAGACUUAAAAUGUAAAAUGACGGUUUUCUCCUUUAUAAAUAUGCAUUUUCUAACACUCAACAACGGACAUAAUGAUAUACAUCUAUAAAUGGAGUGGUGUGUUUGUCAAAUAACGCGUGAAGCUUUUAGCUUAAUAAUUCAAAGACAAAUAGUGAAAAGAAAAAGCAAACAGUGAUUAGAUAAAAUAAAAAAAAACACAAUAAUAAUAAUAAUGCAAAAGAUAAAGAACAGUUAAAUAAAAGGAUAUUUACUGGUAGUUGUGAUUGUGGCUCACAUCUUCCUCUAGUUUUACGUCCAGUAACGGCUUGAACGCCCUCUAUGGGUCGAGGAUAGGCUUCCCAUCCAGUUUUCUUAUAAACUGGCAAACAUGGUCUUUUAGAGUCAGAUUACUAAGACUAAACUGUGCGCUUUCCUUUUGGAACAGCUUCCACAAAUUUUGAAUUUCACGUUGAACAUAUCCGCUCGGAUGCGUCUCAAGAGAUCGUAAGAUAUCAUCUAAUGAUUCUUUACUCAUGCCAUCCUUAACGAAUUUGAUUUUAUCUUCACAGUUUACAGAAACCAUUCCUAAAGCUUUACAACGUGGAUUUUUGCAAGUGAGUCUUACACAGUGAGAACAUUCAGAGCCAAGUCGCUUAGCUCUUCUUUUCUUAGCAAAUCUACUUUUACCAAAACCAGGCAUGUAGGAAAUGAAUGGAUCAAAAAACUCACCUGCCAAUCGGACCUUUGCUUCAAUUAACCAGCGAAUGUCAGCAGGAAUCCCAUUGAUCAUUAACAAACGCAAUCGUUCACAACGAGUUUUGUAAAUCUUCUUAAGAGCAUUUUGAGGGAGAGAGGGAAAAUGUUGAUGCAAAUUUUAUUGUAUUUCUUCCAUGCUUGACAUUGAGGUUUCAGUUAUUGUGGAAAACUGAGAAUACCGACUUAAAAAGUCACGGAGUACCGUUAUCCGCCAUUUAUACGGGAGAGUGAAUAAAAAAAAAAUCAAAUCUGCAAAAUCAAAUCAAAAGUGAAAAAGAACAAUAAAACAAAAACACACAAGGAAUAUAACUCGCCUUCGUCCUUUUAUUGAAUCCAGUUCUAAUUGCAGAUUAUAAAUACCAUCCUCUAUUUCCUUGAGUUUUCUUUCUAGAUCUUUCACAUGAGAUACUAACUCUGGUGGUUGCAGAUCCCAAAUGGGGUGUAAUUUACAAAAUUGGAGCAAUUUCCUCAGGUGAAAUUUUACAUGAAAAAGCAUUUUAAGAUGAUCAAGAAGGAAAUUUCUCAUGGAGGUACUCAUGACAAGUAUAAAAAUUUGGUGAGCUAAAUCACAAUUGUCAAACAACACAUAAUUAAAACAAUGCAAUGCACUCCAUUCAAGACAUAGGGAAAAGGAAAAGAAAAGAAAAUUAAAUAAUUCAAACGAUAAAGUAACAGUAAAUCAAAUUCACAAAACGUUAAAAUGAAAAGGCUUAAUCAAAAUUUUGGUGGGUCACUCAAAUGGAUUUUGAUAUCUGCUUCAUAUGGUUGGUAUUCCAGAUAUGGUUUCAAUCUUUGGCCAUUAACUUUAAAUGUGACACCAUCCUUUAGAUUCUCAAUUUCUAUGGCUCCAUAUGGAUACACAUUUUUUACAACAAAAGGACCAUUCCACUUUGACUUUAACUUUCCUGAAAAUAAAUGAAGACCAAUUUCAAAUGUUUUCCGAAAAAUUCUUUUGUUAUGAAAAAAUUUGGUUCUUGCCUUAAUAAUUCUGGAAUUCUCAUAUGCAUCAUUCCUUAAUUCCUCAAGUUCAUUUAUUUGCAAUUUACGCAUAUUGCUAGCAUCAUCAAGAUUUGACUUAAAAGCUUUAAUGGCCCAAAAUGAUUUAUGUUCAAGUUCUACUGGUAAGUGGCAAGAUUUUCCAUAAACAAGCUAAUAGGGUGACAUUCCUAAAGAUGUUUUAAAAGCAAUACGAUAUGCCCAAAGUGCAUCAAUUAGUCGAAGAGACCAAUCUUUACGGUUUGGAUUAACUGUCUUUUCUAAAAUUUGUUUUAUCUCCCCAUUUGCUAAUUCAACUUGACCACUUGUUUGAGGGUGAUAAGGGGUAGCAACCUUAUGUAUAAUUCCAUAUUUCUUCAUUAAGGACUCAAAUGGCUUAUUACAAAAAUUCUUACCUCCAUCACUGAUAAUGGCUCGAGGUAUUCCAAAUCUGCUCAAAAUAUUUUCUUUUAAAGAGCGGAUCAUAAUCUUGUGAUCAUUGUGCCGACAAGGAAUCGCCUCAAUCCAUUUUGAAACAUAAUCAACAGCAACCAAAAUGUAUACAAAUCCAAAUGAUAAUGGAAAAUGGCCCAUAAAAUCAAUUCCCCAACAAUCAAAUAUUUCAAUGAUAAAGAUGGGGUUUAAAGGCAUCAUGUUUCGCUUUGAAAUAGACCCUACCAUUUGACAAUUCUUACACAUUUUACAGAAUGCAUGUGAAUUUUUAAAUAAUGUAGGCCAAUAAAAUCCACACUGUAAUAUUUUUGCAGCUGUCUUUUUUGAAGAAAAAUGGCCACCGCAUGCUUCAGAAUGACAAAAUUGAAUGAUCCUACUUUCCUCGUCGUCUGGUAUGCAUUUCGAAAAAUUUGAUCGGAGUAGUACUUGAACAGGUAUGGUUCAUCCCAGUAAAAGCUUUUUACUUCUGUUGAGAAUUUCUUCUUGUCUUGGGAACUCUAGUCACAUUGCAUUUCACUUGUUGCAAGAUAAUUAACAAUAUUAACAUACCAAGGCAUUUUGUUUAUAGAAAACAAAAAUUCAUCAGGGAAAGAAUCAUUGAUGGGUGUUGUGUCAAUUGAAGACUCAUUUGUAAGUCUUGAAAGAUGAUCUGCAACAACAUUUUCAGCACCCUUUUUGUCCUUGAUUGUCAAAUUAAAUUCUUGAAGUAGCAAGAUCCAUCGUAUCAACCUUGGUUUGGCAUCCUGUUUUGACAUUAAAUAUCUCACAGCAGCAUGAUCAGAGUAAACAAUAGUAGAUGAACCAAUUAAAUAUGAACGAAAUUUAUCCAAUGCAAAUAUUACAGCAAGUAGUUCUUUCUCAGUUGCAGUGCAAUUCAUUUGAGCAUUAUUUAAAGUUCUACUUGCAUAAUAGAUGACAGAGGGCUUACCUUCCUUUCUUUGACCCAGAACAGCGCCAACGGCAUAAUCACUAGCGUCACACAUUAGCUCAAAAGGCAAAGACCAAUCAGGGGGUUGCAUUAUUGGGGCUGACGUCAAAAGGGUAGUUAUUUUUUUAAAAGCUUGUUGACAAUCAUUAGUCCAUUCAAAUUAUGUCUUUUAUUAGGAGGCUACAAAUUGGUCUAGAUAAGGCACUAAAGUCUUUUAUAAACCUCCUAUAAAAUCCUACAUGUCCUAAAAAAGAACGAACUUCUCUAAUUGUCUUUGGUGAGGGUAAUUUCGAAAUGACUUCAACUUUGGCUUUAUCAACUUCGAUUCCUUUUGAAGACACAAUAUGGCCUAAGACAAUUCCAGAAGUGGUCAUGAAAUGGCAUUUUUCCCAAUUUAAAACUAGUCCUUUUUCUUUGCACCUUUCCAAAACUUUUUCUAGAUUAUCAAGACAUGUAUCAAAAGAAUUACCAAAUACAGUUAAAUCAUCCAUAAAAACCUCUAGACAAUUUUCAACCAUGUCACUAAAAUUGCUUAGCAUGCACCUUUGAAAUGUUGCAGGAGCAUUACAAAGUCCAAAUGGCAUUCUCCUAAAUGCAAAUGUUCCAAAUGGGCAUGUGAAUGUGGUCUUUUCCUGAUCUUCUAAGGCUAUAGGGAUUUGGUAAUAGCCAGAGUAGCCAUCAAGAAAGCAGUAGUAGGGAUGUCCAGCCACUCUUUCGAGAAUUUAGUCUAGAAAUAGAAGGGGAAAAUGAUCUUUUCUAGUGGCAUCAUUUAAUUUUCUGUAAUCAAUGCACAUGCGCCAACUAGAUGGAAUUCGUGUUGGGAUCGGUUCACCUUUUUCAUUUUUUACAACAGUUAUUCCAGAUUGUUUUGGUACUACUUGUGUUGGACUUACCCAUUUACUAUCAGAGAUAGGGUAGAUAAUUCCUACAUCUAGUAGUUUAAGGACCUCAUUCUUUACCACUUCUUUCAUAUGAGAGUUUAGUCUUCUUUGUGGUUGACGGGUUGUUUUGGCAUUUUCCUCUAAGUGUAUUCGGUGUGUGUAAAUUAAAGGAUUAAUGCCUUUUGUGUCUUUUAAGGUCUAACCAAAUGCAGUUUUAUGCCUUUUUAGUACAAAUAACAACUUACCUUCUUGAUCAUGUGUGAGCUAAGAAUAAAUCACCACCGGAUAUGUCUGCUGCUCUCCAAGAUAGGCGUACUUCAAUUCUUCUGGUAAGGGCUUUAAUUCGAGCUCUGGUGCUUCCUCUUCGUUUGGUUCCUCAGGUUGCACCGUAUCUUCAAAGUUCGAUUGGUUAUCGUCACCUAUAGGUACCUGCAUAGAAUCAAGUGUAGGGCAUGUGUCAGCAGUAUCACAAUCUAAUUAUUUACUUGAUUCAAAAGAACCAGCAAAACAAAUUUCAGCAGGGUUUGUAAAAUUCUCAUCCUGAAUGUGUUCCUCAAUGAUUGGCUCGAUGAGAUCAAUUUUCUCAUUCUCAUUAUCAUCAUCUUCUUGGCGGUGAGGUUGUUUACACAUGUUGAACACAUUGAGUUCCAGUGUCAUGUUACCGAAAGAUAAAUUCAUUAAUUCAUUCCUGCAAUUUAUCAAAGCAUUAGCAGUAGCUAAAAAUGGUCGACCUAAAAUAACAGGAAUUUGUUUGCAUUCAUUAGCAAUUGGUUCCGUUUCCAGAAUAAUAAAAUCCACAGGAUAUAUGAAUUUAUGGACCUGGACUAAUACAUUUUCAAUUAUUCCUUUUGGAACUUUAAUCGAUCUAUCAGCAAGUAAAAGAGUGGUAGAAGUUGGUUUAAACUCACCGAGAUUGAGUUGUUGAUACACUGAGUAAGGAAGCAAAUUAACACUGGCACUAAGAUCAAGUAAAGCAUGUCCAAUUUUAUGAUCCCCAAUAGUGCAAAAAAUAGUUGGACAACCAGGAUCCUUGUAUUUCAAAGCACUAUUGGUUGAGAGAAUAGAACUUACAUGUUCUGCUAGAAAAGCUCUCUUUUGCACCUUAUGUUUUCUUUUCACUGUGCACAGAUCUUUCAGAAAUUUAGCAUAAGAAGGUACCUGUUUAAUGACAUCCAGUAGAGGAAUGUUGACCUUAACUUGUUUAAAAGCUUCAUAAAUUUCUGGACUGUGGUUUGAUUUCUUUGACUUGAUCAUUGCUUGAGGAAAUGGGGGUACAAGAGGAGAGUUGGUUAUUUUUUCAUUGUUUAAAGGUUCGACAAACUCUUCCCUAUUUUCUGAAAUUGAAUCUUUACUAGUUUCACGAGGAUCCACAAUGUGGUUUUCGACUACUUUACCACCACAAAGGGUUAUAACCAAUUUGACUUGACUCAUAUUUUGGUUUCCUGAAUUUCCCAUUUGAGGAUGUUGUUGACUCUUGGGGUUUGGUUCAGGUUGAGCAGGAAACUUUCCUUUUUCAUGUAUGGUCAGAACAGAUGUAAGUUUGGAGAUAGUUUCUGUCAAAUUGGUUAAGGUUUGCAUCGUUUGUUUAUUGAUCGACUCUUGUUUUUCAAUAAACGAAUGCAAUGUGUCUUCUAGAUUUUUUCUUGGUGGUGGGACAUAUGGUGGGUAACUCUGGGAGUUUUGAAAAUUUUGACGUGGAGGAACUGGUUGUGAAGGUUGUGCAUGGUUGUCAUUUCUCCAACUGAAAUUUGGGUGGUUUCUCCAACCAUAGUUGUAAGUUUGGGAGUAUGGAUUUGGAUUUGGCCUUUUGAAAUUGUCAACGACAUUUACUUGUUCAUGCAGACUUUCUCUCAGAGCUGGUAAAGUUGGACAGUCCUGCGUAGAAUGAUCAGUAGAAUCGCAAACAUAACAUGAAAUAUUUUGAACAGACUUUACAUGAUCAUUUUUUUUUCGACUCUAAUGCUUCAACUUUUAUAGCUAAUGAUGCAAAUUUGGCUUGAAAAUCAUGGUCUUCCAGUUUCUCCUGGUUUUUGAGUGAAAGUGGUGAUUUGUCUUUUGAAAGAAUUUGUUCUGUGGGUGGGAAGAAUUUUUUCAAAAAUUGUGCUUGCAUUUCAUCCCAAGUUCUGAUGGAUUCUGACCUAAGAUUUUGUAGCCAAGUUUUAGCUUUAUCCUUAAGUGAGAAAGGAAAAAACUUAAGCCUGAUUAUAUUCAUGCUACAAUUUUGAUCAGUACAUGUGUUACAGACUUUCUCAAAUUCCCUUAAAUGCAAAUAUGGAUUUUCAGACUCAAAACAAUGAAAAGUAGGAAGAAGUCGAAUGAUACCAGGUUUGAAAUUAAAAUGUGAUGCAUCAGGAGGGAAAAACUAUGCAUGAUGGUGACCCUGUUCUAGUAGGAUGCAUGAAGUCUCUAAAGGUCCUAGGUUGUUCAUGAAGAUUUUGCAAGGCUUGGUCAUUUUCGUGCUCCGAAAAAUUUUCAGCGCCUAUGUCAGCCAUAUUUAAGGGUGGUGAAGGUGAUUUUCUAAUUAAUCUACCACUAUUUGUACGAGACCAACGACGCAUGCAAUGCUAAUGAUGUGUGCUAGACUAGUGAUGCAAAAACACUAAAUGAAUAUUGCGAAAAUAAAAAUAAACUGGAAAUUAAAUAAGCAAAAAAAUGCAAAAUAAAAAUAAACAAAUUGAAGAUAAAUAAAAUAAAUAAAUUAGGCGGUGAAACCAGCCAUAAACAAAGAAAUUAAAAGAAAUAGUUUAGGCGGUAUUUUAAAAUCAGCCAUAUAAUAAAACAUAAAAUUAAUUAAAUUAAUGCACAAAAAUAAAUAAACUGAAAUUAAAAUGCUAGGCGGUAGAACCGACCAUAUAAAUAAAUUAGCAAAGUGAAAUUAAAAUGCUAGGCGGUAGAACCGACCAUUUAAACAAAAAUACAUAAAUUAACAAAAUUUAAAUAACAGUCAGGUAGUAGAACCGACCAUUUAAAAUAAAUGCGAAAAGUAAAUUGCAGAAAUUUAAAGAAAUAAAUUUGAUUUGGGGACUGAUUUGCAAAGGUUUCUGGGCUAAGAUGAAGUUUCUCACAAAAUUUAUAGAUAAUGUUAAGGUUUGAAAAGAAGAGGGGUGCUAACUGAAGUUUUACAAAAAGAGAAUAAAAUAGAAUCACGUAAAGAUGUUAAAGACAAAAUAAAAAAAAUAAAAAUAAAAUAAAAAUAAAGUAAAGACAAACUAAUACCAAAUUUAGAAAACUCUCCGGCAACGGCGCCAAAAACUUGACAUGACUCAAAAGUGUAUUACUCUCAAGUAUAAGAGUGUCUAGUUAUAAUAUAACCCGGUGAGACCGGAGUCGAACCACAGGGAGUUUUAAAUCUAGUAAAACUAAGAAAAUUAAUUGUGGGGAAAAGAAAUUAUUUGAAAUCAAUUUAAAAAUAAGCUAAGGUUUAGGAUCCACUCUCUGUAUUCAAAGUAUAAUUUUAAUACUCUCUCAUUUAUAUUUUGCCUCACUUUUACCAAUUAAUUAUUAUAUCAUUUAAUUCUAUGUGUAUGGAUAAAUAUAGAAUAAAGUACCUAAUGUGCCACACUAUAUUAAUGUGUCGACAUUAUGUCAAAAUACCAUAAAAUCCAGUGAGAUUUAUAAAUUAACAUGAUAUAAAAAUAAUUAGAAAAGAAUUAAAUAAACUUAAAAACUCAUUUGAGAAAAUAAUAAUAAUUAAUAGUUUAAAACAUUGAGCUUCACCCUUCACCUCAGCUUAAUAAAAUUAGCUACUCAUAUUGAAAGAAAACACAAUACUCUUUUUAUUUGAUAAACUUUUUGAAAUAUAUUACAAAGAAAAUUGAUACAAAUGGAAACAAGAAAAGAAACAAAGAAAGAAAGAAAUUCUUCAACUACACUCUAUUCUCUCUCGGCUUAAGCUCUCAAAAUAACUCUCCCUCUUCUUAGGCGUCUCCCCAUCGCUUGCCACCCCUUUGCCUUUUAUAGGCAAAGUAAAUCAUCUUCUUUUCUUUUAUUUUAUUAAUAUUAAUAUUUUAUUUUAUUUUUAUAUUAUAUAUAUAUAUUGAAUUGUGUGAUGGUCAGGAGGCGUGAUGGCCUCCUGACCAUCACCAAUAUACUUUUGUUCUUUUUUUAUUUUUUUAUUAUUUAUUAUUACAUCUCUUCAAUUGUGUUCCAGUAGUUCUUCUUUGUUUUCGCUUUCAAUUCCAAUUUCAUCUUUAUUCCUGAAAAAUAUUUACAAGAUAAAAAUGAACAAAUUACGAAUUAAUUUAACAUAAAAUAUAUUUGGGGAGUAUUAAAAUAAUUUAGAAAUAAUGAACGCAUUAAUCGACACAAUAAGUGAAAAACUAAUAAUUUUAUCCUUAUUAAAUAUACAUUUUUUAGUGUCAAUCACAAGAUUCAAACAACUCCUUUUGUUCAUCAGUAUCAUCUUCAUUCUCAUUUUCUUCAUUAGGUUGCCUGCACAUGUUGAAAACAUUCAAUUCCAAAGUCAUAUUUCCAAAGGAUAAAUUCAUUAAACCAUUCCUACAAUUAAUCAAAGCAUUAUCAACUGCUAAAAAUGGUCAACCUAAAAUUACAAGAAUCAAUUUAUAAUUAUUCACAACAUGUUCAGUUUCCAAGACAGUAAAAUCCACAGGGUAUAUGAAUUUAUCAACUUGUACUAAAACAUCUUCCACUAUUCCUUUUGGUACUUUAACUUAUCUAUCGGCAAGCAAAAGUAUAGUUGAAGUUGAUUUUAACGCACCAAUAUUAAGUUGAAGAUAAACUGAAUAUGGAAGCAAAUUAACACUAGCACCAAGAUCUAGUAAAGCAUGCUCAAUUAUGUGAUCACCAAUAAUACAAGAAUGGUAGAACAAUCACGAUCUUUAUAUUUCAACUUGUUAUUAGUAGACAGAAUUGUACUUACCUGUUCGGCCAUGAAAGUACUCUCUUUUACCUUCAAUUUUCUCUUAACAAUGCACAAGUCUUUUAAAUAUUUGGCAUAUGAAGGUACCUGCUUGAUUGCAUCUAAUAGAGGAAUGUUAACUUUCACUUGCUUAAAGAUUUCAUAAAUUUCAGAAGAGUUGUUUGAUUUCCUUGGUUUAUUUAAUGCAUGCGAAAAUGGUGGUUUAGGCGGAACACUAGUUAUUUCUUCACUAGGUGUAAGUUCAUUUAGUCCUAACCCUUUGAAUUUUCAUCAUCUUGACAAGGUUCAAGUAUAGGUCUAUCAACAACCUUACCACUACGAAGAGUUAUAACUGACUUGACUUGGUCCGUGGGUGGAUUUUGUUGAAUUUUAGGAUUUUGUUGUGGUUGGGCUAGAAAUUUUCAUUUUUCUUGAAUUGUGAGUGCAUAAGUAAUUUUAGCAAGAGUAUAUUUCAAAUAAGAAAAAAGUUUAUGCAUUUUGAUUGUUAAUAACAUCUUGCUUUCUAAUGAAUGAAUGAAUUGUGUCUUCUAGAUUUUUCCAUGGUGGUAGAACAUAUAGUGCAUAAGGCUGAGUAUUUUGAAAAUUUUUUGGAGUUGGUGCUUGUGAAGAUUGUGCAUUAUUAUUAUUCCUCCAACUGAAAUUUGGAUGAUUUCUCCAACCAGGAUUAUAAGUCUGUGAAUUUGGGUUUGCUUUAUUGAAAGUGUUAAUGGUAUUAGCUUGAUCAUUUAGACAUUCUUUAAGUGCAGGUAGAGUGGGACAAUCUUGAGUGAAAUGAUCAUUAGAACUACAAACAUCACAUGCAAUUUCUUGAACAAAUUUUACUUGAUCACUUUUUUGUUUUCCAAAGCUUCAACCUUCCUAACUAGGGAUGCAAAUUUUGCUUGUAAAUCAUGAUCUUCCCUAAGGUUAUAAAUUCCUCCACUAGAUAGAGAUGGUUGUUGCUUAUUUGUCAAUUCAAAAGUUUCAACAGUAUCCCAAAGUUGUGCAUUUUCAACUAAUUAGUUAAGGUAAUUUAGUGCAUCUUCAGGAUUUUUAUCCCUAAAUUUACCAUUACACAUUAUUUCAACAAUCUGUAUACUUUGGGGUAUUAAACCCUCGUAGAAAUAAGUGAUCAAUCGCCAAGUUUCAAAACCAUGGUGUGGACAUAUGUUAAGCAAUUCUUUAAACCUAUCCCAACAUUGGUAUAACAUUUCUCCAUUUUUUUGAGUGAAAGAAGUGAUUUGCCUUUUAAAAGAAUUGGUUCUAUGAGGUGAAAAUUUUUUUUCAAAAACUGUUCUUGCAUAUUAUUCCAAGUUCUUAUUGAUCCAGAUCUAAGAUUCUGUAGCCAAGUUUUAGCUUUAUCUUUUAAUAAAAAAAGAAAAAAACUUUAAUCUAAUUAUGUUCAUGCUACAAUUUUGGUCUGUGUAUGUAUUACAAACUUCCUCAAAAUCUCUUAGAUGCAAGUAUGGAUUCUCAGAUUCUAAACCAUGAAAUGUUAGUAAAAGUUGGAUAAUACAUGGUUUGAAGUUAAAUCGAGAUGCUUCUAGAGGAAAUAUUAUACACGAUAGUGCUCCGGUUCUAGUUGGAUUCAUGUAGUCUCUUAAAGUUCUUGAUUGAUUUUGAUCACAUACAUGUUGAGAAUGGUUGUCUCCCUGCUCAAUUUAAGGAUUAGGUUUGCCCAAAAGGUUUUCGUCUUGGACCUCGUCCGUGAUUGGUAACACAAAAACUAAAUGAAAAUUGCACAAACAAAUGAAAAUUAAAUAUGCAAAUAAUAUAAGUGUACAAAAAUUAAAAAAUUAAAAUUAAAAUUAAAUUGCAAUUUUGGUGGUUGAACCCACCAAUAUAAAAUAACAAAAUAAAAUAAAGCAAUAAAUAAAUAAAUAAAUGCGAAAUUAAAUAAAUACUGAAAUUAAAAAAAUAAAUAAAAAUUAAGAGUUAGUAGUUAGAAAAUUAACAGUUAGUAACUAGAAAAUUAAGAGUUAGUAGUUAGUUUGUUUGUCCAAAUUAAGUCCAAAUUGAGUCCAAAUAAGUCCAAAAUGUAAGUCCAACUCUGAUUAUUGUGAGAAAUUUUGUCUAGGGAUCUUAUUGCAAAUUAUUUAUAAUUUUAUGGCUACACCACAAAUUUUGGAAGUUUAGAAUUGAGCCAUGUGGGAUAAAAGUGAAGCUUCUAAAAGCUUUCGGGUCUGAACAAAAUUUUGGAAAAGGAAAAAGGGGUAUAGCUGAAACUUUACACAGAGAGAAAAAACCAAAAAUGAAAAAAUAAAACAAAAUAAAAACUUUUCCCCGAUAAUGACCCUAAAAACUUGACACAACUUAAAAGUACUUUUUUACUCUCAAGUAUAAGAAUGUCUUGUUAUAUUAUAACUCGGUGAGUCCGAAGUCGAUCCUCAGAGAAAAGAUUUAAUUUGUUUAUUUUAUUUUAUCUAAAAGUAAAAAUAAAACUUGAAUAUAAAUAACUUUAUUUAAAUGAAACUAUGAAAUUGAAAUAGUUAGGGUUGUGGAUCCACUCUUAGUAGUAAAUAAAACUUAAUAAAUUCUUUUUGCCAUUUUUUUAGAUUUAUUGCCCAAAAGAUUAAUUAUAUAAAUUAUUAUUAUUUCCCUUUAAUUUUAUGAUGGAUUAAGUAUUUAUUGCGCCAAAAUUUAAUUUGUCUACAAUAAGUCAAAAUACCAUUUACCAUACCUUAAAUUAAGAUAUUAAGAAUUUAUUGUGCCAAACUCCCUUGUUUGUCUACAAUAAAUCAAAAUUUCAAAAUAUAAAAAAUAUAUAAAAUUAAAUAGAAAAUAAUUUAAUUUAUAAAAUAAAAAAUAGAAUUUGAUUAAAUCAUAUUUAUUUCCUAAGAAUUUCACCUUACUAUAACUAUUAUUAUUUAGUUAAGCAUAAUUGAAAUAAAAAAAUUUAUUAAAAUUAAAUUACUUAUAAUUAAAAGUAAAAAAAAACUAAAAUUGAAAAUAAAACUAAAUUUAUUUUAAAAAAUAAUUAUACAAAAUAUUAAAAACACACCUAAAAAUCAAGAUUACAGGGAGAUAGAGAAAAAUUGAGAAGAAGAAAGAUGUAGAGAGAUGAUUAAAAACAUAAAAAUGAGGCUCUAUUUAUAGAAAAAGAAAUUCAUAAUCCAGUGCUUUGCAGUCCAUCAUAACCUUCAUGCAUGCGCUCUUAGCAACCAUUAGAUCAAGAUCAACGGAUAGUCAAACUUCCAAAGUCAACAUCACACGUGGCAUCAUUUGACUUGUCUGAUUUAGCCAAAGAACGGUUGAGAUUUGGAGGGUUAAUGAGUGGAUCGGGUCGACUCGAAUACAAAGAUUCGGAUCCUACAACUUGCUUCAUUCACCAUUGCCACGUGGCACAAUCAUGGCCAUUGAAUCAUGAACGGCUGAGAUUUAGUCAAAAUUGCCAGCUAUCCCAUGCACUCAUAUCUAUUGUAAGCUCAUUUUAUCAUCCAAUCAGUGCUCCGUAAAUAGGAAAAGUCAACUCUUUUUACACAAGCCCAAUUUUAAGCCGAUCUUGACUCAUAGUAAGGUUUUCGGACCUCCGGAAUCUAAAUUUGACCUCCGUUUAUCUGUUUGGAGCCUCGAAUUACAUGAAAUUAAUAUUUUACCUAAUAAACACACAAAAUUAGAUAUAUUUAAAAUAUAAUUAAUAAUUCAUAAUAUAUUACACAAACACAAAUAUAAAUUAUAACAUAAGCACAAAAUAACAUUAUUAUCGCUUGAUAAUUAAAAUUUUUUUAAUACUAAUCAAUAGGGAUGGAAAAAAAGCCGAACCGGCCCAGUCCAUUCCCACGAACUUUGGCUGGGCCUCCCACAUGAGGGUCUGGACAAGGGUUUAGAAAAAAAAAAAAGCCCAACUCAGGUCUAAGCCCUCUAUUUUUUCAAAAACAUAAAUCUAUUAAUUAGAAUAAUAAAUUAAAAUUUAAAAAUAAUAGAAAAACAAGAAAGAUUAAAUCCUUAAUUCAUAUAUAAAUAAUUAAUUAAAAAACUUAAAAUUAUAAUACUAAACUCUCUUUUAAGUGUUAAUUAAAUAAGAGGAUGCUUGUAUUAGAGAAUGCAAUAAUAAAAAAUUAAAUCUCUAAACUUUGAUUUUCUUCAUUUUCUUUAUUUAUCAUUUAAUUUUGAAAUAUUAUUUUUUUAUUCAUUGUUGAUUAUAACAAUUUGAUUAUUAUUAACUCAUUUCAAGUUUAUAACAAUUUAAAAAAAUUAAAAAAUAAGUGAAGGCCAAGUUCGGCCCGACUCACCCUUACACUUCCACUCUAAUGGACUUGGGCCUGAGCUUGAAAAAGAACGGCCCAAGCCUGUAUUUUGCCAUCCCUAAACCUAAUGAUGCGUUUACUUCAUGGAAUGAGAAUAAGGUGAAAUGGGAAUGAGGUGGAAUUUAAUUGAGGAAUGAGAUUGAGAUUUCAAUUAAUAUUUACUUGGUAAAAAUAAAUGGGAAUGAGAAUGUGCUGGAAUGCCAUUAAUGUGUUUCCUUGGCAAAACAAAUGGGAAUGGAGAAUGGAAAUGAGAAUCAAUUUACCAAAAUAACCUAAUAUUAAAUAAUGUAAUUUUCAUUAACUAGAUACAUGUAUAAAUAUUAUUAUAAAAAUGCUAUUAAUUAAAAAAAUAAAUUUAAUAAUAAUAAUAAUGACAUUUAAAAUAAUAAAAAUUAAUUUUGAUUUGAACGAGAGUAAUUUAGAAAAUAUGAAAAAAUUAUAGGGAUAUAAAAGUAAACUCAUGUUUUAUUCUCAUUCCUUCAUUUUCAUUCCCAACCCCCUAUGGGAAUGAGAUUCUCAUUCUUUAUUUCCAAAUUGUGUGGAACCCACAUAUUUUAUUCUUAUUCCCAAAUUAUAUUUUGUUAAGUAAACAUAAGUUUAAUUCACAUUCCUUCAUUCCCAUUCUCUAAACCCUCAAGUAAACACACUCUAAAUGUCUUAUAACUUUAUUUGAUUCACCACCUAGGUUUGAAUGUUUAAAUAAAGUUUUGGAGCUUGGCAACAUUAAAACAAAGUCUCAAGGGCAAUGCAAGAUUGUUUUCAAGCAUAUUUCUUUAUUUGGUCCUCAUUUUCGAAUAUUUAUAUGUACAUAUAAUGAAAAAGAAAACACCUUUUAGAACGAAGUCCCAGGGGCAUAGAAAAUAAUUUUUAAACAGAUUUCUUUAUUUGACCACUAAUAUUCAAAUAUUAGAGGAUGUAAGAAUUAAAAAUAAUAAUCUAGGCUUUACGGCUCCCUCUAAAGAUAAUGUAUAAAGAAAAAAUGAAAAAUCAAACAUGUCCUUACAAAUUGAAGGAAUAAAAAUAUAAUGCUCAUAUAUUGCACGCUCUUAAUUCUCCCUUUUAUUAUUGCUGAUAUAAAGGGAAGCACGCAGGUGACGCUUCAACCAUUGAACUUGGAGAGAUUCAAGGUCCCUCGUACAGUGAAAAUAGUUAACCGUUUUCUAUUUCUAUUAUGAGAGAGAUACAUUAUAUAGCAAUGAAAGCAUUUCCAUUAUACAUUUGCAGUGAGAACACUCUUUUCUCCUCGAUCAAAUUUUUGAUUAGAGGAAGAGAGAGUGUGUAGAAGAAUUAAAUAUGAGAAAAGGAAGAGUAAUCAUAAUAUACGAGCGUGACAAUGAAUUUAAUUCAGAAGGUAGAUUGACAGGACCUAUGCUGAUAAUUUGCAUUGCUGUUGCUUCAGCUGGACUUAUGUAUGGGUAUGAUAUUGGUAUAAAUGGUAAAUCCUCUCACUAUCCUUGUGCAUUGUUAGUCUAUUUUAUGGGAAAUUAGUCAUUAUGAUUGAGUUCGACAUUUCAUCUAACUACGCUUAGGAUAUUUUUGUAACUGUCAGGUGGCAUAACAAAAGCAGAAUCAUUUCUGAAGAAAUUCUUCCCAUCAGUUUUGCGUAGCCAGAAAAAUGCGAAAGUUGUGGAUGGCUUUUGUUUAUUUUAUAGUUGGAAACUAACAGCAUACAACUCCUCUUUGUAUAUUGCUGGUAUCUUUUCAGCCUUAAUGGCAGGUCGCUUGACAACGUCAGCAGGUCGUAAAGGCGCCUUAAUCAUUGGUGGUAUCAUUUACUUGAUUGGUGUAAGCCUUCAUGCAUUAGCAGUAAAUAUGGGAAUGCUCUUUUUAGGUCGUGUCUUUACUGGAUUGGGAAUUGGUUUCAUAAAUCAGGUGUGCUAAUAAUUUAUUUGUUGCUAUAUGUGUAAUCACUUGCUAAUGUUGUUGAAUGGUGGCUAUAAACCGUCAUUUUAUGUUGAUGUAACCACACUACGUAAGAUGAUGGUCUUUCUUAGAAUUGUCAUAAAAAUGGAAAUGUUGAGAUUAGUCUUUUGAGUUAAAUAUUUAAAAAUCUUAGGCCCAUCUACUAACAAGUGGAAGAUAUUAGUAGUCAAAAUAUGGUGGUAGAAUAAUUUAGGUGCGUCAGAUGAAAAGACCAAGGUCUCGCAGUCGUUUCAUUCAAGGGGCAUUAGAUUGUGUCCCACAUUAGCUAGUAAAGGAGAGUUACUUGGAUUUAUUUGUAGAAUAGAUCACUCCACCCAAUAAGUUAGUCUUUAAGGUCGAAUACCAAAAAAUCCAAAGUCCAGCCCCUUAAGGGAAGUUACAUGAUUUCCUAACAUAGGACAAGUUAUUCCACUCAAUAGGCUAGUAUUUUGAACUGAAUACCUAAAAAUCCUAGGUUCAGCUCCCCAACAACAACAAUGAUGACAAUUUUAAGACUAUUAUCUAUAUUCGUUUUGAACUGUCAUUGCUAGAUGUUUUUGUAGUAUUGGCUUACUGAUGGUGUUAAAUGGUGAUUAUAUACAGACAGCUCCAAUAUAUCUAGUCGAGAUGGCUCCUACGAAAUGGCGAGGUGCAAUUGGGAUAGGCUUCCAAAUAUUCUUCUGGUCUGGGGUGGCUGGCGCAAGUUGGAUUAAUUAUUUUAUAAUGUCCUCCUUAAAUUCCAAGAGAUGGCGCAUCGCCGUAAGUGUAUCUGGAUUUCCUGCCACUAUAAUGACCAUCAUAGCUUUUUUCAUACCCGACACACCAAGUAGCCUUAUCCAACGAGGCAAAGUGCAACAAGCUCUUAAAUCCUUGAAUCAAGUCCGUGGCACUAAAUUUGAUUCUGAAAAUGAGUUGAAAUACCUAAUUAAAUACAAUGAAGACAUGAGGAUUGCCAGUGAGACACCAUACAAGAUGCUUUUGGAAAGGAAAUACAGACCCCACCUCUUGUUUGCAAUCGCUCUCCCAACAUUUCAAGCACUUACAGGCUUCAAUUUAAAUGCCGUGGUUGGACAACUUAUUGUUACAUCCCUUGGCAUUAGAUUGAAAGAUGUUUUUCCUAUACUUUUAAUACAGAGCACAAUUUUUUUUGUCUGCCUGCUUUUAACGGGUUAUUUGAUUGAUAGAGUUGGACGUAGGAUCAUGUUAAUAGUGGGUGGGUGCCAAAUCUUCAUUUGUCAGGUUAGUAUCGUAUUGCAACUAUUUUGUUCUCCUUUCUUUCAAGGGAAAAUGACCUUAGAUCCUAAUAUUUCUCCUUUUUUUUUUUACCACUCAAGUUCUCAUUUACUUUUAAUUUUUUAAUAUAACACUUUACAUCUUUCACAUUAUAAUUUUAAUAUUUGAAUUUUACUUUAAAAAAAAAAUCCGUUUGUAGCGAAUCAUUUAUUAAGAAAAAUCGAUAAGCUUUAUACAAAAGCAGAAAAAGAAAUAAUAAUAACUUGGUCCUAGGCAUCUACCAAUAAAUCUGAUUGUUAACAACUCUUCAUAUCAUUUGACAAACAUGUCACAUUAAACUAGUAAUAAGAUUAUAAUUGUAGAAAAAAUUUAUAAGCCUAUAAUUUUUCAUAUUAUAGUUUUAAGUUGAGAGUUGAAAUAAAUAAUAAAAAAAAAUUAGGGACUAAAACAAGGGGGGAAACAUUAGAAUAAAUUAUCUAAUGUUUAAAAUAAUUUGGCGCUUCUUUAUUUAGAUUAUCUAUCUGUAUCAUUUUCCAGUUUAUCUAAUAUAUGUGUCGGUUGUGCAGGUAAUACUGGCAAUCUUAAUGGCAUCAGAAUCACGGUCACAUGGAACUUCAAUAUUCUCGAAGCGCUCAGCCUUUGUGGCGCUAAUCUUAAGAUGCUUCCUUGGUGUAGGAAUGGCAUUGUCUUGGGGGCCGCUACCUUGGAUUUUGAACUGCGAGAUAUUGCCCAUUGAGGUUCGCUCGGCUGGUCAAGGAUUAAGCACUGCCAUCAGUUUCGCAGUCAAUUUUAUCACAAUUCAAACAGUCUAUCCAAUGUUAUGCCACUUCAAGUAUGGGGCAUACUUAUUUUAUGCUGGAUGGACUCUCAUUAUGACGAUAUUUGUGGUUUGGUUUCUGCCUGAGACAAAAAGGAUUCCCUUAGAAUCCAUGGACAUAAUUUGGCAUGGCCAUUGGUAUUGGCAUCGAUUUUUUGACCAAACCAUGCUAAAAUCAAAAUUAGUUGAGUUAUCCGAAUCAGAAUCAGUUGAGCCAUCAGAAUCAGUUCGGUCGUCAGAAUCAAUUCACCUAAAGAGUUGAUUAUGGAAUAAGACAAUACAAUGUUGUGACUAUCUAGAAAAUUACUGUUGCACACAAAUUUUUUUUAAUUAAAAUGUCAGAAAAGAAAAUUAGUGGCUCCCAGGUGAGAAAGUAGCUCUUCAAUCAUCACAAAAUCGGCAGGAGCAUCAUCAAUUAUCAUCACGAUGAAUAGCUACCAUUUGCAAGGUUAUUUUUACAUUCCUCUCCUAAGAUUUCACAUAUUUAUAAUUUAGUAGAAAGUAUGAAGGUGUUUUUACGGGCCUCCCUUGCUGUUGGUGUAAAAUUAUGUAUAGUAUCAGUACAUGAGGUUAAAUCGUAAAAGCUCAUUUAAAAUUAAAAAAAAAAAACUUAGAAACUUAAACUGUAGCAGCACUGGCAAGCACGAAGUACCUGCUGCAUCACUCCAUUAGCCGGUCCAAUUCAUUAUCCGUUGUGUAAUUUUUGAAAAUAACUCUUCACAAAAGUGUAAAUCUGAUGCAAAAUGAUUUACAAUUUCACACAACAUUCACCUCUCAGUAGCAACGAUUUGGAAACAUUGAGUAUUAUCGAGCUUGAGGAUCAAGAUUCAUCACCAUUUUGAACUUGCCCAUGAACGAGACAAGCUUGGGUGGUGGUAGAAGAUUGCUGAGGAGCGAGUACAAACGGCAGCGUGGUCCCUUCCGCGACUGGUACUGAAGCUCCGAAGAGGUUAGUCUCUAUUAAACACUAUUGCAUGUAAUUUAUAAAUUUGGCUUUCUUCGUUUUGGAUAUAUAAGAUGAAAAAUUUGGUGCUGCCAUGUUGUGUAUAUUUGUUUAAAGGAUAUGGUUUUUGAUGUAUAUUGAAUUGGUAGAAAAUCAUGUUAACAGCCACUAUCCUGUGAUGUUACAGAUAUGCAGAACCUGCUCAGAGAUUAAUAAAGCAUGUAAAUGCAUAAAUUUGUAAUAUUUAUGUGAUUGGGAAUGGAAAAAAUGAGUAAAUUCUUUUGAAGUCAGAGGCUCUGUUUUUAUGAAAUAGCUUUUAUUUUUCCCUGCCUAGCUGGUGAAGAUGAUCAUGGAUUUUUGGGCAAUGGUUCAUCGUUCAUUUAUUUCGUAAUGCAUGACUGCAGGAGUGCAAAUUGUGCUGUAUUGCCAAAUUUUAUAAGUUGCAGCCAUUGUUUAGAGUUUAAUAAUAAAAUAUCACUAUAAGAAAAUAAGUAAUAGAUCACUGGAAAUAAGUUAUAACUGUCAUAAAAGGAGGUGUAUGAUAGAUUGUCUAUUCAUCAUCUAUGUUACUGUCAUUAAUUUAUAACAAAAGUAUGAUAGAUUAUCAUUAAUUUUAAUUAUUAAUAUUAUAUUUUAUAUUAAUAUUAUAUUGGAAAAUUUAAUUUAUGAAACCAAUUUUGCAUAACUUAGGAAUUCAUAAAAUUUUAUUAAUAAUAAUAAUAGUAAAAUUCAAAUUAUAAUAAAAAUAAAAUAAUAAUAAUAAUAAUAAUUUUUAAAUAAUAAUAAUUUUUCAGCCAAAAAAUUCAAAUAAUUUUAAAUUUUCCUCUAAAAUGUUGUGUGACAGAUAUAUGAUUGUGAAAAAUCAUCAUGAAUUCAUGACAAAAAAUAUUCUGUUACAAAAAUAUUCAUAUAUAAGGCUUUAAUUUCUCAAGGACUUCAAAUAUUUCCUCUUAUUUACAUAACAUACAGUGAGUAAAAUUAAUAGACUACUACAUACUGUACAUUCUCAAAUAUCAUAUACCAACCUUAGUUAGGUACUUUUAUCAUAACACUGUUACAUAAAGCAUACAUUAAGAUUAAGCCAAAUAUAAAAAUAAUAGGCAGUUCCACCACCAUAAUUUACGAUAAUUGCAAGCAGUGGUCAUCCCUAAAAUAUAUAAAUGGUCACUAAUAUUUCACUAGACAUUGAAGUGGCUUAGAUAAUUAUACACAAAAUAGUUAGUUAACUCUUAAAAUGACAUUUGGCAACUCUGGCCGAGCAAAACCUUGGAAAUGUUGUCAGGAUCAUAAAAAUGAACUUCUUUAACAUAAUGCCAGUUACUUCUUUUUAGUUUGCUCACUUUUCAUUAGAACAGACAUAACCCUGCAAGCUUGGUUCUUUAAUGGCACAACCAAAGGCUUAAAGAAAAAAUAAUAAUUAAAAUUUGAUUUCAAAUUAAUACCUCCGAGAACUCACCUUCGAGCUGUUUUAAAAGCUGCCGUAUCUACACCAACAAAAGUCAUUUAGAGUUGUUAAUAACUUAGAAUCAAUUUUCUUACAAUUCAAUUUACCACUACUCCAUCAAAGCAAAUAUUUGAGUAAAAAGGUCCGCAAAUGAAAAAAAAAAGUCAAAAAGCUUCACCUUCACUGCAUCCUCCACUUUAAAGCCCAACAAUAGUAAUGCCUAUAAACAAGAAUUUUAUAGUUGUAAAAUCCAAGUAAAAAGUCAAAUAACGAUCAAAUAUCUUAAUCUUAUAGUUAUGAUCUAAUUAAAGAGGUAAAAGCUUCAAGGUUUUACCAAACCUUUCUUUAAGCCAUUUACUCUCCAAGAAAACUGUACUGUUGAAUUUCAGUAUAAUCAUAAUUAAAUUUUAAUCACUUUAACUUUUUUUUCCGACAAUAAGAAAACUGGAUUCAUAUUUAAGAUCAAAGUGUAUGUAAUAAUAUUAGCCGUACAGCCAUACAACCAUGUUUAACUGAAAGCCAAAUUGGCAAAACAUUUGCAGUAAGGUUCCAGCAAAACAUGUCGAACAAUGAAAUUUUGCUGUUGAUCUUUCAAUUUUGACACUUUCUUUUUUAAUCUUGAAAGAAAAAUAAAAUGGUGAAGUACGAGAUUUAAAUUAGAGAAAGUGCAUGUUUGAAAAAAAGGAAAGAGAAAUAAAUAAAGAGAAAAGAAUCUGAAAUUUAGGAAUAAAAUACAUAACUUUAGUAACUGAUAGGAGAAAUAUUAAAAAUAAAUCCUUACCAUCCUCUAAAUCUUAGGAAAAAUUAGAUUAGGAGAGAAUUCAAGUCCUAUAAUUUGAUGUGUUAUAUUAAGCAUAAAGAAAGAAGCAUUCGUUACAAGAAAUUGGGGGGGGGGGGGGGGGGGGUUGGUGGAGGUGGGAUCAUAAGCAUUUAAAGGAAUGAACUUUGGAUCUUCGGUUAAUUCACUCGGAACUUCUGUAACACGCUUGUAAAAGUAAAUUAACAACUCAAUAUUCAAUUGAAAAGCAACAAAGACAAAAAAUUAUUUUAGAAUGUAAAAUUAAUAUGCAAAUUAAAAACAGAGACAAGGGUAAGCGCACACACACCUUCAGUUGAUGCACGUGGCGUUGGUGGGUGUAUUAGUUCCAAGCUGUGAGCACAAGUGCUACUCGUCUUUGACGAUAAAGAAAAAAUAAAAUUUUGAAAUUUGUGAAACUGUAUGUGGAUUUGACGAAACUGAAGGAAUCAAAAGAAGAGUUCAGAAAAUCUCCAAAAGAAGAGUUCAUUCUCAUCCUCUGAAUUGUAAAUUAAUUAUUAUUUCUAUAAAAAAAUUUCAAAACAGAAUCGAUUAAAACACGAAUCGGAUCAUACCUAGGGUUUAGAAGAGAUGAGAAAUUGAGAAAAUGCAGCAGGUUCUUUGGACUCAAACGCGUCCUCGCUCGUUCUCGCUCAAUAUCGUUGUGAAAUCAAUGAGUUUUUGUACUGGCUAGAAUUCUUUUAAAGAAACUAGGAUUUUUGAUUCCCUAAUAUGUAGGCAAUAAUUUAUUAGCUACUCUCCAUUUUUUAUUUCGUCCAAUGCUUUAAAAGAGAAAUUAGUUCUUUGUGGUGUUCUUGUUCUUGGUCAUUACAAUUUUGCGGUCAUUCCAUGAACUCAGGGUUUGAGCAAGAGAAGAAACUGAAUUUUCGAAGAUUUUAAAAAUUGGAGUGAGUUGAUUUUGCAUUCAAAUCAGACAACCUGAUAUUGCACUGAAAUCAACAUUUCUCCAAGAAAUUGGGGUGAGUUGCUGUUGAUUUUCUGCUUGGAUUGACCAACCCUCUUUUUUUUGCGAGCCAAUUGCUGUAGAUACCCUGUGAUACUUUCAAAAUUAUUCCAAUACCCAAAAAAUUGAAUUUAUUAAAAUUUUCAUGAAUGUCCUCUGAAAACUCAUGUGAAUUACCAAAGUAUCCUCAACUUAAAAUGCUUACAUGGCUGAAACAUGACUCGUACAUGCCAAAUCGAGUUUGGACGAGUGUACAUGACUGAAAUGUGUUUCGAGAAGGGGAAGCGCUGGACUUUUGAGAAGGAGAAGACUAUUUCAUUGCUGCACAGUCAGGCGACGGGAGCUGAUCCGUUGCUGCACUAAAGCCGGAAUUUAACUUCUUUAGGUAAGUAGCUCCUUCUUCUAAUUAGUUGAUAUGGUUAUGAUAUUUAGGGAAAAAAUAUUAAGGUUUUACAUUGAAAAAAUAGAUUAAAUUGGUUGUGAGUCUCUCAUAACAUAUUCAAAAACAAACUUUGUAACUAUUUUGCUCCAUAAAAAUGAUGAAAAAUUAAUGAAUUGUGAAUAUUAUAAAUUGGUCGUGCAAGGUCAUGUGACACACGAUUUAAGGUCGUGUAAUGUGACUUUAUGUAAUACAUGACCCUCAGUCAUUUAUUACAUGACUUCCUAUUCUUCUUGCAUGUUUGACUUGCAUGACGUGUUUGAGCUUUGGAAAUCUACGUGUUUGUUGAUGUGUUUUCUAAUUUUGGAUAAUGGUUGAAUAUGUCGAUUGAUAAGAGUGUUCAACAUGUGCUUGCUAAAUUCAUGUAGUGGCCUAUCUUCAGCUUCAAAAUAGAUGUGAAAUGGUGAUGGAGGCUUCAUCUUUUUCAUGGAAUUAUUUAUAGGCAAAUUUGCUGCCAAUAUUACUAUUGGAAUCAAUGGUAAUAUUAACAGCUUUGUUUCUUUUCCCCCCAAAUCUCAAACUUCUAUGGAAUGUCACUUUAAUGUGGAUAUUUUAGACUUUUCAGUAUACUUAUAUGUCUUUGUCACCAACUUUUGCCAAAUAUUAGUCGUGCAAUUGUACUUGUUAGCCAUUGAAAGGGUAUUUUUGUCAUUUUAUCAAUCCACAAAUGGUCAACCGACGAAAAUACAAACCGCAGAGGAGGUUUGUAAAAAUACUUUCCUACUUUCUAUUAAAUUGUAAAUACAUGAAAUCUUAAGAGAGGUAUGUAAAAAUAACCCAUCAUUCGUAACUUGUCCUUUCCUAAUUUAGCUACCAUUUAUACAUAAAUAACUUUGUAAACUAGGGAUGGCAAAAUAACCCAGACCCGGCCCGAACCCGGACGAACCCGGAUAAUCCGGGCCGGGUUGAACCCGUAUCGGAGUAUAAAAAAUCCAGAUCCGGAAUGGAUUUUAAUAACCCGGAUGAAUCCGAGUCCGGAUCCAGGUUUGGGGUAACCCAUAUAUCUAGAACCCGGACUCAGAUACCUUUUUCUUAUAUUAUUUUUAAUUAUAUUUAUUAGUUAAUAUAAAUACAAACAUAAAAAAACCCUAAUUCUAUCUUUCUACUCACGAUUUUACGAACACAAACACUAAAACACAAUAGUUGUGCCGCCUCUCGCUGUCCCGCAGGCAAGGUUGGGUUCGCCAUCAUCGCAAGGUUGGGUUUGCCACUGUCAAAAGCUUGGGUUCCCCACCGUCGCAACUCAUUUGGUUCACCACCGUUGCAGCUCGGCAGCUCCUUUAUUCAUCAUCAUCGGCAGUCUUUUUUGAGCUAUGACAGGCUGACAGCUCACCUUCCUUCACCAUUAGCUGUCGUGAACACCACUGAUUCACCAGCGUGAAUUGUGAGUUUCUGGCCUUUCGUUUUGAUGUUGUUAUACUUUGUUUUAUGUGAUUUGUGCCAUGUUUGGUCUGAUAUUGAUUUGUGUGUGUUAUACUUUGUGAUUUGAUUUAUGAUUGAAAUAUUGUUGAUUGUUGGUGAUAAUAGAUUCGAAAUUGUAUAUUUAAAAUGUUAGAAUGUUGUUACAGUUAAAAAUAAAUUGUUGUUGUUAAUAGAUUCAAAAAUAUAUCUUUAAAAUGUUAAAACGUUGUUACAGUAAAAAAAAUAUAUAUCUAUAUAUAUAUAUAAAAAUAUAUAUAAAAUGGAAGAAAUUAGAGGAAUGACGGGUUAGUUUAAUUUGUUUUGACAUAAUUCUUGUAGGGUGUUAAAUUCGUAAUGGAAAAUGAACAAAGAGUUGAUUUAGAUGUUUCCGAGACUGAUGAAAGUGUGGGUGUGAGGGUUGGCAUGGAUAUGGCAAUAGAAAAUAAUGAUACGACUGCUGAAUUAGAACUUGAUUCAACAACAAUAGAGCAGGGGAGUGGGAGUGGGAGUGGGAGUGGCCGUAGGGGUAAUACUACUGUUGUCGCUUCAAAAGAACGAGGCGUUGGCAGCGAAGGGAGUAGUUCAAGUAGAUUAGUUUUUGAUGCUUUGAAUCAUUUUAAAAAGGUUAAGUUAGGCAAGGAAGUUCAAGCGAUUUAUAAUUAUUGUGGGUUAGUUAUGCAAGGGCAUUAUUCUCAUGGCACUGAUCACUUGAUUAAUCAUGCUAAACAUUGUCCUAGAAGGUCAAUCAAGAAUGUGCAGCAAAUGCACCUUUCUUUUUCUUCUAAAGCAGAUGGAACUACUGUUCUUAGUAAUUAUAGUACUAAACCAAAGUGGGAUAUGGCAACAGUGAAGUUUUUUAUAGCUAAAAUGAUUGUACUGCAUGAGCUUCCGUUAUCAUUUGUUGAAUAUAUUGGGUUUUACGAACUUUUAAAGUUUCUCCAACCUUUAAUUGAGACUAUUAGUAGAAACACUAUCAAAGUUGAAUUUUUGAAGCUUUACGAUAUUGAAAAGACGAAGGCAAUGAGUAUUUUAGAAGCUUGUGAGAGUAGAAUUCUAGUGGCUACGGAUAUGUGGACUGCUAGUAACCAAAAGAAAGGGUAUAUGGUUGUUACAGCACAUUACAUUGAUAGCUCGUGGGUGUUGCGAAGUCGUAUUAUGAGGUAAUAUUCUCGAGACUUUUUUUAUUUAAACAUAAAUGAAUGUUUGCAUUAUUUAAUAUUUUGAUUAUUUUUUUACAUUUUUAGGUUUAUAUAUGUGCCAGCUCCACAUAAUGGUGAAGUUAUGUGCAAUGAGUUGUAUGAGUGUUUGAUGGAGUGGAAUAUAGAUAGAAAGUUGUCUACUGUAACUGUUGAUAAUUGUUCUGCAAAUGAGUCCAUGAUUGAUUUGUUGUUGGGGAAAUUUUCAAUUAGUUCAAUGAUUAUGGGUGGCAAAUUCCUUCACAUGCACUGUUGUGCUCAUAUAUUGAACUUGAUAGUUAAGGAUGGUUUAUCUGUGAUACAAAAAGAAGUUGAAAAAAUUAGAGAGAGUGUCCAUUACUGGACAGCAACACCUUCUAGGUUUGAAAAAUUUGAGGUUGCAAAAAAACAAUUAGGUGUUGAAGAAACUAAAAACUUAGCACUUGAUUGUAAAACUAGGUGGAAUUCCACUUAUUUGAUGCUUAGUACAACUUUGUUGCAUAAAGAUGUAUUUGUUCGUUUAAAGCAGCGUGAUAGAAAUUAUACAUCUUUGCCUAGUGAGUUGGAGAGGAAUUUUUCAAAGCUUAUGUGUGAGUAUUUGAAGAGUUUUUAUAAGUUGACAGAACUUUUUUCGGGGACACGAUAUCCAACAUCUAAUUUAUUUUUUGGCAAGAUUUGUGAAAUUAGAUUGUCAAUGAAUGCAUGGUUACAAUCACCAAUUGAGGGGGUAAAAAAUAUGGCCACUAAGAUGAUUGCGAAGUAUGACAAAUAUUGGGAUGUUAUUCAUGGAGUUCUUGUUGUGGGCACUUUGUUAGAUCCUAGGCGUAAAAUGUUGUUAAAUAACUUUCUAUUUCCCAAAAUCUAUGGAGAAAGAGCUGAAUCCGAAAUUGAAAGGGUGCGCAAAUCAUUUGUUGAUUUAGUGCAUGAGUAUGAAGUCAAAUAUUCAUCAAAUGCAAAUUGGGGGGUUAAUGAUUCAGCUAGUUCUCAAGGUACUGCAGCAGAUGAUUCUGUUAUGGUAGACUUAGACUUAGAUGAGAUGGUUGAGUGGGAAUCAUUUAGAAAUCAGAACUCACAAAAUAAUCAUUUCAAAACAAAAUUUGAGCUUUAUCUUGAGGAAAGUACUCUGCCUUCAACUAGUUAAUUUGAUAUUUUGUCAUGGUGGAAGAAUAAUCAAGGGAAAUAUCCUAUACUUGCAAAUAUUGCGAGAUACUUUUUGGCCAUUCCCGUAUGAACAGUUGCUUCCGAGUCCGCUUUUAGCACUGGAGGUAGACAUUUGAGUCCUCAUCGUAGUAGACUUCAGCCAUCUACAGUGGAGGCGUUGGUGUGUACUUAAAAUUGGUUUUGGCUUGACCACAACUUAAAAGGUAUGGAAAAUUUAUUUAUUACAUAAAAAUAAAUUAAUUUGUUAUAGUAUCAAUUUAUCACUAACUAGCUGUUUUGUUUCUUAUUUUUAUGAUUUAUGCAUGUUUUUUUAGAUGGAAUUCUAGAGGAAGCAAUACUUUUUGCAAAAUAGCUUAUUGAUGAAAGUUUGAUGAGUGAGUUGUGAACAACAGUGAGUCAAGUGAAGAAGAAUAGAAAAUGAUGGAGAAAAGUUUAAACUUUAGAUUUGUGGUUUUUAAUUUGAACUUUGAAUUGUAGACUUGUGUUAUGGAUUUAUAUUUGUGGUUGUUUGAUUACUUGAAACAUUGAAAUUUAUGGAUUUAAAUUACUGGAUGUGUUAUUGCUGAGAAAUUUGUAUUGUUUAUGAAUGAUUUACAACUUGGAUGUGUUAUUGCUUAGAAAUGAAUAUGAAGAUCUUAUUUUAGCAUGCACUUUGCAGAGAGUUGAUUAAUUGUGAGCACUGGACUGAUGUUACAAGCUUUGACUAUUAUGCCAUUUUAGUUUGUUGUUCUAAAUUUUCAUUUAUCAUAGGUUAGAAUAGAAUUGUAGAAAUUGAUUUAUUGAUCCGGGUUCAAAACCCAGAAUCCGGGAACUCGAAUUUUUCCAGGUUGAACUCAGCCCAGACUCGGAUGGGAAAAAGCCGGGUUUUAAUCCGGGUCUGGGAGAAAGAAAAUGGCGUCCAGGUCUGGAAUCGGGAAGGCUAAACUCGGACCCGGACCUGAAUUUUGCCAUCCCUACUGUAAACGUUCAAACAAACAACCAAUCAAUAACACCAUCUCCUUUCUAAUUGUCUUGCAUAUUGUUUACCACGUAACUCUUUAUUCUUUGUAUUAUUUUUUUCUCAUUAAUUACACAUAUUCACAAUCCAUAUCUCUGUUUGUAUCUCCCAUUCACAAUCUCUCUUCACAGAAAAAUACUUUGCUUUGCCAUAAUUAAAUUAUGAAAUAAUUGAACUGCCUGGACAUGAAAAUAAGUAGGAUAUUUUAGUAAAAUGACUCAUUAUCGUUUUCAAGUAGCACUUGAAAAACAAAAAUUGCCUACAAAAUUAAAUGAGCCAUGCUAAUGAAACAAAAGAUAUUUUUGGUCAUUUAAAAAAUUUAUGCAUUUUGGUCAACAUCUCUUUCAGUCUAAAUAUACUACCUCUUGUCCACCAUAUCCAUCCAUUAUUGCACAACUUUGGUUGAUACAAUUAUUGUUCAACUUAAAAUCAAAGGUUAAAUUUUAUCAAGUAUUAUAUAUGUCACUAAAAUCAAAAUAACUUGAGGCCAUUAAUUAUAUUGCUCUACAUAUACCUUAAAGCUACAUUGACCACAACCAACCAAGCAAAUUUCUCAAUAAGUUCUUGAAACACAUUAUUUUGUGAGAUUUUUAUCCCUAUAAAACUCACUCUUUAAUCAGGUUUCAAAUUUUAAAGAUUUUUAUAUGAAUUAAAUGAGUGUUUAUCCUUAGCAAUCACCAAUGUUCAAUGAUAACUGAUUUUUUUUUACACCAUAUCUCGUUUUGACGUUGAUUGUUUUGUAUUUUCAAUAGGGAAAAGUGUAACAUAUGUGAAUUAAAAAUGAAUAAGUAUGAGGUGGUUAAGAAGUUAGUAAAAGCAAAAGAAUAAGCUGGAAACAGAGGAAACAUAUGCACGUGUAAUAGAGAGUGAGAGAGAAGCUGCCAAACCGACCCAACUACAGACCCGAAAACCCGACCUGGAACCCGCGACCUUGACCCGGCCAUAUCUCCCAUUUUCGGCCACCGUUUCGGCCGAGCUUGGUACCAAUCUGAAGCUUAGAAGCCGGCCGUCGUUCCCUUGCCAUCCUCGUCACCGAAAACCAACCGGAACGCCGGCGAUCGAAGCUUGAAACCCGCGACUGUUUCACUUUGCUCUGCCGGGAUUUUCGCCGGUUUUGGGUGACACCACCGGUUGGAUUUUGUUCCCCACGACUCCCUCUUCCAUUUCCAACCAUCCAUAGGCACCGAGAGUCACUGUUUUGUCACCGGUUGAUUGUUGGAAUUCAAGGUUGCCGAGCUAGAUUCCAGCGUCGUUACCGUGCGUUGGAGCUCACCGCCAGUACCAUUGAACUCAGCGUGAUUGGAACUUUCAGAUUUGAGCUUCCUAGCUAGUGUUGACCAAAUUUCGGUGACCGUUGAUCGGCAAGGGCAUUUUGGUAAUUUCACACUAUGAGGGCAAUUUUGUAAUUUUUGAGCCUGUGGAUAUUUUAGUAAUUCCUCGAAUUAAGGAUUGGGUGUAAUUACGAUUCCGAGGGUAAUUCAGUGAUGUAAGAUUUUAGAGCAUGUUAAUGAUCUACGGACUCAAGGGCAUUUUAGUAAUUUUAUGGACACGGGAGUUGUCAAUUAUGGAUAGAUGUUCGUUUCGAGUUUAUUGCAUAAAAGUUAGUCAUACUUCCGAUUUACGGAAAAUAAUUAUGUCGUUUCCUUGAUUUAAGAGGAUCCGCGAGCGAGAACCGGUCCGCGGACAUGGACGAUAACCUACCGUGAACACCAUCACUGUGAGUGGAAUAUACAAAACCUAUUUUAUAGUUAAUUAUGAUAGUAAGGCAUGUUUGUGAAAUAAGUAUUUUAAAUGUUUUGAUUUAAUGAUUUCCUUGAAAUGGAUUUUGUCCACGCAUUGGUAUUUUAUUAAAAUGUUUGGUUAAUGAUUUUGUGUAUCGACUUUGAAUAAGCAUGAUAGUAUUUUAAAGAUAAGAAAAAUGGAUUCAAAUGUGGCAUGAUUUAAAAAUAUGGUUAAGAGGUAUGUGAAUAUGAGUAUAAUGAUUGUUUUUUAAAUCAUUAGACAGUACCCUUCCUCUCCAGAUACAGUGAUACAUAUGAGAUGAGAUGAGAUAGAGGCCUUUGGGGCCCAUCUGAACACACAUAGAGGCUUUGGGCCGUGUGUUUGGGCGCUUUUGCCUUUUGGGGGCAUAUGCAUGCGGUAUGAUGAUUACAGAGAUACAGACAUAUAUUGAGAUACAGAUGAUACAUAUGAGAUACAGGCCUUUGGGGCCCCGUCUGAGUACACACAGAGGCUUUGGGCCGUGUACUCGGGCGCUUUUGUCCUUUGGGGACUAGAUUAUGCAUGCACAGAUAUGAUGAGAUAUGAGAUUGUAUUUCCCUGUCUAUCCGUGUAGCUCCGGGGCGUGACGGUAUCCAGAUAGUACAUCAUUGCCCGUCCGUUGAGGUCUGAAUAUGACGAGAUUAUUUCCCUGGGUACUUGUUUGGUGAUGAUUUUUAGAUUUGUGUAUUUUAUAUGAUAUUGUGAUAUGAUUUCCAUGGUUAUUUGGUAUGAUAUAUAUGCUUUUCAUGGUUAGUAAUCUGAUUUAAAUGUUAAAUGAUUUAUUAUUGGUUUCUUGCAUAUGGUUUGAUGAAAUUGUGUUUGGAAACGAUAUGAUUAUUUCUUUUAAAGUAAGAAUUCAUUUUCAAAACUACUAUCCACUCACUGAUCUCACUGAGUUUUAAACUCACCCCGUUUUUAUUAUACUUUCCCCCCUCACCAGGAGGUUGCAGGUAUACCAGACUGACCCAGCGACUGUAAAUAUAAUUUGAGUCUUGGCCAUGUGAUGGUGUUAGAAGAUAUAAAUGUUUUUGUUAGGACAUCUUGGUUAUCUCGUCCUCUUGGGAUUGUAUAAUUUUGUUAUAUUAUUCUUUUGGGAUUAUGAAUACACUGAGAUAUUAAUAUUAGUUAUAAUAUUAUCUUUUGAGACUCUGGAGAUAUAAAACUCAGCAUUUUGGUUGAGGAUGUUGAUCACUGGAGUUUGUUGUAUAUUGAAUUGUAUUGGGAGUGUUAUAUAUAUAAAGGAGACUCUGCCGAAAUUUCGGUAGAAUCUUUACUAAUAGAAUUUUUAUCAAGUCUGUUUUGAUGAGACUAGAUAGACUCGCCUUGGGGGGAUUCGGGGCGGGUUGUUUCAGUUGGUAUCAGAGCCAGGUUUUAGAUUCUGUAGACUUUACUGUCUUAAUAAGAAUAAGUUUUAUUAUUAAAGUUAGAAUUUAUAUCUUGUAGGCACCAUCAUGCUUCGUCGUAGCAGUAGACGUGGCCGUGGCCGUACUAAGCCAAUAGUUGGGUUGACUUCUAGUAGUGUACCUGCGGGGGAAAGUGAACCCGCAAAUGAGGGGAUAGUUGAAUCCUCUACGCAUGAAAUUGCACAACAGGCACCGGGGAAUGCCCCAAAUAUUGAGCAGUCAUUUGAUAGGCUGACUCAGAUCAUGACUACAGUUGUGCAAAAUCAGACUCAAGCGCAUGUCGGUAACGCAAACACUAUUGAGCGAGUGAGGAGUUUAGGGGCGAGGAGUUUUAAUGGUUCUGGAGAACCACUUGAGGCUGAGUCAUGGUUUGUUAAAUUAGAGAGUAUUUUUGACGUGAUGAAGUGUUCGGAGGAUGACAAAUUAUCCUUCGCCGCUUUCUUGCUCGAGGAUAAAGCUUACCAUUGGUGGCAGACAGUGGAGAGACGAUAUCAGGGGCAUGCUGCGAUUACUUGGGCCAUUUUCCGCAAGGAAUUCUACGAUCAUUAUUUUCCUGCUGUAUAUCAGGAUAUUAAACGGAGUGAAUUCUUUCGGUUGGUUCAGGGAUCUCUGACAGUUGAGGAGUAUGAGAAGAAAUUUUUAGACCUCUCUAGAUUUGCUACAUCUGUAGUCGAUGAUGAGAGAGAGAGAUGCAGAUGGUUCGAGGAUGGCCUCCGAUUUGAGAUUCGCACCACCAUGACUGCAUCACUAUAUACUGAGUUUAGAGAGGUAGUUGAGGCAGCCAGGAGAGUAGAGCACAUUAUUUCAUAAGGACGUAGAUUUCAUGCACUGAAGCAGAAGCGUAGCCAGAGCUGGGCAGAGGGUGACUCUAGUAGUAGGCCGCCCAAGAGAAGGGGUAUUCCUACGAUUUAUUCUGAUAGUACGCAAAUGAGUCAGAGUACAGGCUUCAGGGGAGACUCAAGACAGGCUGUUAGUCACAACUCUGUGCAACCAUCAGUGGGGAGUAAUACUAGGAAUUAGGGACAGUACGACCGUAGUGGUGGGGGAUAUUGCGAUGAUCGUUCUAGGAGUGUCCAGCAAACUUCUUGCCCUUCAUGUGGCAGGAAUCAUCAGGGCCAAUGUCGUGUUAGAGACAGAGUUUGUUAUUUAUGUGGUCAGCUUGGACACAUCAGGAGAUUCUGCCCUACUUUAUCUCAGGGUGAUAGCUCUGCAGGAGGGACAGCCUCACGGUAUCGGCCUUACUCUGGCCUGACCCGGGGUCAGAAAGGAGCGCAGAUAAGAGGUUCUACAUCUACCUUUAUGAGUCAGACGACUGCUCCAGGUCAGAGAAGUCACCAUGGUCGACCUCAUACUCAGGCUCGAGUUUUUGCUUUGACGCAGCAGGAGGCACUUGCUGCACCAGAAGUUAUUAUGGGUAUAUUAUCUAUCCUUGGCCGCGAGGCUCAUAUUCUUAUUGAUCCUGGAUCCACACACUCUUUUAUUUCUCGUACUUUUGCUAUGCACAUAGGGCGAGAGCCCGAACUGCUAGAUUGCGAUUUAGUUGUUCGUACACCUACCAGAGAGUCAUUACUUGCUGAGAGUGUGUAUCUAGAUUGUAUGAUUGGAAUGGGUGAACAUGAAUUUGAGGCAAAUUUAAUUUCCUUAGAUAUUUAUGACUUUGAUGCUAUUUUGGGAAUGGAUUGACUUGAAUCUCAUCAUGCUACAGUGGAUUGUUUCACAAAAGAAGUUGUGUUUAAAAAGUCAGGGAAAGCUAAGGUGAAAUUUUGUGGGGAGCGCAAAGUUCUACGCUCAUGUGUUAUAUCUGCUAUGAGUGUAAGACGGUUGCUAAGAAAAGGAUGCUCAGCUUAUUUAGCUCAUGUGAUAGAUACAGAAGCUCGAGAAUUGAGAUUGGAGGAUAUUACAGUAGUUAAAGAAUUUCCAGAUGUAUUUCCAAAUGAACUUCCUGGGAUGCCACCUAACGGAGAAGUUGAGUUUUCUAUUGACUUAGUCCUUGGAACAUCUCCAAUAUCUAUGGCACCGUACAAAAUAGCUCCAGCAGAAUUGAAGGAAUUGAAGGUUCAAUUGCAAGAGUUGGUGGAGAAAGGGUUUAUUAGACCUAGUGUGUCCCGUGGGGAGCUCCAGUCUUGUUUGUUAAGAAAAAGGAUGGGACUUUUAGACUCUGCAUCGACUACAGGCAGUUGAAUAAAGUUAUGGUACACAAUAAGUAUCCACUUCCGCGUAUGAUGACUUGUUUGGUCAACUCAAAGGGGCAAAAGUAUUUUCUAAGAUUGAUUUGUGCUUGGGUUACCAUCAACUUAGCAUUAAAGAUGUCGACGUCCCUAAAAUAGCAUUUAGAAGCCGUUAUGGGCACUAUGAGUUCUUAGUGAUGCCAUUUGGGUUGACAAAUGCCCCAGCUGCUUUUAUGGACCUGAUGAAUAUGGUAUUUCGCCCAUACUUGGAUCGGUUUGUGAUUGUAUUCAUUGAUGAUAUCUUGGUGUAUUCUCGAAGCGAGGAGGUGCAUGCAGAGCAUUUGCGGACUAUUUUACAGACUUUGAGACAGAAGCAAUUGUAUGCCAAGUUCAGUAAAUGCGAGUUCUGGUUGGACAGAGUAGUAUUUUUGGGCCAUGUGAUAUCAGCUGAAGGCAUUUAUGUUGAUCCUCAAAAGAUUGAAGCAGUUGUGAAAUGGGAACGGCCUACAAAUGUCACAGAGGUUCGGAGUUUUCUUGGAUUAGCUGGUUAUUAUCAUAGAUUUGUAGAGGGAUUCUCCAAGAUUGCUACUCCUCUGACACAGUUAACUAGAAAGAAUGCUAAGUUCCAGUAGGAUGAUGACUGUGAAAAUUUUUUUCAAGAACUUAAGACACGUUUGACCUCAGCACCAGUUCUUACACUUCCAUCUGGUAAUGAAGGAUUUGUGGUUUACAGCGAUACCUCUAGGCAGGGAUUGGGUUGUGUAUUGAUGCAGCAUGGGAAAGUGGUGGCUUAUGCUUCUAGACAACUUAAGAAGCAUGAACAAAACUACCCAACACAUGACUUAGAGCUAGCAGCAGUGGUGUUUGCACUGAAGAUAUGGCGACAUUACUUAUAUGGGGCAACGUGUCAGAUUUUCAUUGAUCAUAAAAGCUUGAAGUUUUGUUUACUCAAAAGGAGUUGAAUUUGAGACAGAGGAGAUGGAUCGAGCUGAUUAAGGACUACGAUUGCACUAUCGAUUAUCAUCCGGGCAAAGCAAAUGUGGUAGCUGACGCACUGAGUAGAAAGUCUUCCAGCUUUAUAGCUCACUUGCGAGUGAAAUAUGUGCCUCUGUUGAUCGAGUUGAGAUCUUUGGGAGUCGAAUUGAACGCUGACAAUCGUGGAGCUUUGAUAGCUAAUUUUUUAGUUAGGCCGACUUUGAUUGACAAAGUUCACCAGAUGCAAGCUCAGGACCCACAAUUAAUAAAGUUGAAAGAUGAUGUGCAGAAAAGUUUAUGAACCGAUUUUAUGGUGAGAGAUGAUGGUAUCUUAGUCAUGGGUAAUAGACUCUGUGUACCUGGUAUUAAAGAUCUGAAAGAAGAGAUUAUGGAAGAAGCUCACUGUUCAGCAUAUGUGAUGCAUCCUGGUACUACAAAGAUGUAUCGUACCCUAAGGGAUCAUUACUGGCGGUAGGGUAUGAAGAGAGAGAUAGCAUAAUUUGUUUCUCAAUGUUUAGCCUGUCAGUAGAUUAAGGCUGAACACUAGAGGCUUGCAGGGUGUUUUCAGCUGCUUCCUAUUCCUGAGUGGAAGUGGGAGCACAUCACCAUGGAUUUUGUAGCGAGACUUCCACGUACGCAGAAAGGACAUGAUGGUGUUUGGGUGGUUGUUGAUCGACUUACAAAAUUUGCUCAUUUCUUCCCUUUCAAGACCAUCUACUCGAUGAACAAGUUGGGGAGUAUUUAUGUGGCUGAAAUAGUUUGACUUCACGGAGUACCUGUGUCCAUAGUCUCAGAUAGAGAUUCUCGGUUUACUUCUAAGUUCUGGACUAGCUUGCAAAAUGCUUUAGGCACCAAGUUGAACUUCAAUACAGCUUUUCAUCCACAGACUGAUGGACAGUCAGAGCAUACUAUUCAAACUCUGGAGGAUAUGUUACGAGCUUGUGUUAUGGAGUUUAAAGGUAAUUGGGACAAUUAUUUACCUCUGAUGGAGUUUGCUUACAACAACAGCUAUCAAGCUAGUAUCGAGAUGGCACCAUAUGAGGCUUUGUAUGGUCGAAAAUGUAGGACUCCAGUAUGUUGGGAUGAGGUUGGUAAGCGGAGGUUAUUCGGUCCAGAACUAGUCCAAAAUACGAACGAGUAGAUACAAUUGAUUCGGGAUAGAUUAAAGGUGGCCCAAGAUAGACAGAAGAGCUAUGCAGACAAGCGCAGACGGGAACUUGAAUUCAAAGUUGGUGAUAGAGUUUUCAUACGGAUAUCUCCUUGGAAAGGGGUGCUUCGAUUUGGGAAACGUGGGAAGUUAAGUCCACAUUACAUUGGGCCAUAUGAGAUCAUUGAGCGCAUCGGUCCGUUAGCUUAUCGAUUAACUCUACCACCCGAGUUAUCCAAAAUCUACGAUGUGUUUCAUGUCUCAAUGCUCCGGAAGUACUUAUAUGACCCGAGUCAUGUGUCAUCGAAGCAACCAAUUCAAUUGAAGGUAGAUUUGAUUUACGAAGAGGAACCAAUGGAGAUACUGGAAGAGAAACACCAAGUUCUACGUUCUAAGACCAUUCCUCUAGUAAAAGUACGGUGGAGGAAUCAUACAAAGGAAGAGGCUACCUGGGAACGCGAGGACUUAAUGCGAGCUCAGUAUCCCUAUAUUUUCUUAUCAGGUACAUAAAUUUCGAGGACAAAAUUUUUAUAAGGGAGGAGGAUUGUAACAUAUGUGAAUUAAAAAUGAAUAAGUAUGAGGUGGUUAAGAAGUUAGUAAAAGCAAAAGAAUAAGCUGGAAACAGAGGAAACAUAUGCACGUGUAACAGAGAGUGAGAGAGAAGCUGCCAAACCGACCCAACUACAGACCCGAAAACCCGAUCCGGAACCCGCGACCUUGACACAGCCAUAUCUCCCAUUUCCGGCCACCGUUUCGGCUGAGCUUGGUACCAAUCUGAAGCUUAGAAGCCGGCCGUCGUUCCCUUGCCAUCCUCGUCACCGAAUAACCUCGCCGACGAUCGAAGCUUGAAACCCACGACUGUUUCACUUUGCUCUGCCGGGAUUUUCACCGGUUUUGGGUGACACCACCGGUUGGAUUUUGUUCCCCACGACUCCCUCUUCCAUUUCCGACCAUCCAUAGGCACCGAGAGUCACUGUUUUGUCACCGGUUGAUUGUUGGAAUUCAAGGCUGCCGAGCUAGAUUCCAGCGUCGUUGCCGCCCGUUGGAGCUCACCGCCAGUACCAUUGAACUCAGCGUGAUUGGAACUUUCAGAUUUGAGCUUCCUAGCUAGUGUUGACCAAAUUCCGGUGACCGUUGACCGGCAAGGGCAUUUUGGUAAUUUCACACUAUGAGGGCAAUUUUGUAAUUUUUGAGCCUGUGGAUAUUUUAGUAAUUCCUCGAAUUAAGGAUUGGGUGUAAUUACGAUUCCGAGGGUAAUUCAGUGAUGUAAGAUUUUAGAGCAUGUUAAUGAUCUACGGACUCAAGGGCAUUUUAGUAAUUUUAUGGACACGGGAGUUGUCAAUUAUGGAUAGAUGUUCGUUUCGAGUUUAUUGCAUUCAAUUUAGUCAUAAUUCUGAUUUACGAAAAAUAAUUAUGUCGUUUCCUUGAUUUAGGAGGAUCCGCGAGCGAGAACCGGUCCGCGGACGUGGACGAUAACCGACCGUGAAUACCGUCACUGUGAGUGGAAUAUACAAAACCUAUUUUUAUAGUUAAUUAUGAUAGUGAGGCAUGUUUGUGAAAUAAGUAUUUUAAAUGUUCUGAUUUAAUGAUUUCCUCGAAAUGGAUUUUGUCCACGCAUUGGUAUUUUAUUAAAAUGUUUGGUUAAUGAUUUUGUGUAUCGACUUUGAAUAAGCAUGAUAGUAUUUUAAAGAUAAGAAAAGUGGAUUCAAAUGUGGUAUGAUUUAAAAAUAUGGUUAAGAGGUAUGUGAAUAUGAGUAUAAUGAUUGUUUUUUAAAUCAUUAGACAGUACCCUUCCCCUCCAGAUACAGUGAUACAUAUGAGAUGAGAUGAGAUAGAGGCCUUUGGGGCCCGUCUAAACACACAUAGAGGCUUUGGGCCGUGUGUUUGGGCGCUUUUGCCUUUUGGGGGCAUAUGCAUGCGGUAUGAUGAUUACAGAGAUACAGACAUAUAUUGAGAUACAUAUGAUACAGAUGAGAUACAGGCCUUUAGGGCCCGUCUGAGUACACACAGAGGCUUUGGGCCGUGUACUCGGGCGCUUUUGUCCUUUGGGGACUAGAUUAUGCAUGCACAGAUAUGAUGAGAUAUGAGAUGGUAUUUCCCUGUCUAUCCGUGUAGCUCCGGGGCGUGACGGUACCCAGAUAGUGCGUCAUUGCCCGUCCGUUGAGGUCUGGAUAUGACGAGAUUAUUUCCCUAGGUACUUGUUUGGUGAUGAUUUUUAGAUUUGUGUAUUUUAUAUGAUAUUGUGAUAUGAUUUCCAUGGUUAUUUGGUACGAUAUUAUAUAUGCUUUUCAUGGUUAGUAAUCUGAUUUAAAUGUUAAAUGAUUUAUUAUUGGUUUCUUACAUAUGGUUUGAUGAAAUCGUGUUUGGAAACGAUAUGAUUAUUUCUUUUAAAGUAAGAAUUCAUUUUCAAAACUACUAUCCACUCACUGAUCUCACUGAGUUUUAAACUCACCCCGUUUUUAUUAUAUUUUCCCCCUCUCACCAGGAGGUUUCAGGUAGGGAUGGGCAUUUUACCCGACCUGACCCGACCCGACCCGACCCGAUAAAUUUCGGGUUCGGGUCGGGAUCGAAACCCGAUCGGUUUGAAAUUUACAAACCUGAUCGGGUUGUGAUCGGUUCAUGAUCGGUUCGGGUCAAACUCGACGCGAUCCGAAUACCCGAUCGGGUUCAAAAAAAAAACUGUAAGCUAAGUAGCUAACAGUCUAAGUGUCUAACACUGCACACACACACAACAAUGGUUUCAAACUUUCAAUCACUUAAGUUAACACUAACAGUAGCAGCAAACUUGCAGUAAACAAAUUGAAGAAGAAGAUGUUUAACAAUUAACACUUUAACAGUUUAAGCCACAGUCAAUGAGUCAACUUCAACAGCAAGUCAGCAACUACACAAGUCACACACAUACGCUGCUCGCUCGGCUGCUGCACAACACACACAAACACAACUUGUCACAAGCGAAAUAGCACACAACCACACGGCCCACACACACAUACGCUGGCUGCUGCACACACACGACACAACUACACAAGUCACAAGCUGAAGCUGCACACUUGCACAGUACACACAUAGAAUGACAGAACAGAACAAAACAGAACAGAACACACACGAGCUGCACAGUACACACACAUGCUGAACAGUCACUCAAGUCUCAAUAAUUCACUCGCAAACCUAACACACACACAUACACACGCUGUCAGCCACAACUCACAAGUUCAAUUGUUCAAACAACUUAACAGCAGAACAUUACAAGGCAGCCGCAACCCGCAAGUCUGUAACCACCAACCAGCCACCACAAGACGGAUCUGUUGCUGCCAACUGCUGAAGAAAUCACGAUCUGUUGCUGCCAAGUGAAGUCACAACCAGCCGUGAGCCGUGAGCCGUCCGCAUCUCCAUGAUCUGCUGCUACCAACUCCCAAGUGAAGCUGCGAUCUGCUGCCAAGUGAAAUCCCGUCCGUCCAGCCGUGAGCCGUGGCCACCGAUCUACUGCUUGAAGGCCGAAUCCUCUCCACCCGAACCCGAUUUUGAAGCUUUCCGGUUUCCACCUUCCAUUUUGAAGUUUCAAGCUUCAAGCUUCAAGCCUUCAAGGCUUCAACUUUAUUGAAGUUCCCAAUCCGUUUCAGUUUCAGACUUUUAAAGUUUUAAUUUUCCUUCAGUUCACGACUUCACGCCUCACGGUAUAUAAGAUAUAACUAUAUAUACACUAUAUAAUUAAUUAAUUAUAUAUAUGCUAAAUAAUUUAUUACUUUAUUAUGUAAUUGAGUAAUUAGUUAAUGGUUAUUAUUUAAUUGUUGUAAUUAACUAAUUAUGUAUUUAUAAAUAUUAAUGAUAAAAUCAAGGAAAUUUUGUUAAUUAUUGAGCUCAUCAGAAAUUAUUUUUUUGUCAUAUAUAAAAAGGAAUUGAAUAUUGAUGAUUGGUGAUUUGGUGGGUUUUGUUUUUAUUUCAUUGAUUAUUAAUUUUUUAUUGUUGACUCUCUUUAGCGAAUUAGACUAUAACAAAUUAACAAUCAAGCACAAAGAAUAUAUGAAAAUGGUGUUAGUCAGCGAAUAAUAAAAAUUUUGAUAAUUGUUAAUAAUUGAAAUAAUAUUAAUUGAUAAUUGUUAAUAAUUGUUAAAAAACAGUUAAUAUUUGAUUUUUUAUGAAUAAAUUAGCACAUUAGGUAGAUUAAAUAUUAAAAUUAAUUAUUAUAUUGUAUAUAUUUUAUAAUUAUAAUGUGUUAUGUAAUUAUGUGUACUUGUGCAGUAGCUUCAAGCUUUCAAUCCUAAAAAAAUUAAUAAAUUCAAUUAAUAUUUUAUUGUAUGUUAAUCAUCCGUUAAGUUGUUAAGUACAAGUAACUUGGACUUGAAAUUAAAGGAUUUAAUUUAUAAUAAGAAAUAAGAUAUAGAUAGACAAAUAAUAUCAUAUUAUUAUGGGGAAUAGACUAUUGGAUAUUAUAAAUUAAUUAAUUAAUCAUGAAUUUCUUAUUUUUUGUUUAUGAAGCAUGAACAACUUGAAUUGAAAUUACUAAUUUUUGUUUAUGGAUUAUGUUAAUAAUAUUUAUGUGUUUUGAUUUUUGAAUUAAUGAUUAUUAAUUAUUAUUUUGAAUAUUCAGAUGCUUGGACACUCAAGAUCGAAUUCGAUGAGUGACGAUGAAGGCCAAAGUGUACAAAUGGAAGGAACCCAUAGAGGAAAGGAAAAGGCGAAGCGGAAAAGACUGCCAAUGAAAAAAAGAUCGACAGUAUGGAAUCAUUUCACUUUACUCGAAGAUAAUCCAAACAAAUGUAUGUGCAACUAUUGUGGUAAGCAAUAUCAAUGUCAUUCAAGGCUUGAUGGGAUUAUAAAUAUGACAAGGCAUAGAAAGACAUGUGAAUCAUACAAGACAUUUCGGGCACAACAAAGUGGAAGUCAACAAAAUUUGACAUCCGAGGGCGGCGAAGAAAAUGCAAGUAAUUUGGUUUUGGGUAAAGGAUGGAGUCAAGACGCGUGUCGAAGGGCAGUAACUAAAAUGAUUAUUAUGGGUGAGUUGCCGCUCAGUUUUGUAGACAACAAAGGCUUUAGGCAUUUCUGCAGUGUAGCUAUCCCUCAGUUUGUUAUGCCAUCUCGAAGAACAAUUGGUAGAGAUGUUAUGGAGUUAUUUUUGGAGGAAAAGGCAAUGUUGAAGAGUUUUAUUUGUAACAACAAGCAACGGGUGUCUCUUACAAAUGAUUUAUGGACUUCUGUUCAAAACAUGAGCUACAUGGUGAUUACAGCUCAUUUUAUUGAUAGUGAUUGGUGUUUGAAUAGGAGGAUUAUUAGUUUUAGCGCCAUCGAAGAUCAUAGAGGGAAGUCGAUUGGUAAAAAGAUUGUGGCUUGCCUACAAGAUUGGGGGAUAGAGAGGUUGUUUGCAAUAAUUGUUGAUAAUGCCACUGCAAAUGAUGUUGCUGUUGGUUAUGUAACUAUGCAGUUGCUUAGUUGGAGGAAUGAGGAUGCACUUGUGUUGGCGGGACAAUAUAUGCAUGUGCGUUGUUGUGCACAUAUUUUGAAUUUGAUUGUUGUCUCAGGAUUGGGAGAGUUGCAUGCUAGUGUUACCGCUAUUCGAAAUGCAGUGAAGUAUGUGAGAUCCUUCAGCAUGAGGCUACGGACAUUUAAACAAUGUGCUGAGUAGGUGAAUUGUCCAAAAGGAAUUGUUGUUUUGGAUUGUCCUACCAGGUGGAAUUCCACUUAUUUGAUGUUGAUGACUGCGCUGAAAUUUCACGCGGCAUUUGAUAGAAUGGCAGAAGUGGAUAAACCUUAUGAGGCAUUCUUUGCUGAGAAAGAAAAUAAUGUUAGAAGGGUAGGCCCACCUGGACCGGAUGACUGGGAGAGUGCCGAACGAAUUGUGAAGUUUUUGAAGGUAUUUUAUGAUGCCACAUUAUUAUUUUCUGCCUCUUUGAGUGUGACUUCUAAUCUUUGUUAUGAUACUAUUGGCUUAAUCGAGAGUUCAUUGACUGCACUGCAAGAAAGUACCGAUCCUUGAGUGUCCUCUAUGGCUUAUAGUAUGAGGGAAAAUUUUGACUAGUAUUGGGAGUCCACAGGAAAGAUAAAUAAAAUGUUGAUUAUUGCCUCUAUUCUUGAUCCACGAGCAAAAAUGGAUUUUGCUAAACAUAUUUUUGAGAUCAUUUUUGGCAAUGAUAGUUUGAUGGUUAAACAAAUGACCAAAGCAGUGAAGGACUUGUUGAAUGAGUUUUAUGAUGCAUAUAGUGCAUUCUCCGCUAGUUUCACACCAUCGAUGUAUGGUGAGAGUGGUCUUAGUGGCAGUUAUAGUUUGAUGGUUGAACAAAUGACCAAAGCAGUGAAGGACUUGUUGAAUGAGUUUUAUGAUGCAUAUAGUGCAUUCUCCGCUAGUUUCACACCAUCGAUGUAUGGUGAGAGUGGUCUUAGUGGCAGUUAUGGAGGUACAAGUUCUUUUCAACGUUUUACAACUGAGGCUAAUUUGGUGGAUGUUGCUGGUGGUGAAUAUGAUGACGCUUUUCAAGUAUCUCGCCCUUUCCUUGGAUAUGCCAGGAAGGUUUCUGUUCAGAAUGAGAGUAGAAGAGUAGUAUCUGAGGUGGAAAGGUACUUGAAGGACCCAGUUAAAGAUCCCAGCAAUCUUAAACUUAAUGUUUUGCUUUGGUGGAGGGUGAAUGGAUCGAGGUAUCCAAUUCUUGAGAAAAUUGCAAGAGAUGUCCUUGCUGUUCCUGUUUCCACAGUGGCAUCUGAGUCUGCUUUUAGCACCGGGCGUCGUAUUAUUGAUGAGUAUAGGAGUUCUUUAACUUCGGCUAUGGUUGAGGCAUUGAUAUGCACUGAAAAUUGGCUGCAGUCUAAACUUUUUGCCAAUCCCGUCUACAACCUCCAAGAAGAUAUCAAGGAGCAAAUAUUUCAUAUGGAAUUACAAGAAGGUAAUGUUUUUAAUUUUUUAUCAUACAUUAAAUACAUAAUAUAUUUAAAAUGCAUUAUAAUUUUAUAUAGAACAUAUACAUAUUAAUUGUUUUUUGGAUUUUAUAGAACUUAUAAAAUCGCAAGCUUCGACAGUGGAAGCGGUGAGCGCCGACAUUGGUGUUAUGGAUGUUUGAAAGGUAACUUUUAAUAUAUAUUAUUAUUCAUAAUUUGAUAUUAUAGUACUAUUAGUAUUUGGUUGUAAUUUAAGCUCCUAUAAUUAUAGUUGUUAUAGUUUUAAAUUUUAAGUUUAAUUUGUAAUUAUUUUAGUUGAAGUUGAUAGAAUGUUAUUAUUGUCUAAUAUUAUUAUUAACUUGAUUUGGUGAUGAAUGCCAUAAAAUAAGCAUGAUAAAAUAGAAAUAUAUAAUCAAGAGUGUAUUGAAAAAUUUGGUAAACAUAUAUAUUUAUUUGUAAUUAUAAAUUUAUAAUGAUAUAAUAGAAAUUAGAAAGAUUGUAACAUCCCUUAAUUUAAUUAAAGAUAUGAAUUGGAUUUAUUUAUUUGUAUUUGUGUUUGAUGUGUAACCUUAUGAAUUUGAUAUAUUUGCUCAAUUUUUAAUAUGAAUUGAGUUUGUUCAUUUGGAACGUGGCUUAAGGAAAAUAUUUAUUGUAAAUUUUCUCAAUCUUUCUCUAGGCAAUCGGCACUUGAACUUGGAGUUCAAAAUUUUCAAUUUAGAAUUUGUCAAAGUACUUGUAUGGAGCCAUGGAGGAACCAAGGUGGAGGAACCAAAAAAGCUUAUUUAGUUUUAAUGUUUGAACUUUGAAUUUUGUGAUUUAUGUUUCUAAACAAUUUAAUUUUGUGACUUUGUGAGUUUGUGUUUCAAACUUUUAAAGACUAAUAUUUGGAAUUUGUUCUUUGGACUUUGUAAGUUUGUAUUAAUUUUAACUUUUAUUAAGUUUGGAACUUUGCAUUUUGUUGAUUGAGCAAAUAAUAGUCCUAAUUCUACCCUCCAAGUCCAAGCCAAUAGGCAAAUAAUCCUAUAAUAGCUUUUUAACUUUAUUCAUUUGAAAUAAUGACAUUUUCUUUUCUUUUUUCAGUUGAAAAUUAGUAAAAAUGACUACAAUUAAGAAAAAUGUCUUAAAACUUUCAUAAAAAACUAUAAUAAUAGGAAAAAAAGAGCUCAAAAUUGUAUUAACCGAAUUUGACCCGAAUUGACCCGAUUUCAACCGACCCGAACUGACCCGAACUCAAUCCUACCCGUUUUAAAUCCAACCCGAUCCAACCUGAACAUAACCCAAAUUAAUGACCCGACCCGAACAUAGUUCGGGUCGGUUCGGGUCGGGUCAUUAAUUCGGGUUAUGUUCGGAUUGGUUCUUGUCUAACCCGAACAACUCGAAACCCGAUCGGGUUGACCCGAACCCGACCCGAACCCGAUUUUGCCCACCCCUAGUUUCAAGUAUACCAGACCGACCCAACGAUUGUAAAUAUAUUUUGAGUCUUGGCCACGUGAUGGUGUUAGAAAAUAUAAAUGUUUUUGUUAGGACAUCUUGGUUAUCUCGUCCUGUUGGGAUUGUAUAAUUUUGUUAUAUUAUUCUUUUGGGAUUAAGAAUACACUGAAAUAUUAAUAUUAGUCAUAAUAUUAUCUUUUGAGACUUUGGAGAUAUAAAACUCAGCAUUUUGGUUGAGGAUGUUGAUCACUGGAGUUUGUUGUAUAUUGAAUUGUAUUGGGAGUGUUAUAUUCAUAUUUCUAGAUUGAGAGUGUUAUAUUCAUAUUUGUAGAUUGAGAGUGUUAUAUAUAUAAAGGAGACUCUGCCGAAUUUUCGGCAGAAUUUUUAUCAAGUCUGUUUUGAUGAGACUAGAUAGACUCGCCUGGGGGGAUUCGGGGUGGGUCGUUUAAAAAAGGAUCGUUAAACCUCAAAUAUUUAUCGAAAGGAACAUAAACCCCUUUACGUUUUAAAAAGAUAUUCAAAUCUCUGUUUCUCAAGAAAUUCUGUUUGCUUAACUGAAAAUAUAUUUUAAACAUGUAAUUACUAUUAUACUUCUCUAGCAUACUAGUCAAUAUAUUGGUUUAUUAACCUUUCCUUUCAUCAAGCUGAUGAAGUUGGGAGUGACAGUGGUGGCUUAUUGACUUUACUCAUAAAACGCCUAGCCACAACAACACUCCGGUAAACAAUAAGAAAUUCCUUCUAAAAUAAUAACUAGACAACCCAAGGGGGGGGAGAAUUGAGAUUUUUAAAGCUUAUACUAAACAAACCACACAAUAAUUUAAUUUAAUGCCUUAAUGAAAUAAAAAACAAUAAAUUUAACAAUACUAAAAAAUAAAAGAGUAAGAGAAGAGAGAGCAAACAUAAAGAUUUUUACGUGGUUUGGCCAACCCCGCCUACGUCCACGCCUCCAAGCUCACCGGGGUUGAGGAUUUUACUAUUCAAGCAUCCCAAGGUUUCAAAUGCUUACAAUUGACUUCUAAGGUGUUAAUGGACCUUUACAACAAGAGAUCUUUCUCAAUCUCUUCAUCCAAGUGUAUUCCAACAUUUACAACCUCUCAACUUGAUUUUAUAAAAAUGAAUACAAAUAAAUUUUCCUCACACAAUGUAUUUGAUUAUAAAUGAAAGCUCAAUGUGUGUAAAUAAAUGAAAUGAAUACAAAUUUUAUGCUCGAAUUGCAGAGAAUGGCUCAAUCAUAACAAUGGUUGUAUAUAUAAAAUGAAUUUGAUUUGUGCCAAUUUAUAGUUGAAGAAGAAAAUUAGCUGUUUGACUUUUUGGUGAUAUUCGGCUUGCCGCUUUGUGUUAACUGGCUUGCCACUUUAUGUUACCAUUAUGUUCAAAGAUUUGAAUUAUUGCACAUUCAGUGUGCCGCUUUUCAUUUCUGGUUAGCCGCUUUUACUCCAGAGAGCUUCUUCUUGAUAAUCCGUUUGCCGCUUUGAUAAAUCCAACUAGCUGCUUGCUACAGUGAAACAAUUAGUUUCCAAAAUUAUAGUUUUGCCCCAAUACUUUAUAAAAUUACACUAUAACCUAAAUAUUUAUAAAACUUUACAAAUAGGUCCGUUUUCAAAAUUUUAAAAUAAUAUUUGUUGAUUUCAAAGUUCUUAAAACUUUUCAAUUUAAACCAUAAACUUGAAAACAACUAAUUUCAUAAAAUUAUUUUCUUGUUAUAAAAACAUAAUGUGUAAUUCUUUAUUUAUCCAAAACAUGUGGUUUGUUAUCAUCAAAAUCAACAUUUUAUAUCCAUAUAGGCUAACAAUCUCCCUCGUUUUUAUGACGACAAAACACAUUAUAAAAUCUUUGGGGACUAGAUUAUACAUACACAGAUAUGAUGAGAUAUGAGAUGGUAUUUCCCUGUCUAUCCGUGUAGCUCCGGGGCGUGACGGUACCCAGAUAGUACGUCAUUGCCCGUCCGUUGAGGUCCGGAUAUGAUGAGAUUAUUUCCCUAGGUACUCGUUUGGUGAUGAUUUUCAUAUUUGUGUAUUAUAUAUGAUAUUGUGAUAUGAUUUCCAUGGUUAUUUGGUACGAUAUUAUAUAUGCUUUUCAUGGUUAGUAAUCUGAUUUAAAUGUUAAAUGAUUUAUUAUUGGUUUCUUGCAUAUGGUUUGAUGAAAUCGUGUUUGGAAACGAUAUGAUUAUUUCUUUUAAAGUAAGAAUUCAUUUUCAAAACUACUAUCCACUCACUGAUCUCACUGAGUUUUAAACUCAUCCCGUUUUUAUUAUAUUUUCUCCCCCUCACGAGGAGGUUGCAGGUAUACCAGACUGACCCAACGACUGUAAAUAUAUUUUGAGUCUUGGCCACAUGAUGGUGUUAGAAGAUAUAAAUGUUUUUGUUAGGACAUCUUGAUUAUCUCGUCCUGUUGGGAUUGUAUAAUUUUGUUAUAUUAUUCUUUUGGGAUUAUGAAUACACUGAGAUAUUAAUAUUGGUUAUAAUAUUAUCUUUUGAGACUCUGGAGAUAUAAAACUCAGCAUUUUGGUUGAGGAUGUUGAUCACUGGAGUUUGUUGUAUAUUGAAUUGUAUUGGGAGUGUUAUAUUCAUAUUUCUAGAUUGAGAGUGUUAUAUUCAUAUUUGUAGAUUGAGAGUGUUAUAUAUAUAAAGGAGACUCUGCCGAAUUUUCGACAGAAUCUUUACUAAUAGAAUUUUUAUCAAGUCUGUUUUGAUGAGACUAGAUAGACUCACCUGGGGGGAUUCGGGGCGGGUCGUUCCAAAAAGGAUCGUUAAACCUCAAAUAUUUAUCGAAAGGAACAUAAACCCAUUUACGUUUUAAAAAGAUAUUCAAAUCUCUGUUUCUCAAGAAAUUUUGUUUGCUUAACUGAAAAUAUAUUUUAAACAUGUAAUUACUAUUAUACUCCUCUAGCAUACUAGUCAAUAUAUUGGUUUAUUAACCUUUCCUUUCAUCAAGCUGAUGAAGUUGGGAGUGACGGUGGUGGCUUAUUGACUUUACUUAUAAAAAGCCUAGCCACAACAACACUUCGGUAAACAAGAAGAAAUUCCUUCUAAAAUAAUAACUAGACAACCUAAGGGGGGGUGAAUUGAGAUUUUUAAAGCUUAUACUACACAAACCACACAAUAAUUUAAUUUAAUGCCUUAAUGAAAUAAAAAACAAUAAAUUUAACAAUACUAAAAAAUAAAAGAGUAAGAGAAGAGAGAGCAAACACAAAGAUUUUUACGUGGUUUGGCCAACUGACCUGCCCAAGUGAAGUCUCUCUGCAAAAGCAAUUGCGGAGAAUAAUGCCACAAUAACGAGCUGUAAAGGACUGAACAUCGCUUCCAAGGUGUUAAUGGACCUUUACAACAAGAGAUUUUUCCCAAUCUCUUCAUCUAUGUGGUUUGUUAUCAUCAAAAUCAACAUUUUAUAUCCAUAUAGGCUAACAUUCUCCCUCUUUUUUAUGACGACAAAACACAUUAUAAAAUUUUGAUUUAGUUAUGAAAAAAAACUCCCCCUUAAUAAUUGCAAGAUUAAAAACUGAUUUAAAAAGCCCCCUACAUGAAUGCAUAUUUUCCAUAACAAAUAGUUAUAUAUCAUAUCUCCCCUUUCAUCAUAAAAAAGAGUAGAAUACUCCGCUUGAGUAUAUUAUAAGUUUAAACAAUUUGCCAAUCAGCUAAAUUAACAAUUUUAAAUACAUGUAUUCUUCUCCCCCUUAUCAUAAAAAAGAAAACUUAGUGGAAAAGAAAAAGAGUAGCAAAUUUGUUACCCAUGUUGUCCAAGUAAAAAUUUCGACAGAAUCUCUCCCUGUCAACAAGCAUCACCUCAAAUACAAGUUUAGUAAUAUCACUCCCAAAUUAUCAUAAAUCAUGAUACAAACCAACGUCAUAAACAAAUCAUCACACAAUCCAUCAACAAUAAAAAGAUCAUAAACCAUCAUUACAUCAAUUAUCAAAUUAGCAACUUACAACAUAAAAUCAUCAUCUAAAACAACCAUGUAAUCAAAUCAUCACAAUAAUCACAAAUCAACCAUCAAAAGAAUGCUCAAAGUACAUGUUAUUCUCCCCCUUUUGACAUCAUCAAAAUGGUAUAUUACUUUGUCGCCCCUUUUUGAUAUCAUCUAAAACAAGUAAUGCAUAUUCAACAAUACAUCAAUAAAGUACAAAAAAUGCAUCCAUUUACCAAUCAUAGAUCGUAUAAGAUCAAACUUUAUCAAAUGCAAUGUAAUCAUCAAAGCACAUUCUUUAUCAUCAAAACUUAAGCAAAGCAUAAGUACAUAAUGGCAAUAUAUAGAUCAUCAAAAUCAACAUAGGCAUUAAGAUAAGCCAUCAUUAUCAGCUAAAAGAAUAAGUGAUCAAAUUCAUAAGUACAAUAAGUCAUAUAUGCCAAUUUUAUAAAUGAAUGAUGAUAUAACACAAUCAAUGGCACAAGAAUUCACACAUACAUAAGUGAUGAACAAUUAAUACUUAGUGAUGGAUAAUGAUUUAGAAAUAUCAAAUGAGAAAAAAAACAUAAAGAUAAUGGAUUUUUGUGAGAUAAAUGUUUGUGUUUGGCUUUUUGGAGAGAGUGUGAUGAACAAAUAAGAAAGAUGAAUAAAUGACAUGAAACAUAAUGAUAGAUGUUGUGCAAAUUUUAAUAUACUCGCAAGCGCAUGAAUCUAUUGUAAUAUAGACUAAUGGUGACGAGUGUCAAUCCCACGAAGAGGUGGAUUUUAAUUAUAUGUAGAAUUAAUUUUGUACAUGGGUGGUUGGAAUUGUGGUGGAAGUGAUUUAAAUUAUCCUAAAAUUGGAAUUGAAAUGACGAUAAUAAAUUCUAAAAUUGGAAUUGCAAUGGCGAGAAUAAAUUGAAGCGAAUUCUAUUGAGAUGACGUACUUGGGUAUCUGGAUCCGUAUCAACAUGCAUCAUGGGCUAAAUAUUUCUUAUUAAUACCAAUUAAAUCAUGAGGGGGGAAUCCACACCUCAUGAACCACACUCUAAUCAAUAUGGUGCUAAGGGCUUAUCGUGCUAAAUAAUAAUAACCUUGUACUAGGGGGCCGGUGAAACUAAGGCGGUACUAGACAAGAUUAGUAUUAUUUGUCGAUGAGAAGUCAAAACAUCCACAAAAAAUUAGAGGGGAAUAUAAAGUAAAUUUACCAAAUAAAGCCCAUGACACAUGUUGAGACUUCACCUUCAACCCAAGCUUGAAAGGAAAUUAGCCACUCAUAAUUGAACUAGGGGCAAAAUGGGAAUUUAUUAAAAUACGUAGAAAAUACAAGAUGGAGAAGGAAUUACAGAAAAUGGAGUCCAAAGUUGGAUUCAGAGAUAUCAAAUUAAAGGGGGAGGCCCCCUUUUUAUAGAUACAUGGAGUAAAUAAUGGCCAUCGGAUUAAAAACAGUUUGGACGCUCAGGAUUGCGCCACGUCAUCAGUCAACAGUACGCGGUUUGACCACGCGAAUGAACAGUAACACGGUUUGACCCGGGUUGAACAGUAACGCGGUUUGGUUGAAAAUAAUUCUGUGUGAUGCAUGUACCGUACGUGAGAUUUUUCGUCCACUGAUAUGCUGCCACGUCACCAUCAACAGUACAUAAGAAUUUUAGUCCAACAGGAUCGUGACACCUCAUCAGUCAAUGCCACAUCAUCGGUCAAUGCCACGUCAUCGAUCCGUCUAUGUGAACAGUGUCGUGAACAGUAACGUAUACAGUACCGUACACGUGAAUAGUACCGUACAUGUGAAUAGUAUCAUUUUUCCUUUUAUGCUCCUCCUAAGGUUUUCGACUGUCCUGAGUUCAAAAGUGAUGUCUGUGUUGCCGUCUGAUCUCUCCUUUAUUGUGAAAUGACUAUAAUGCCCCUAAAAUACAUAAAAUACUUAAUUAAAAUAAAACACAUGUAAUUAAAUCAUAAGAAGGUUAAAUACAUAAAAGUAAGGGUUGUUAGUAAAACUUGAAAUGUAAAAUGACAGUUUUCUCCUUUAUAAAUAUGCAUUUUCUAACACUCAACAAUAGACAAUUAAAAAGAUGAAAUCAAAGAUUAUAUAAUCAUCAAAAUCAAACAAAGGCAUCAUGAUAAGUUGACAUGCUACCAUAAUAUAUAUCUAACCACGCAUCAUGAUUACACACAAUAAUAAUUAAUUAUGUAAACAUACGAGCAUGCUUUUGUAAAUUCAAGCUAUUAUCAAUCCAUCGUGAUUCCUUAAACAAAAUCAAUAUGGCAAGCAUUGUUACCGAAACAAUUAAAUAAUCUUGCCUCAUCUUUUUCUCCUAGAUCAUGAUCAAGUAAUUAUCCUCACAAGUUUUCAUCAAGGAACUCUCCACCAUUUCUUGAUUAUGGUGCCUAUAAAAAAUAUUCAAAUUGUUCCCUUUAGUACCCAAAUACUUUUGGGUCCUUGAGUGUUAGCAAUGGUUCCUUUUGGAACCCAAACACAUUUUACUCCAUAAUAUGCAUUUAUUUUAACUCGACAUCCAAGAUUCAUGUGAUUAUUUUGAUUGCAAUAGUGACAUACAACAUGAUUGCUAAUAGAGGUACUCUUCACAAAGUAAUUCUUAUAAAACUUUUGUUUCAAAUUUGGCUUAUAACCAAUGUCUCCUUUGGUAAACACACAUUUUUGUGAAUUAAGCAAGUUAUCCAACAACUUUUUCUCAUUUGUAAAUUUUAAGACAACAUCAUUAAGUUCAAUAUUCUUUUUCUUGAGCAUUUUAUUUUCCUUUUUCAAAUCAUAUACAUGUGAUUCUAUAUGUUCAUGUGAAGUGUUAUGUUUCUCAUUUGAUAAUGCAACUCUAUCAUGCAAUGAUUAUUUCUAAUUAUAGACAUGUAAUCUUUGCAUUUAAAGAUUAAUUUUCAUUUAUGAGCUCUACCAUUUUCUUUUUAAGACAUGCAUUCUUUUUACUAGUUUUCAUUCAUUCAUCAUACAAUCCUUUAAAAGCAUAAGAUAAUUCAUCAUAAGUAGGAAGAUCAUUUACCUCAUCAAGUUCAUCAUCUCUUAUUGCCACAAGUGCUAGGUUUGACACUUCUUGCGAAUCUUCUUCAUCACUUGAUUCUUCAUCGCUAUCAUCCCAAGUAGCCACCAUAACUUUCUUCAUGAGUUUGUUAAGAAGUGGACACUCCGAUCUUAUAUGGCCAAGCUUUUUGCAUUCAAAACAAACAAUUGGCUGCUUCUUCCCUUUAUUUACCUUAAGGUUUUCUCUCAUGAGAUCUUUAAACUUUCUUCUCUUGAUUUGCUUCUUGAAGAUCCUUUUAAACUUUAUAGUAAUCAUUUCAAUGCCUUCAUCUUCAAAGUCACUUCCAUCAUCAUCACUUUCAACUAUAGAAGAUUUAAAAGCAAAGCUCUUCUUUUUUUUUUUUUUAUCUUUAUCAAUUCUUUCAUUAGCUAUAUCUUCUUCAUAUGAGAUAAGUGAACCAAUAAGAUCAUCAAGAGAUAAAGUAUUAAGAUUUUUUGCUUCUUCUAUAGCCGUUCUCUUUGGUCUCCACUUUUUCGGCAAUGAUCUAAUAAUUUUCUUCACUUUUUCACAAUGACUAAAUGUCUUUCCUAGUGCUUCAAGAGAAUUCACAAUAUUGGUAAAUCUAGUGUACACAUCAUGAACACUCUCAUAUGAUUCCAUUUGAAACAUUUCAUAUUGCCUAGUGAAUCUACUAAUUUUGCACUCCUUAACUUGAUUUGUUCCCUCAUAUACAACUUUAAUUUUCUUCCAAAUUUCAUAAGCACUUUCACAAUUAGAAACUCUAUGAAAUUAUUUCUUAUCUAAAGCACAAAAUAGAGCAUGAAGGUUUUGGAAUAUCAUCUUCUACUUCAUUUUUAGCUAUAAGCAUGAAUUUACCAUCACAAACAACUUCCCAGAUUUUAUAUUCUAAAGCUUACAAAUAAAUUUUCAUCCUAGUUUUCUAAUAUGGGUAGUCAUUACCAUCAAAGAAUGGUGGCCUAGUUGUGGAUUGUCUUUCCCUGAAGGUAGAGUUAUUUUGAGUUGCCAUGGAUCUUUUACUCUAGACGAUUAAGUCCUAAUAAGAGAACCUUGCUCUGAUACUAAAUGAAAUAAUAACUAGGCAACCCAAGAGGGGGGUGAAUUGAGAUUUUUAAAACUUAAACUAAACAAAUCACACAACAAUUUAAUCUAAUGCCUUAAUGAAAUAAAAAAAUAAAUUUAACAAUACUAAAAAAUAAAAGAGUAAGAGAAGAGAGAGCAAACACAAAGACUUUUACUUGGUUCGGCCAACCCCGCCUACGUCCACGUCUCCAAGAUCACCGGGCUUGAGGAUUUCACUAUCCAAGCCUCCCAAGGCUUCAAAUGCUUACAAUUGACUUCUAAGGUGUCAAUAGACCUUUACAACAAGAGAUUAUCCUCAAUCUCUUCACCCAAGUGUAUUCCAACACUUACAACCUCUCAACUUGAUUUUACAAAAAUGAAUACAAAUAAAUUUUCCUCACACAAUGUGUUUGAUUACAAAUAAAAGCUCAAUGUGUGUAAAUAAAUGAAAUGAAUACAAAUUUUAUGCUCGGAUCGCAGGGAAUGGCCCAAUCAUAACAAUGGUUGUAUCUAUAAAAUGAAUUUGAUUUGAGUCAAUUUAUAGUUGAAGAAGAAAACUAGCUAUUAUUGACUUUUUGGUGACAUCCGGUUUGCCGCUUUGUGUUAACUGGCUUGCCGCUUUAUGUUACCGUUCUGUUCAAAGAUUUGAAUUAUUGCACAUUCGAUUUGUCGCUUUUCAUUUCUAGUUAGUCGCUUUUACUCCAGAGAGCUUCUUCUUCAUAACCGGUUUGCCGCUUUGAUAAAUCCGGCUAGCCGCUUGCUACAGUGAAACAACUAUUUUCUAAAAUUACAGUUUUGCCUAACACUUUAUAAAAUUAUACUAUGACCUAAAUAUUUAUAAAAUUUACAAAUAGGUCCAUUUCAGAAUUUUUAACAAUAUUUGUUGAUUCAAGUUCUCAAACUUCUCAAUUAAACAUAAACUUGAUAACAACUAAUUNNNNNNNNNNNNNNNNNNNNNNNNNNNNNNNNNNNNNNNNNNNNNNNNNNNNNNNNNNNNNNNNNNNNNNNNNNNNNNNNNNNNNNNNNNNNNNNNNNNNNNNNNNNNNNNNNNNNNNNNNNNNNNNNNNNNNNNNNNNNNNNNNNNNNNNNNNNNNNNNNNNNNNNNNNNNNNNNNNNNNNNNNNNNNNNNNNNNNNNNNNNNNNNNNNNNNNNNNNNNNNNNNNNNNNNNNNNNNNNNNNNNNNNNNNNNNNNNNNNNNNNNNNNNNNNNNNNNNNNNNNNNNNNNNNNNNNNNNNNNNNNNNNNNNNNNNNNNNNNNNNNNNNNNNNNNNNNNNNNNNNNNNNNNNNNNNNNNNNNNNNNNNNNNNNNNNNNNNNNNNNNNNNNNNNNNNNNNNNNNNNNNNNNNNNNNNNNNNNNNNNNNNNNNNNNNNNNNNNNNNNNNNNNNNNNNNNNNNNNNNNNNNNNNNNNNNNNNNNNNNNNNNNNNNNNNNNNNNNNNNNNNNNNNNNNNNNNNNNNNNNNNNNNNNNNNNNNNNNNNNNNNNNNNNNNNNNNNNNNNNNNNNNNNNNNNNNNNNNNNNNNNNNNNNNNNNNNNNNNNNNNNNNNNNNNNNNNNNNNNNNNNNNNNNNNNNNNNNNNNNNNNNNNNNNNNNNNNNNNNNNNNNNNNNNNNNNNNNNNNNNNNNNNNNNNNNNNNNNNNNNNNNNNNNNNNNNNNNNNNNNNNNNNNNNNNNNNNNNNNNNNNNNNNNNNNNNNNNNNNNNNNNNNNNNNNNNNNNNNNNNNNNNNNNNNNNNNNNNNNNNNNNNNNNNNNNNNNNNNNNNNNNNNNNNNNNNNNNNNNNNNNNNNNNNNNNNNNNNNNNNNNNNNNNNNNNNNNNNNNNNNNNNNNCAUUUUCAGAUUUUUAAACAAUAUUUGUUGAUUUCAAAGUUCUCACCAACUUCUCAAUUUAAACCAUAAACUUGAUAACAACUAAUUUCAUAAAAUCAUUUUCUUGUUAUAAAAACAUAACGUGUAAUUCUUUGUUUAUCCAAAACAUGUGGUUUGUUCUCAUCAAAAUUAAUAUUUUAUAGCCAUAUAGGCUAACACCUUCUUCCUUAAGGUGGAAAAAAAAAGACAAGUGAGAAUCAAAGAGAACAAACAUAGAAAGAGAAAAAAAUUGCUUCGAACAUUUUUUUUAAAGAAAAUAAUAUCUUUCAAUCAUUCAACUCUGUGAAUAAGUACAAAAGGUGGGCUGGUAUGUUAUCCAACCAUAAUGUAAAAUCAUUGUAGUCUAAGGUUAACUUAGCAAGUGUGUGAGCAAAGCCAUCACAAGCUCUUGGCGUGUGUUGUACUAUUACUUGUUUAAACCUCUUCAUCAUCUGUUGGACAUAAGAUGCAGUCCAAAAUAUCUUAGCCUUUGUGCUUUUUCUAGCUGAGACUAAACUUGCUACAUCCUAUGAAUCAGUCUGAAUAAUCAAAGAUAAACAUUCUGUGUUUUCAGUUACUUUGAACUUGAGCAAAAUUCUAUUUGAUUUUUCUCUAUUUCAAUAUUUUUAUUCGUUCUUUUGUAUUUUUUUUAAAUUCUGAAACUUUAUUGUUCUUCGUUCUAUGAUUUAGAGUUUUGUAGAACAAGAGAGAUGUAUAAGGUGAAGGGUAUGUUAAUACCAAAACCAAAACCACAACAACAAUUGAGAGUUUAGCAAAUAUAUAGUUUUGGGGACAGGGGCAAAGAUCAAUUAAAGUUGAGAAAAUUGUGCAAAAAUGAAUUAAGAGGCUACUAAAAGAAAUGAUAUGGGCCCAGCAAAGGCAUUCACUAAAGAAAAAAGAAUAUUAAAAAAAAAAUAUAUAAAUAAACAUAUAUAUAAAAAACAAAAAACAAAGAACGGGAGGAGAAACUUAUAUACCAUCAAUAUACCAUCAAACUCUGUUUCCUCAAAGUCAGCUAGGAAUAAAACCUUGGUCAGAUCGUUUUUUUUUUUUUAGUUUCCUUUAAAGCGACAUAAGUCUUCUCACAAGGAUCAAUAAGUUUUCCCACAUGCAAAUCAACAUCCAUAUACUUCCCACCAUGAAUCUUGCAAGUAGGAUUAACCACAAUCUUUCUUCCCAUAAGUGGGCCACUUGCUUAACAGCAUCAGCCUUUUUUGCAGGUCGUUCCCUAGUAAUCUUGCUUGCCUCAUUAGCUUGCUUCUUAAUAAGAAUACUUCCUUUGAGCUUUCUUUUUUCCUUAUCUUAUAAUUUCGUAGACCAUAUAAAGGAGACCUUGGAUUUAAUUUGGGCUCUUUAGCCUUGAUAUCAAUAAGGAUCCUCUUCAGAAGAGGAAUAUCUUCUUCAGCCACAUAUAAAUUGAAUAUUAUCCUUGUAUCCCUAUUUAUUUCAUCAUUGCUAGAAAGGCAAGACAACCCAAGGGGAAAAAUAACAUAACUAUAAUACAAGGGAAAUGUUUGCCCUAAAAGCUCCUCUCCAUAUAAGCCAUAGGGGCACCUAACAAGGGCAGAUAAACAAAAGGCUUAUCUAAUACAAUAUAUACUGAGUAAAUGGAAAUUAAUACAUAUGCAUAGCAAAUCAAAAGAAAAAAAACUCAUGAAGGGUUUUCCAAAAAGCAUAGCUCAGUGUGUAAGACUCCCUAUAUUUUCUCCUAGACUAAUAGCCUGUAACAAUCAUAUGAUGAUGAAGCAUCCACUUCCUAAAUGAUCCUUCUUUGAAGUAGUAGAGAUUUUAUAAAAACUCCCUUAUUUCCUCGAACCUUAUAGUAGGAUACCAUAAGUCUUUCUCACCUUUAGAUCCACAAUUAAGCUUAAGCUUACAACAAACUAAAAAUGCGUAUAAUGAGAGAAAGUGAGGCCCCUUAAGAGCCAAAUUUAAUUAUAGCAAAAGCUUGCAAAAGUGAUAAAAUGCAGAGGUGAUUAUUAAUGUUGAAGCCCAUACUUAAUAAAAAAUUCUAUAACCAAAAGAGAAAUAUAGAAUGACAUUACCUUAAUUUGCUGGCGAUAAAGCAAGAUUGAUUUCCUAUCAAUCCCAAGAUCCAUAAUUGUUGAGUGCUGGAGAAUGUAUAUUUAUAAAGGGUAAAAUCAUCAUUUUGCACUCUAAGUCUCACUAACAUUUCUACUUUUAUGUAUUUAAGUUCUUUAAACUUUCAUUGUGUGUGUUUUAUUAACAUUUGAGUAUUUUACGAAUUUUAGGGCAUUUUGGUCAUUUCACAAUUAACGUGAAAUCAUACAGUAAAACAAAUAAUGUUUUUGAGUUUAGAAGAGCUAAAACCUUAUGGGCAUGAAGGGUAAAAUCAUAAUUUUAGGAUUUUGGUGGGGCCCAACUGACGUGCCAUUGAUUAAUGAUGUGGCAACAUCCUAUUGCAUUGACCGAUGAUAUGGCAACAUUCUAUUGGAGUGAAAAAUGAGCUUACGAUACAUGCAAUACAUUAAAUCAAUGCUAGUUGACUUUUAUGUUGACCGAUGACGUGGCAACAUAUUAUUAGACUAAAAAGCAUGCGUAUGUUACAUGCAAUUCACUGAAUCAUAUCCUCGGUGAAGUGUUCCAUCAAUCAGAGCUUGCAACGUGGCACAAUCAUGAGCGUCCGAGUUAUUUUCAUCUAAUGACUAUAAUUUACUAGUUGUAUCUAUAGAUAGGGCAUACCCCUAAUUCGACACCUUUGAAUCCAAAUUUGAGCUCUAUUUUGUGCAAUUCUUUUUAUAUCUUGUAUUUUCUAUGUAUUUUAAUAAAAUUACCAUUUUACUCCUAGUUCAAUUAUGAGUGGUUAAUUUAAUUUCAAACUUGGGUUGAAGGUGAAGUCUUAACAUGAUUCAUGAACUUAAUUUGGUAAGUUUAUUAACUCUUUCUGAUUUAUGUGGAUUAUUUUACUCAUCGUUAAUAGACAAUAAUAAUCUUGUCUAGAUUUUGCACGGUAUUCCGGCUCCCUAUUGCAAGAUCAUUACUGUUUGGCGUGAUGAGUACUUUAGACAACUCAAGGAAAUAUAAGGUGGUAUCUAUAGUAUCCAAUUAAAACUUGUGGUAAACUCAAUAAAGGUAGAAUGAUGAGUUAACAUCCCACUUUUUGCAUUAUGUGUUUUCAUUUUGUUGUUUGCCAUCCAUGCAUCUUAUUUUUGCUAGAUUAAUUUUUUUAUUUAGUAUAUUGUGAUUUGUUACCCUGGUUAAGUGGCGGAUAACAGUAUUUGUGGCUAUUAAAGUCGGUUCCAUUAGUUUUUUCACAGUAACUGACAUUCUCAAGCCAAAGUAUGGAUAGGCACGCAAUUUGUUGAGUGUUAGAAAAUUCAUAUUUAUAAAGGAGAAAACCGUCAUUUUACAUUUCAAGUCUUACUAACAACCCUUACUUUUAUGUAUUUAACCUUCUUGUGAUUUAAUUACAUGUGUUUUAUUUUAAUUAAGUAUUUUAUGUAUUUUAGGGGCAUUAUAGUCAUUUCACAAUAAAGGAGAGAUCAGACGGCAAAAUAGAAAUCACUUUUAAACUCAAGACGGUCGAAAACCUUAGGAGCAGCAUAAAAGGAAAAAUGGCACUAUUCACAUGUACGGUACUAUUCAUGUGUACGGUACUGUCUACGUUACUGUUCACGACACUGUUCACAUAGACAUAUCGAUGACGUGGCAUUGACUGAUGAUGUGGCAUUGACUGAUGAGGUGUCACGAUCCUGUUGGGCUAAAAUUCUUUUGUAUUGUUGAUGGUGACGUGGCAGCAUAUCAGUAGAUGAAAAAUCUCGCGUACGGUACAUGUAUCACACAGGAUUAUUUUCAACCAAACCGCGUUACUGUUCAUCCGGGUCAAACCGUGUUACUGUUCAUCCGCGUGGUCAAACCGUGGACUGUUGACUGAUGACGUGGCGCAAUCCUGAGCGUCCAAACUGUUUUUAAUCCGAUGGCCAUGAUUUACUCCAUGUAUCUAUAAAAAGGGGGCCUCCCCCCCUAAUUUGAUAUCUCUGAAUCCAUUUUUGGGAUCCAUUUUCUGUAAUUCCCUUUCCAUCUUGUAUUUUCUUCGUAUUUUAAUAAAUUCCCAUUUUGCCCCUAGUUCAAUUAUGAGUGGCUAAUUUUCUUUCAAGCUUGGGUUGAAGGUGAAGUCUCAACAUGUGUCAUGGGCUUUAUUUGGUAAAUUUAUUUUCUCUUCCCCUCUAGUUUUUGUGGAUGUUUUGACUUCUCGUCGACAAAUAAUACUAAUCUUGUCUAGUACUGCCUUGGUUUCACCGGCCCUCUAGUACAAGGUUAUUAUUAUUUGGCACGAUAAGCCCUUAGCACCAUAUUGAUUAGAGCGUGGUUCAUGAGAUGUGGAUUCCCCCCUCAUGAUUUAAUUGGUAUUAAUACGGAUUAUUUAGCCCAUGAUGCAUGUUGAUACGGAUCCAGAUACCCAAGUACGUCAUUUCAAUAGAUUUCGCUUCAAUUUAUUCUCGCCAUUGCAAUUCCAAUAUUAGAAUUUAUUAUCGCCAUCUCAAUUCCAAUUUUAGGAUAAUUUAAAUCACUUCCACCACAAUUUCAACCACCCAUUUACAAAAUUAAUUCUACAUAUAAUUAAAAUCCACCUCCUCGUGGGAUCAACACUCGUCACCAUUGAUCUAUACUACAAUAGAUUCGUGCGCUUGCGAGUUCAACAAAAUUUGCACAAGUUUUUGGCGCCGUUGCCGGGGAGGUAAGUAAUUUUAAUUCAUAGAAUUAAUUUUUGUGAAUAAUUUCUUUUAUUUUUUUUCUUGUAUUUUUUUUAUUAAAAAAAAAGAAAAAGAAAAAAAAAAGUGAAUCUACAUUUAAAGGUUAGUAUUUCUUUUCUCUUUCUCUUCUUUAAAAUUCUGUAAUUUAAUUUUCAAUUUAUUUUUCUUUGUAAUUUAUUUAUUUAUUUUUAAUUUAAUUUUUAGUUAAUUUAUUUCACGUAUUUAUUUUUGUGUAUUUUUAUAGAAAGGUUGUAAUAGCGCAAUAAGGUUAGUAUCGUAAUUUCUCCCUCUUCUUUAUUUUUAUUUGUUUUAUUCCCAUCUUUAUUUUUAUUUUAUUUGUUUUGCAUGCAUGGUCGUAGGUCAUUAUUACCUAAUCUUGAACCUAUAGACCUUGAACUUGAGAAAACACUUCGCACACAAAAGCACAUUAAAAAUAAAUUUGGAAUGGAUUUACAAGCACCACAAGAGAGGCCAUUUAAAGACUAUUUUUGUCCCUUAGCUAAUUUGAGCACAUCAUGCAUAAGAUACCCAAAUGUAGCUGCUAGAAGUUUUGAACUAAAACCUAGUGUGCUAAAUUGUCUCCCCACAUUCUAUGGCUUAGAAAAUGAGGACCCAUAUAAUCAUCUGAAUGAUUUUCAUGCCAUUUGUCAAACUUUUAAAUAUGAAAAUUUUUCAGACGAUGAUGUUAAACUCAGAUUAUUCCCAUUUUCUUUAAAGGAUAGAGCUCGUUCAUGGCUUAAUACUUUGCCUGCUAAUAGCAUUACAUAAUAGGAACAAAUGGUAACUAAAUUUUUGAAUAAAUAUUUCCCAGUGCAUAAAACCAAUGCUAUUUGCAGGGAAAUUUCAGAGUUUACACAGAGAGAAGACGAGCAAUUUUUCGAAACAUGGGAGCGAUUCAAUGGGCUACUCUUGAAGUGUCCACAUCAUGGGUACGAGAAAUGGCACCAAUGCCAAUACUUUUUGGAGGGAUUACUACCAAAUGUGCAAGAAUGGCUAAUGGCAACAAGUGGAGGAGAGCUAAUGUCAAAAAGUGCAUCAGAGAUUUGGGAAUUUUUCCAGCGACAAGCAGAUAAUUCCCAACAACGGAGUCGAUCACUCAGGAAUACUAGAAGAAUUAAGGGAGUAAAUGAGGUUCAAAUUGGCGAGUCAACUUUGGGAAUCAAAGAAGUCAAGGAGAUGGUUGAAGGUCUUGCUCGACAAAUAGCAUCGUUAUCGACUGCUAAAUCAACAGAAUCACAUGACCUUGACUCAUACUCAGAUCAAGCCAAUGCCAUAGGUGUAAGAAGAAAACCAUCGAAUUACAACCCAUACUCCAACACAUAUAAUCCUGGAUGGAGAGACCACCCCAAUUUUUCAUGGUCUCAAGGAUUCCAACAGAAUGGACCAGCAGCUCCAGCUCCACCAAUGCAACCAAUUCCGCAAAUUCCUCAAGCCUCUCAGCCACCAUUUAGACCAUACAAUCAGCACCAGAACCAGAACUACACUCAGCCCAGACCAUGGGAGGAUGCAUUCCAGAAUUUCAAGAAUGUUACUCACUCCACGAUUGAGCAACAGAACCACACCAUUGAUGGACUACGAAAUGAGUUAAGAGCAGGCUUCAAUUCACAAGCCCAAUCAGUUUCAAGCCUUGAGAAGAUGGUGGGACAACUUGCUUCUUCAGUUCAGACCUUGGCAAUGACCGUUGAGAAAGGUAAAUUUCCAAGUCAACCAGUGCCUAACCCUAAAGGAGUGCAUGAAGCAAGUACCAGUUCACCACAGUAGCAUGGAGAGGUCAAAGCAGUAAUGACCUUGCGAAAAGGAAAAGAAGUCGACAACAAAGUGGAGAUGCCGGUGACAAAAGAAAAUCAAAUUGUACCUGUGAAUGUUGAGGAAUCAUCACAGGAGGAGAAAGAAGAAACCAACCGACGAGAAUACGUUCCGAAAGCUCCAUUUCCUCAGAGGUUAGCGAAAGGAAAAAAGGGAAAAUCCACAGGUGAGAUUCUUGAAAUCUUCAAACAGGUAAGUGUUAACAUCCCUUUGCUUGAUGCUAUAAAACAAGUUCCAUCUUAUGCCAAGUUUCUUAAAGACCUUUGUACUAAAAAAAGAAAUAUGCAUGUUCAAAAGAAGGCAUUUUUAACAGAAAACGUUAGUUCUAUCCUCCAACAUAAAAUUCCUUUAAAAUGCAAAGACCCAGGCUCCCCCACUAUCUCAUGUAGUAUAGGGAACCACACAAUUGAGAAUGCUUUGUUGGAUUUAGGAGCUAGUGUAAAUCUUUUGCCUUACUCUGUAUUCGUGAAACUUGGACUGGGAGAAUUACACCCAACUCCAGUGGUGUUACAGCUUGCAGAUCGGUCCACAAAAAUACCUCGUGGUAUUGUGGAGGACGUGCUUAUCCAGGUAGACAAAUUUUAUUUUCCUGUUGAUUUCAUUGUAAUUGACACUCAACCAAUACAGGAUUCAAGGAAGCACAUCCCCAUUAUUCUAGGCCGACCUUUCUUGGCAACUGCGGAUGCUCACAUUCAAUGCAGGACUGGAAAUAUGCAAUUGUCUUUCGGCAACAUGACUAUGGAGCUGAACAUCUUCAACAUUGCCAAACAACCUCACAAUGCAGAUGAUGGAAUUGUUGAUGUGGAUUUAAUUGAAACAUUAGUUGAUGAUACUUUUGUUUCAAACCUUAGUGAUGAUCCUUUACAAACAUGUUUAACUCACUUUGGUUUUGAUUUUGAUAUUGACAGAUCAGUUGAUGAGGUCAACGCCCUGCUUGACUCAGCACCAUCUAUGGACACUAAUAAAUGGAAGUCAAGAGUUGAACAACUAGCACCAUCAGAGAAGAAACUCAUCCCAUCAUCAGAAUCACCACCGAAACUCGAGCUCAAACCAUUACCCAACACAUUGGAAUAUGCAGUUUUGGGAGAAGAAAGUACUCUACCGGUAAUCAUCUCAGCAUCCCUCAAUGACGAACAAAAAGGUAAGUUGUUGGAUGUUUUGAAAGAGCACAAAGGGGCAUUAGGAUGGACCAUAGCAGACAUUAAAGGUAUAAACCCAGUAGACUGCAUGCAUUACAUUCACCUUGAUGAAUAUGCUAAAACUACUAGGGAGAUGCAACGUCGGUUAAAUCCUAACAUGAAAGAAGUUGUUAGAACUGAAGUCCUUAAGCUAUUAGAUGCAGGUAUCAUUUAUCCAAUUUCUGAUAGUUCAUGGGUCAGUCCUGUGCAAGUUGUCCCUAAAAAGUCAGGAGUCACAGUAGUUACCAAUGCUGAUAAUGAAUUGAUACCCACUAGAGUAACUACAGGAUGGCGUGCAUGCAUUGAUUAUAGGAAGUUGAAUUCUGUCACACGUAAAGACCAUUUUCCUUUACCAUUUAUUGAUCAAAUGCUUGAUAGAUUAGCAGGCCAUGAAUUUUAUUGCUUUCUAGAUGGCUACUCAGGAUAUAAUCAGAUUCCCAUAGCACCAAAAGAUCAAGAAAAAACUACUUUCACUUGCCCUUUUGGCACAUUUGCAUAUAGGAGAAUGUCAUUUGGAUUAUGCAAUGCACCUGCUACAUUUCAACGAUGCAUGUUGAGUAUUUUUUCUGAUAUAGUUGAACGAUUCCUUGAAGUCUUUAUGGAUGAUUUUUCUGUCUUUGGUGAUUCAUUUGAUCAAUGUUUACAUCAUCUAACACUAGUUCUGCAGAGAUGUGUCAAGAAGAACUUGGUCUUAAAUUGGGAGAAAUGCCAUUUUAUAGUAAAACAAAGUAUUGUUCUCGGUCACAUCAUUUCAAGCAAAGCUAUUGAGGUUGACAAAGCCAAGGUGGAUCUCAUUUCUAAUCUUCCUCCACCCAAAACAGUCAAAGAAGUAAGAUCUUUCCUUGGGCAUGCUGGUUUCUAUAGACGUUUCAUUAAAGAUUUUAGCAAAGUUUCUGGACCCUUAUGCAAUUUACUUGCUAAAGAUGUACCUUUUAUCUUUAAUGAUUCAUGUCUUAUGGCGUUUGAAAAAUUAAAACAGUUGUUGACAUCAUCACCCAUCAUUCAGGCCCCGAACUGGAGCUUACCAUUUGAACUUAUGUGUGAUGCAUCUGAUUAUGCAGUAGGAGCAGUAUUAGGACAAAGAGUUGAUCGAAUUCCCCAUGUUAUUUAUUAUGCUAGUAUGACAUUGAAUGAUGCACAGUUGAACUAUUCAACUACUGAAAAAGAAAUGCUAGCAGUAGUGUUUGCAUUGGAAAAAUUUCGAUCAUAUCUCAUUGGUUGUAAAAUAAUUAUAUUCACGGAUCAUGCUGCUCUUAAAUAUCUUCUCACAAAGAAAGAUGCAAAAGCCAGACUAAUUCGUUGGGUGUUACUUUUGCAGGAAUUUGACAUGGAAUUCAAAGAUAAAAAAGGGACAGAAAAUGUUGUGGCGGACCACCUCUCUCGUCUCCAUUUUGACACAAUUACAGAAUCAUUACCAUUGAAUGAGUCAUUUCCAGAUGAACAAUUAAUGAAUGUGGAAGUAUUACCUUGGUAUGCUGAUAUAGUUAAUUAUCUUGUUACAGGUAAACUUCCAGAGCAUUGGACCAAGCAAGAUAAGACUAAAUUCUUUGCAGAGAUAAAGAAUUUCUUUUGGGAUGACCCGUAUUUGUUCAAGUAUUGUGCAGACCAAAUUGUUAGACGAUGUGUCCCAGAAAGUGAAAUUCAGAAUAUCCUUUCAUUCUGCCAUGAACAAGCUUGUGGAGGCCAUUUCAGUGCUAAGAAAACAGCGACUAAAGUUUUACAAUGUGGUUUCUAUUGGCCAUCUAUAUUUCGAGACGCUUACACUUUCUGUUCUUCAUGUGAUAGGUGUCAACGAAUGGGGAGCAUUACACGAAGGAACAUGAUGCCACUAAAUCCAAUUUUAGUGGUUGAGAUUUUUUAUGUAUGGGGUAUCGACUUCAUGGGACCCUUUCCCCCGUGUUUUGGCCAUCAAUACAUAUUGGUUGCUGUUGACUACGUAUCCAAAUGGGUAGAAGCAAUUUCAUGCAGAACUAAUGAUCACAAAGUGGUGAUAGCAUUUUUGAAAAGCAACAUUGUUUCACGCUUUGGAUUCCCUCGAGCAAUAAUCAGUGAUGGUGGUGCCCACUUUUGUAACAAAGCAUUCAAAGCUCUUUUGACAAAGUAUUCAAUCACACACAAAGUGGCAACCCCAUAUCAUCCGCAAACUAGUGGCCAAGUUGAGAUAUCCAAUCGAGAAAUAAAGCACAUAUUAGAAAAAACGGUGAGGCCAGACAGGAAAGAUUGGUCAUUAAGACUUGAUGAUGCAUUAUGGGCAUAUAGAACGGCUUUCAAGACCCCGAUUGGGAUGUCACCCUACAGACUAGUGUAUGGAAAAGCUUGCCACCUACCUGUGGAACUCGAGCAUCGUGCAUAUUGGGCCAUCAAGAAAUUCAAUUUUGACAUGCAGCAAGCCAGCUCAGAAAGAAGAUUACAGCUGGCAGAACUUGAAGAAAUUCGCAAUGAUGCAUACGAAAAUGCCAAGAUUUACAAGCAACGAAUGAAAGUCUUCCAUGAUAAGCAAAUUAUGAGAAAAUCGUUCACUCCAGGUCAGAAAGUGCUUUUAUUCAAUUCUCGCUUGCACCUAUUCCCAGGUAAGUUACGCUCUCGUUGGUCUGGUCCCUUUAUUGUUCAUACUGUUUUUCCACAUGGGGCAAUUGAAAUUAAGGACCCAAAGAACGGUGUCACGUUUAAAGUUAAUGGUCAAAGAUUAAAGCCAUAUCUAGAAUACCAACCACAUGAAGAAGACACUGAAAUAAAUUUGAGUGACCCACCAAAUUUGAAUUGAUUUUUUUCUUUUCGUUGAUUUGAUUUUUCUUUCUUUCUUUUUAUUAUUAUUCUUUUGCUAAUUGAAAUUGUUUUUGCAUAAGUGUGUUUAUUUUACCAUUAAGUUUUCUCUUAUCAUUUUUAAUCAUGAGUCUCAUACUUAGACCGUUCCUCCUGAACAUUCUUAAACCACUUCAACGUGUCAAAACUCAUCUCAAAAGGCAGAUUCAAUUUUGUAAAACACAACGCAUUUGGGCUCUACAACCACCAGAGUUAGUAGCCUAUGUUGAGGGUUUAAAACGCCAACUCCGAGACAUUGAGAGAAGUGUUUACGACAUCCAGUUGGAGCUUGAGGUAAAUUCAAUAAGAGGACGAUUUUAAUUUUCUUUGUGUGUUUUAAUUUAUUUUUCUGUUUGCGUGCUUUAGUUUGUUACCCCGGUGAAGUGGCGGAUAACGGUACUCCGUGACAAUCAAGUCGGUUACUUCAGUUUCCCAUAAUAACUGAUAUUCUGAGGUGAAGGUAUGGACAGAAAUGAGAUUCUAGCGAAGCUUCACAAGCGAUUCCCUUCACUUCCUCAGAAUGCCCUCUUUACGAUCUAUAAAGCUCGGUCCGAACGCAUGCGAUUAUUCAUGAGGAAUAACAUACCUGCUGACAUCCGUUGGUUAAUCGAGGCUAAAGUACGAUCGGCAGGUGAGUUACCUCCAAAAUUUAUUGCACACAUGCCUGGUUGUGGUAAAGGAAAUUAUGCAAGAAAACGACGAGCUCGAAGAAUUUCUGUUGCUUGUCAUAAGUGUGCCAGAAUGAGUUGCAAUAAAAACCCAUGUUCUUUAGGAAUGAUGUUUGAUAACAGGGAAGAUAAGAUUCAAUUCAUUAGGGAUGGCUUGAAUAAGGAGUCAUUGGAUGAUAUCCUUUUGUCUCUUGAAACGCAUCCCAGUGGAUAUGUGCAAGGAGCGAUUCUCCAGUUAUGGCCAUUAUUCCAGAAAGAGCAUGCACGAUAUAGUCUCGGGAAUCUGACUAUAAACGACCCUGUUUGCCAGUUUAUAAGAAAACUGGAGAGGAAGCCUAUCCUCGACCCAUAGAGGGCGUUCCAGCCGUUUCUGGACGUAAAACCAGAGGAAGAUGUGAGCCACAGUCGCAACUACCUGUAAAUAUCCUUUUACUUUAUUGUUAUUUUAUUUCACUAUUGUCUUAUUGUUUGCAUUAUUGUCUUUAAUAAUUUUAUUAUUGUUUGCUUUUUCCUUUUUACUGUUUUCUUUUUGACUUGCGAGCCACGUGCUUUACGCGUUAUUUGACACUGACAUAUUACCUCAUACACAACCAUGACCCACUAUCACCGAGACUCUUAAAUGUGAUUUCUUUUUUGUCAAGCACUCACAAAUUGUUUUUGAGAAGUAUCACAAUGUCAGCUACUCCAAAUAGACAAUUCAAGAACAUUUGUGUGCUUUCUGGAUUUACAUAUGGCAAACAUAAAGAGUUCGUUGAGGCAGCCAUAGAUCUUGGUCGAAGCAUAGCAGCGAGAAAAUUACACUUGGUGUAUGGAGGAGGUAAUCGAGGGUUAUCAAAAAUGGUCUCAAAAGCAGCUUUUAUCAGAGGAAGUCAAGUGUUAGGCAUCAUCCCAAGAGUCUUAAAACCAUUGGGCAGUUCGUCUGACUCAUCAACUGGAGAAGAGUUAGUCGUCUCAGGUAUGCAAGAAAGAAUAACUGAAAUGCUUAAUCAUGCUGAUGCUUUUAUUUUCCUUCCAGGAGAUCUUGCAACACUAGAGGCACUUAUCACGCUAGCAUCUUGGGCCCAUCUG
This 105590-nucleotide long non-coding RNA is filed under the name Citrus x clementina. Its description in RNAcentral is "Citrus clementina (C. clementina) long non-coding RNA (CCLE_LNC000933)". The stretch from base 39213 to 39316 matches the Rfam family "Plant small nucleolar RNA R71". The record is from RNAcentral. Lineage: Eukaryota; Viridiplantae; Streptophyta; Magnoliopsida; Sapindales; Rutaceae.